This 147656-nucleotide long non-coding RNA is filed under the name Cucumis sativus (cucumber). Its description in RNAcentral is "long non-coding RNA (CSAT_LNC002210)". The record is from RNAcentral. Lineage: Eukaryota; Viridiplantae; Streptophyta; Magnoliopsida; Cucurbitales; Cucurbitaceae.
UUUUUUUUUUUUUUUAAUUUCUCCUCCUCUCAUUUCUUUUCAAUGUUUGAAGAAAAGCAAAAAAUGUGUAUAAACAUAUAUUCCAUGAUGAAUGAUCCAAAGUAAUUAAGGUGGAUGAAGAGACAUUUUUUAGUGUUAAAUUUAAACAUGUGACUCAUUUAAUUAAAUAGUUUAAUCCCACUUUAAUAGUAUUUCAAACCUUAACUAGUCAUUACUUAUUACUAUGAUAAUGGAUGGUAUGAUCAUAGGGAAGAAAUAUUUGAAAUUAUAUUAUCGUGUAUAACUUAAGAAAGUACUUCAUUGAAUAUAAUAUAUAAUACAUAGUUGAAGUUAAGAUAUAAAUCACAUGUUAGAUCAAAGAGUGUUUGCAUAGAUUUCUUUCGGGAGGAAGAACUGUAAUAUGUGCAUACAUGAAAACAUCAAAUUAGGUAGAAGUGACAAAAAUUUUUUACAUUAUAUUUUUGGUAGCUCAUCUAUUUCUUUUCCCUAACAAAACUAAUAUAUAUUAUACUUUUUCUUUCAACAUAGACACAAAGUUUAAAUAUUUAUUCAUUUUCAUAAUUAUUGUAAAUGUUAAAGCUAUAUAAAAUAUUUACAAAAUCACUAUAAGGAAACACCAAUUUUCUGGUGCAUGAAGUCAUCGAAAAAUGUUCAAAAACAUGUCAGGAGUUUGGUCGGAAUAUUCUCAAUGGAAGACUAUCUCCCAGUUCACAAAUAUCAACCCUUGAAAGUUAUGGAUCAACACCAACAUACGACGUUUGGAGUUAGGGAUCUCCCGAUGAUUCUAAAGAUUGUCGAGAGUUUGGUCGAUUUUUUAAAAAUACUUUGUAUCAUGUCAAUUAAAAUGUAACAAUUUUUAUCUCAUAAUAGAAAUUUUGUAAUUUAUUACAUAACAUAUUUAGUAAUAAUGUCUAAUACAAUGAAAGAAAGUCACAAAGUAAUUUUAAACAAAACACAAAGAUUCAGUAAGUCUUGACUAUUAAAGUAAUGAACAUAACUACAAUAAUACACCAACAAAAAAUUCAAAUACAGAUUGAAAGUUGAAGGACGACAACACAAACUUAAAAAUUUAGAUGAGAUUGUAACUUAAUCUAAAUUAGUUUAGCUUUGUUUACAAUCAUAACCUCCAAGGAAGAUGCAAGUAACAUAAGUCGACGGUGGCACAUGUAACAAUCUAAGACUGCUAUCAUACCAUUAGUCAGAUUCAGUUUGAUUCUACUCGCAAGUUCUUUUUCUUUUCAUCUUUGUCAAAAUAUAGGACCUUGUUUCCUCAAUAAUCCAAAUCCAACACAAUUGUCAACGCAAGAAAACUAUUGAAAGACUACAAAGUAUACCAAAUUACCAAGUGGCAGAGAGAAAUUUUGUCGUCCAAAUUUGUGCCGAAUAAUAAUUUGAAUCGCACACUAAGAACUAGUCUUAGUGGUGGGUAUGGAUCGAUUACAGAGAACACACUAAUUCACAAUCAAACUAAUUCUCAACUCGAGGUAACCGAUAGGGGUGGGAGGUUUUGUGUCAAAAUUGUCUAAGAAAAUAAAUUGCAAAGAAGGAAAGUAUGUAAAACUUGAGAAAAUCUCUAUGUUAAAAGACUCUAGCUUGAGUUAUGACGACUUCUCCCUCAUUCAAAGAAUUUAUUCAUUGAACUAUCUUUACUCAGCGUUAUGAAAUUUUCACCUAACCAAUUUAAUUGGAACAAUCAGUUAAACAAUCAGUUAAAUUGUCUUAAGAUUCUAAUUGUUCUAGCUAGCUAACCCAAUAUAAUUUAAAAUGCAAUUUGAGUUUUCCAAAAAAAACAUUAAGUUUAUUUAGGUGGAAUCACAAUUUAUCAACGUCAUCUAAUUGACAUUUCAUUGUUCAAUUCUAAGUUAGUUAGAAUCACUGUCCAUCAAAAUAGAUUUACAUGCUAACCUUAUCUAUUGCUUCUAACCAAUUCUUAUCUAAUUGUCACGAGUUAAAGUAUUUAGUGCACGCAUAAUUUAUACAUUCCCUAACAUCUAACAUACAACAAAAUAUCAAUAACAUUAAGAGUUGAAUCAAAGAUUACAUUAAAGCUAAGUUUAAGUUUUCAUAAAUUCUAAAGAAUAAAGGGAGAAUCUAAAAAACCCAAGCUAGAAACUGAGUACCUUAGCCUUUCAUCCACAUGUCAGAUGAUGAGGAGAUGUUUGAGAUUGAAAUCAAUAUGAAAAGAUAUAGAGAAUUGAGAGAAAGUAAGUGUAAAGAGGUUGAAAAUCAAGGUCCAAUUCGGUUGGCAAUAGACAUGCAUGUUUAUAAAUUUGAUGAGGCGCUAUAGUGUUGACAGACGAAGACGCGCACCUUAAUUUCGGAGCACCGGGGAGCCCAAAGGCAGCAUCGUGGUGCUUGGACCUUUUUUUGAGGUAGUAGCUCUCUGCUUUACAGUAGCUCUAUGUUUUAAGGCAGUAGCUCUUCACCUUAUAGUGUCGCGCUAGACGCGGCAAGGCAGAAGCCUUUUGGUUUUUUUUUGCACCUCCAAAUGCUUUGAUUUGCUCAGAUUUUCCUCGGUUGACAUCGUAUGACUCUAUAAUGGCUCAAAUUUUCUUCAAAAUGACAUCGACUCCAAAUGACACUAUGAAUUGCUCAAAACUUAUAACACACUCAAAUAAUAUCGUAAAAUCAUGAAACAAACUCAAAUUAAGUGAAAAGAAAUAGCAUAUUUCAUACGCUAUCACCAAGCAUAACAAAAACAUCCUAGAGACGGCCAUUGAAAGGCAAAGCGAUGAAAACUCAACCUCUCCACAACACAGAGAAAUAAUGCAAAACAAACCAUCAAAAUUCCAAAAAGCAUCAACCACUAUCCUCGUUUGACAUCUCUAAAUAUACUUUUCAUCAAAGAAGUUUCAAACUAAAAAUAAUCAUACAGAACCAUAAAAGGAGUAAAUUUGAGUAUAACUAAAAUAUGCAAAUCUACAUACCUAGUGUAAUGCUCCAAGCCCAAGAUUCAGACCAAGAUCUAGAUUUGGCAACUAAUAUAUGGCUCUGACAUUCCCUGCAGGCUGACAAUAUUGUCUUACUCACAUGCAUCCUAGGAAAAUUACCAAGGGGUCACCCUUACAUAGAAUUGUUCCACACUGAGCAAGCUUAACUUUGACGUUCCUAUGACUGAGUCAUCGAAAGGAAGGUGUACUUUAUUGGUGUAGGUAGUAACUUUCAAUUCUUUCAAUCAUUUAUUAAUCAUACUUACAUGUCCUCAGAAUCCCUCUCAUUCAAGAUGUGAUAUUGAUCGUUAAUUCAUGUCCCCUUCUUAAACUCAGGUCGUAUUACCCAAAUUCAUAAAAACGAAACUCAAAUAAAAUAUGCAAAAAAAAUGGAAAAAGAGGUGAAGAAGUACCUUUAAACAAAGUACGCUAAAGAGAUGGAGAAGGAGGAGACAAGUAGAGAUCCUAAUCCAAUGGGAUCUAAAUGCAGACAACAUACGGGCACUAAAUCGACGAACAAAAAAAAAAAAAAAAAAUCAUAGAGACAAACAACGAAGGUAGAGGGACAACUAGAUAUAGAGACGAAAUUGCGGUUAGGGACAUGCAUAAAGGUUGAUUGAGAUACAUAUCAAAGAGAGGAAACGACGAGGAGUUGCUCGUGAUUUGCAAUCAAAAUUUCAAAUUUAGGGUUUUUAAAAUGUAACUCUCGACUAUUGUGAUACUUGAAAAUUUUCUUUUAUUCCCUAUCUCCCGACGCCUUAAAAUACGGUGUUGGGAGAUAACGCUAUAUUGUAUACAUUGUCAAGAAAUGGUAUUUCUCCCGACCACUCAACUCUCUAAGGGUUUUUUAGCAUUGGGGAGAGUCCCUUUUUUAGUAGUGAAUAUAGCAAAAUUUCAUAUACUCUAUCAAUGAUGAAUAUUGAUAGACUUUUAUUAGAGUCUAUCAAUGUCACUAAUAGAUAUAGAUAGAGAUAUGAAAUCUUACUAUAUUGUGUAAAUAUUUCGAUUUAUUUUAUUGUAUUUGAAAACGUUCCUAUAAAAAAAAGUUAUUGGAGGAAAUAUAAAGUAUUUAUUUUUCAAGGGAAGAACUCAUAAUUACUUACAAAGGAAAUUCCAAGCCUAACCCUGAUUGGUGUUUUCAUAAUAUAAGAAUUAAGAGUGUGUUUGUAGUCCAACUUCUGCUAGACUUUGUUGUUAUCAAUUAUCACUAAUUAAUGGAUAAAGAUGCGUCUAAAAUAUAUAUAUUCGUUCAUUUGUGAAAAAGAAUAAAACAUUAUAUAAAGAUAAUGAAAUAUUAAUUUGAGUGAUAGUGUAUUGCUAAACGUGAAAAAUGAAGCAUAGUUUUGUCACUUAUGAGAUUAUUCUAAAAUAAUAAAAAUAAUAAAAACCCAAAAUUUAGAAGAAUAGUGUUGAGCAAUUGACAAGACCAAAGGAGGCCCCAACAUCAAAUCUUAAUGGCUAAUCAAUAUGUAUAGGACAUUGAUUUUAUUUCUCGUGUUCAUUCAAGCCUAUCGUCCAUGUUAACUUAAACAUGAACAUCAAAAUCUCAAACAUGGGUUGAGUGUAUUAUGCAUUAUUCAAAAAAGAUUUUGGAUUGUUUAAAAGAAAUAUGUCGUUAAGGAAGUUCAUUUAUUUUUUUUGAAAAGUCCUUGUAAUACAACUAGAGAGUGGGUAUUUAAAUCUACAACAUCUUUUGUCCUCAGGUACAAACAGGUGACAGUUGAUGACAGUUGAGCUGUGUUCAUGAUGGCUAGCUAAGGACAAUCAUUUUCAAAUAAGAUGUUGUUCUAAAUAACAAAGUUGUUGAAAAUAUUUAUAAAUUUAAUCUAUUAGCGAUAAACUACUACUUUAAUUUGACAUAUGUGUCGCGAUAAACCCAAAUACUAUUUUACAAAUAUAGAAAGUAAAAAAAUAUUGUUAUAUUUGUAAAUAUUUUGAUUUAUUUUACUAUUUUUAAAAAUAAUCGUAUAUGUAAAUAUAUUAACAUGAAAUAUCAUAUAAUAAUAAUAAUAAUAAUAGGCUUGAGAAAUUCUAAACUAUUUUUUUUAAUACAACUUGAAUAACAUAAUAUAUAUUUAAAAAUAGUUAAAUGUGAUCUUCACUCAUCUAAAAGUAUAUCUACCCUAAGUAUAUAUACAUAUGCUUUCUUUAGCUCCUAUAAGCAUCAAUUAGGAUGAUUUGAAAUUAUACUUUAGAGAGUUCUUUCACAUCAUGAAAAUAUAUGUACGAGUUUUUAGUAAUUGAUUAAGUGUUACCACUAAUUCAUUUACUAAAAAGUUGGAUCUAUUUUUGUUUUUUUGUAGGGUUACAGCCCUCAAACAUGAGAUUGCUUUGCUUCAAUUUUUUCUCCUUUUGAAAGACAUUGACACCUAUGAUUGUUUAUAAGUCACCUCAGGUCAUUUUUCAUUUACUUUCACAAACUCAACUUAGCUUAAAAAUAAUUAGCCUCACUUCCAUUUGAAAGGUAUGACAAGUUAAUUUCCUUCUCUCAUUUUUACUAUUGUUGCAAUAAUUUAAAAACAAUUUUGUUUAAUACUAACUAUUCUAUUAUAUUUUGUUAUCAUAUUCAAAAUUUGUGAAAGAUUAUAUAUUAAAACAAUCUAGCUUGGGUUAUUGUGAUUGCUUCCUUAUUCUAAGAACUUAUUCGUCGAACUAUCAUUACUUAGUCAUACGUAAUCUUCACCUAACCAAUUUAAUUGGAACUGCCAAUUAAAUUAUCCCAAGGAUCUAAUUGAUCUAACCCAAUAGCAUGUAAUAUCGAAGUUUCCAAUUAACAUUAAGUUUUCUUAUAUGGAAGGCUUAAUUUUGUAGCAUUUAUUUGAUAUUCAAUACGUUCAAUUCUAGGUUGGUUUAAAUCAAUGAGCAUCAAAUUAGAUUUUCAAGCUAACCUAACCUAUUGCCUCUAACCAAUUCUUAUCUAAUCGUGACAAGUUAAAGAAUUUAGUGCAAGCUAUAAUCAUACAUUCUCAUGCAUCCAACAUAUAACAAUAAAUCAAUAAUAUUCAGAAUUGAACCAAAGAUUACAUUGAAACAAGUUUAAGUUCUCGUAAAAUUUUAAAGAACAAAAAGAGAAUAUAAGAAAAUCCAAACUAGAAAAGAGUACCUUGACCUUUCAUCCACAUGUCAAUGAUAUGAGGGAUAGUUCUGGAACUCAAAGAACAUGAAAAACAUACUGAAAAUAGAGAGAAAUGGUGUAAAAAUUAGCUAGAAUUGAGUUUGGGUUUGGUUGAUGGUGAAACUUCUUUUUUUUUAAAAAAACAAAAUGUCAAAAUGUCGUGGCACUCAAGGAAGCAUCGUAGUGCUUGACCUUUUUUUUUGAUAAAAUAGAGCUCACGACCUUAUAGCGUCACAAUUGCAUGGUAGAAGCUAAAAGACUUCUUUUGCUCCUCCAAACGCCUCGGUUUGCUCUAGUCGAUGUCAUAUUACUCCAAAUAUGCCAAAAUCACCAUCGAAAUGAGAUAAUCACCACAUUCAUCCAUGAAUUGUUCAAACCCUAUAAAAUAUCCAACGAAGAUCGUAAAAUCACAAAACGAGCUCGAAUUAAGCAAAAAAUAAAUAGCAUAUUUCAUACACUAUCACAAAUUUUGAACAAGGAAAAAUGCAUAUAUUCUUCACGUGGCGACAAAGGCAAAUAUGUAAUUUAGAAAAAAACAUUACUGUCAAGAUGAAAAAUCUAUGCACUGUGUAGUGCUUGCUACGAAGGCUUUGAUGCUUAAGUUAUAAAGUGUACACAUGUAGCUAGUAAAUAGUUUGAACAUUAGAAUAAACUUACCUUUCUAAAGGUUAUAAUGGAAUCCCAAACUAGGGCAUCCUUUAUUUGAGUUUCGAUCUAGUCAUAUUAAAUUAUGUAUCGAGCUAAAUGAGUCGAGACAUGCCGUGUUCUUUAAUUUUUUUAAAAAUUUUGCUAUGUUAGCUCAUCAAUUUAAUUUUUUCAAUUAUUUAUGGUUUUGAUUACCAAACUUAUUUCAUAUGAAUGAUGAAGCUUUUUGAUGUGCUACAUUUUCCAAUUUUCUAAUUUUCUCAUUUUUUGAUUACCAAAUUUUUGGCUUGCAUUUGACAUUCACACAUGGUAAAUUAUAGUGUAAUUAAGACAUAAUAAAAAUUUCAAUAACUAAUUAUAACAAUUUUUUUUAUAAAAUUUUGUGAAAUUUUCUUGAAUAUGGAUAUUUUGAUAAAAGAAGGUUAGUAUGUAAGGUGAGAUGAGUGGUUUAGAUGGUUGUUUGGAUAGUGGAGAGACGCUUUUUGAUUGGCCUAUAUGUUAAACUCAAUAUCACUUAAUUUAUAAAAGAUUAAUAGAUAUAUAUGUCACUUUCAUUUAGUUUUUUUAGUGGUAGUCUUUUAUUUAUCACAAUUUUAAAUUUAGCUUCUCUCUUUUUCUUAGGUUUUUAAGGAUUAAUAUUAUUAGAUGAAAACUUUAAGGGAAUCAACUUUUUAUUUUAUAACCCUCUUUAUAAUGUGUACUUUUUAAAAACAUUUAAGGGUUACUUUAUUUCCAUGUCAAACUUUUUUUUAGGUGUUAUUUUACUUUAUUUUUUAAUUGGGUGUUAUUUAUUAUUGUAACAACUUGACUUUUUCAUAACUAAGUUAGGGUUAUUACUAAUCUAACUAUCUUAACUUUUUGAAAACAAUAGUGGAAAUAUAAACCAAACAGUUUUUCAUAUGUCUGGUUAUGGGUUCUUUUUCUUGUUACUCGCCAACUUGCCUUUUUUAUUACCGUUGCCUGAAAGGUUAAACAUUAUAGAAAGGGUAAGCAUAAAGAUACCUAAUAAGGGACCCACCACUGGUUGUGCUAGAUGAGCUGUUAACUUCUCAUUACAAGGUAUUCUCAGUCAUAUCAAUCUUGUGUUCUCGAAUAAACACACACCAAUCAUAUUAGUCUGGUAAUCCCAUAAGAACACACAUUAUCAGUCAUAUCAUUUUGGUGAUCCUGUAGGAACACACAUCAAUCAUAUUAGUGUGGUGAUUCCGUACAAACAUAGAUAAACCAUAUCAGCCUUGUGAUCCUGUAGGAACACACAUAGGUCAUAUAAGUCUGGUGAUCCUGAAGAACACCUACAUGCAAGGUACACUAGCCUAAUAGCUAAAGUUAACAACUACCUUCAGUCCAAAUAAGCCUAUUGCAGUCAAACUUAGUUCAAUAAUAGGCAUAAGCAUAACAUGCAAACAUCAUCCAACAAACUCCAUAAUUACAUAUUUGGUCAAAUAAGCUGUAAAUCAACACUAUUUCAGUGCAUACACUAAUCAAUGCAUUUUAAAUCUGUCUAUAAUCGUUUGUCAAUCGAUACAAUACAACUUUAAUCUUAAAUUGAAUGUUUGGUAGAAGAAAUCUCUUACCCAAAAAAGAAUUUCUUGUGCAGAAUUCCUUGAUGCAAAUAAAACAACAAAUUAACCUAAACAUAAGGAAACUAAUUAAUAAUUUUACUUAAUAAAAUUAUCAAUUAUGCCAAAACAGUAGUCCCUUAUAGGCAUGCAAAGAAUCAUCAUACUUUUCACAAUAAGCAUUCCCAAGUAUGAACAAUUGACAUUAAAACAACGCAUUAUCGACGUCAAGAGAAGGGCACUGUCGAUGUCCUGUUCAAACUUUGGGAGAGGGCUUCUCACAAUGUCGCAUCGGAAAACCCUUUCAUUGAUGCGUUCACCACAUCGAGGACAGCGUUAGUCCGACAAUUUUCUGCAUGGGGAGAUAUUUUUAAUAUAUUUUUCCAAUUUAUUGAAUUUUUAAUCGUGUGGUACUCUUUUCGAUUUCGAUUCAAUUUAAACGGAAUAAAAUUGUAAAGAAUAAGCAACAUAAAAUUAAUAAAUAAUUAUAUAAAAUACGAAAUCAGAAUUUAUAUUAUAAACAACAAUUUCUAAUUGUUGCAAAGAAAUUACAUAGAUAAGAAAAAAAUUCAUUAAUCCCCCAAUGGCCGCAAAUGCCAUAUUCUCACAAGUCCAUCGCUACAAUGACAUAAAAGUAAAUUUAGAUAUACAUCACCGAAGGAAAAUUGAACAGCUUAAAAGUUAAAAAAUACGUACUACAAGUGUUCACAGUCCUCUCUGUGCCCAACUCAUUUCCUCAAUCAUCUUUUUCAUUUCUUCCACCUGUCAGACAUUUUCUUGCUUUUGUCUGGUAUGUAUCUUUGACGUUAUUCUUCAUUCUUCAAUCAAAAGUUUAGCUUCUUCAAGCUCGCUUCUUUGUUCCUUAAUUAAGCAUUUAAUUUAUCUUCGACCUCCCUAUAGUGUAUUUCUUGUGAACAUGAGGUCAAAGAAUUAGCCCUCUUCUGGGACUUGGGACUUGGAGCCUGAACCAAGACCUUUUGAGUAGUUUCGAUCGUAUACCCAUAUCUCGCAUAUCUUGUCCCAAGAGAGUGGUUGAAAACCUUUUGAGGUGGAUUGGGACUGGACUUCACGUAUUUGAUUUUGCACCAAAAGUUAUAAGUUAUGAGUAGUUGACAAUUAAAAGUAGACAGUAUAAGAAAAUGUUUUCAUAAACUUACAUGCAUAUAUGUGGCCGCUUGUGGAACGAAUUAGCUAGUCUUGAUGGCGUGUGUUUCUCUAAACAACUUCACAAGGUUUACUAACUGACCUUGGUGUUCAGCGAGCUCAUGUUGUCGUUGUAUGAACAACUUGGACUCGCUUUUGUGGUUGUAAGGCUGCUACGCUUUAGCAACCCUUAUUGGUCCUUGAUUGCUCCUACAUGCAAACAAUAAAAAAUGUUACAUACAAACAACAAAAAUGAAUUAACGUCAAGGAACAUUAAAAUAUAUAAAUCAUCUGAAAUUGUGGACUAAAGUAGUAAUCAUAGAGAAAGUCUCAAUCUUCCACACGAUUCACUAAUCUGGGGGGUGGGUUGGCACAUGCUUGUUCAGGAUCACUGAACUUCUUAAAAUGUCUAUGGUUUUCUCCCCUGAACUCUUUUCACGUGUUGAGCAUUUGAUGCUCAACAAAUCGAGUAAAUGCUUGAUCAAUAAAAUCAAUCACGAAUCAUUGCUACAAAAGGAACAACACACAUAUUAAAUUUAUAUACAUACAUACAUACAUAUAUAUAUAUAUACAUACAUACAUAUAUAUAUAUAUAUAUAUAUAUAUAUAUAUAUAUAUAUAUAUAGGUUUAACAUAUAUGUAUGGUAAUUUAAAAACUUACCUGUAGAUCGUCAUUCACAGUCUUGAUGUACUCAAGAGUAACAUUAUCUCACUUAAGGAAGCAAACUGGAAAUGUAUCUUGCAUUCACACACCGAUGGUGUUGUUGAAGCGAACAACAUGUGGCGAGAUAGGCUUAUUUGCUCUUGGGACAAUGGAUAUUAAGAUCUUUCCAUUUUGUUGUACGUAUAUCUCUAACUCUAAAUUUCUAGAGUGUUGUCGUCUCCUAGGAUUGUGAGUAUUUGGAUGAGAGAUAUCUACGAAAACAUAACACUAUAGAAAACAGAACUCCAUGUUUAUGAAAUUUGUUUAUGUAAUGGGAAUAACCUGAAUGUCGCCCAUCGAGGAUGUUCCUCCCACGUUAUUGAAUGCGUCAUCAUCGAAAUCAAACAAAGCAUUUGUCUUUCCGAAACCUUUGGGGAAUGACAUAGUACCUGGGGACAUAAAAACCAGUGGAUUGUCGGAACACUUGGCGUGGGUUGUCUAAAUGUAGCUUGUCGUAGGUAGUCACCAGUUGUCAUUAGUUGCCGUUGGCCGAAAUGUGGCCGGCUGAUGAGAAGGAGAGGGUUGAGCACUUGGGAUUUGUUGUCGGUUGAAGAGAGGGUUAGGGAUUUGGUGUUUUUUUUUUUAAUUUUUUGGUCGUGGAAGAGGAAGAAAAAUUAAGGCUUAGAAAAAAAAUUAUAUAUUUAAUAAAUGAUUGAAUGAAAAGUUGGAGGGAAAUUGGAAGAGAGAAAUUUUGAUAAAGUUUUAGCAACACUUUUAUUUGUUGCUAAAACUAUUUAACUUUUAGUGACAUUAUUUCGUGUGUUACUAAUUCUUUUAGUGACAGAGAUUAAAAAUAUGUUGCUAAUAAGAAUAUUUUGUGACAAUUUUUUUUUGUUGCUAAAAAUGAUCAUUUACUAACAAAAAUUAAUUGCGUCACUAAAAAUUUGUCACUGAAUAAUAAAUUUCUUGUAGUGACAACAUUUUCAAAUAUAAUAAUCACAAGAUCCAUAAGCUCAUAUAAUUCACAUAGCAUCAUAUCACAAUCACAAACUUGUAUCGCAUCAAGCAUAGUCACAGUAAUCACAAUCAUUCCAGGUGAUUCAAGUCAUUAAAGCAUUCACAAAGCAUCACAAGGAUAUGGAAUUCUUCCAUCGCUUGGACCUGGGAUUCACUUCACUAGCGUCUCACGAUUUUUCUGUGAUUUUUACUAGCAUCUUGUAAUACUUAUUCUUUCUCAAAUAUGGGAUUCAUUUUCACUAGCAUGCAUCUCAUUGCCUAGACUUGAGAUUCACAUUCACUAGUGUCACGCGAUAGACCUGAGAUUCACUUUCACUAACGUCUCACACAUCAUUCCUCACCUAGAUCUGAGAUUCGCAUUCACCAGCAUCCAACAUCCAAGUACAUCAACAACACAUCUCAUACUCACUCAGAUAUGGGAUCACUUCUACCAACAUCUCAUCACCUAGAUCUGGCAUUCAUAUUCACCAACAUCUCGCAAUAGACUUUGGAUUUCCACCAACGUCUUGCGACAGAUCAUACCACACCACAAUCAACGACAAGAAGAUAUUAAGUAAUAGUUCUAAAUAAUAAACAUUAAGCAUAUGAUCAUAAGAAGUUACAAAGAAUACUCUUCAUACAAUAUUAAUAAAACACUUUCCUUAUCUGUAAGGAUCAUAAAUUACAAUGUAUCAAAGAUAAACAUUAUGCAUUAAUGUAGAAAAAUAUGAAAUUAUUCUCAACAAUCAUUUGGAUUAAAACACAUUUUCGAAAGCCAUUUUUAUUUGGAAAUACUCCGCAAGAAAAACCAUUCACAACAAACAUUUAUUUAUAAAGAAAUCACUCAUAACAAACAUGUGUUUAUAAGGAUCACUCACAAAAAUACUUAGCCUCAACUCUUUUUCCCUUUGGCUUCCGACUUCUUCUUCUUGCCCAACGAUUCCUCUCAACCAGAAGUUCAACACUCAGAACUUUCUCUUGACAAUUUACCUGAAUGUCUAACAUUUCAUGCCAUUUUUCUUUCGACACUUGGUUCUAUUUAUAGUGACAUUUCUCAUCUAAGGGUCAUCUCCAUGUUUUACACGUGUCACUUUCCCAUUUUGUUGUGCUAUGGAGCCUGUAGCCUAUUUUUAUCCUACCAAUAAUUUUCUCUAAUACUUAUAUUAGUAAUAAUUGCUAAAUUAUUUAUUUAUUUAUUUACUUUAAAAAAGGUACAAAAAUUAAUAAUAACAUAAUAUCUUAUAAUAUUUCAUUUUUAUCAUUUUAAAAAACAAAAAUAAAUCAAUUUAUUUUUUAAAAAUCUUUUAAUAUUAUAUUUGUACUAUUUUAGAAAAAAAGAAAUGAAUUUGUUUUAAAUAAAAUCUUCUAAUAUCAAUUUUGACUUACUUAAAUCAUUUUAGGAAAAAAGAAAAUCAAUUUUAAAUAAAAGUAUUUUAAUAUUCAUUUGAUGUAUUAAUAUAUUUUUCACAAAAUCUCAAAAUAUCUCAUUUUAGGAAAAUGAAAAUUUGUUUUAUUAAUAUAAUAUCAAAAUUUGAUUUUACUCUUAUUAUUUUUUCCUAAUUUGUGGUACACUCUGGGUCUAUAAAUAGGGACCAUUGUCAUUUAAAAAAAUGGUGAGGAAGAGUUUUUUUGAAACAAAGAAUUCUUUGGAAAAAAAUUUCUUACAAAAAGUCUCGAGAGAAAACGUUAGAAAUUUUUUAGAGAGAAUCUCUUAAAGGUGAGUUUUCUUAUUCAUUUCAUUACGUUAGUGUUUUACUUUUGUCGUUUUUGUUUUUGUUCCUCCCUAGCAAAUUAAAUUUCAUUUUAAAAUACACUUUGUUGGAGGUUCAUGUGGUAGGGAUUUACUCCCAAGGAUCCGCACCUCAUCGACGAGUAAAUUUUAUUUGGGAUUUGAAAAUUUGUUUUUUUUUUUUCUUUUCUUUUACGUUAAUUAUUUUUGUGUAUCAUUAUUUUAUUAAUAUUAUUAUCAUUAUUAUUAUUAUUAUUAUUAUAUAUAUGGGUGGCGGCAAGAUUUAAAAAAAAAACUUCCUUUUCUUUUCCUUUUAUUUUUUUUAUUAUUUAUAUAUUUAUUUAUUGUAGUUGUCUACCAUUUGUAUUUUCCUUUUUUAUAUUUAUUAUUUUAACGUGUUUUUCUUGCAUGCAUAAUAAUUAUUAUCAUGUAAUAUUAAAUUUAUGAAUAUUUUUUACACUUUGCAAUAUUACCAUGGUAUUUCAUAUCAAUUAUUUAAUUUUUUCUCCUUACAUCAUAUUUAUUUUUACAUUUUUUCAUUCUAAAAACAAAUCUGACGAUGGAAUUAGAAAUAUCUGAGAGUCCGUUAUUUCUAAAUUCUUGAGGUGAGUGAAUCGAUUCUUUGGGAAUCCAAGAUUCGAUUCCCAAUAUUUUUUUAAAAAAAUAAAAAGUUAUCUUACUUGCUUAAUUUAUGGUAUAUUAUAUUUGAUUUCAUUGUGCAUUAUUUCCUAUUGACCUAAUUUUGAAGAUCUUUCUUAAAUUUUCUUUUUUAACUGUUUAGAAAUUUUUACUUUACAACUGUUCCUUUUAAUUUUUUUUUAAAUGUUUAAAAUAUAAAUCUAUAUUUCAUAUGUUUUCCUUAAUCAACUUUUUUAAUAACUAAAUUCUAUUUCACUAAAAAUAUUCAUAUGAUGGAAUCUAGGAAAUUUGGGAGUCUGAUUUCCUAGAAUUCUUAAGGUGAGAGAUUACAUCUUUGAAAGUCCGAGAUUUGAUCCCAAGAAAAAAUGAAUUUAAUCAAUGAUAGAUUUUGAGAAAUUGUAAUAAUUUCUCAUUUUCUUAAGGUGUGAAACUUUCCUUCGAUAUAUAGUCUAAUUAAUGGAUUAUAAUUCCACUUAUUUUAUGAGAUUAUUGCUUCAAAUAUUGGAGUAAUGAGGGAUGAAAUAAAACAUUAAUUUUAAAAUAAAUUUUAAAAUAAAUUUAAAAAUAUUUUUAAUUCAAGAUUUUAAAUUUGGCCACCGUUUUUCUAAAUGGGUGUUGUGGGGUGCUAAUACCUUUCCCACACACAAAUGACUCACGAACUCAAUUCUAUUUUUCGCAUAUCAUUUUUUAAAAAAUUGUUUAUUUUAUUUCGGUGUCCAAUCACACCAUAAAAAAGAUUGGUGGCGACUCCUAUUUUAUUUUAAAACUAGCUCUUUUGAGGACGUCGGCCGCUCCGCGUCGUUUCGGGCACGUGGCGACACUGCCAAUCCAAAUUUGACACUUAAGUCAAACGUUAGUUACGAAUAGAUACUUUUCCUGAACCGCCAACCUUAUCUCCUUGGAAAGCCAAACUUUCUCUCGUCUAACUCUCCUCAAGAAGCCACAAAACACUUAGUUUGCCUCAGAGGGUUGUCCAAUCACCUCAUACGAAUGUCCAACUUCUUAACAAAACAUCUACCUCAUCGCGACCACACUUAGGUGCAAGCACUUCUCUUGUGUCACUACACCCAACGCCUAAUUCAUAGCAUCCACCAUGGCCUUCUUCCUCGCCAGCUAAUCUCAUCAUGUUGCUUAGUUUAACACGAUAACACUUAGACUCAAAAGCUUCUCGUCGGCUCGCCUUAUCUUCCAUCGCAUCAUUCUUCGCAUAAUACCCUCUUCUCAACAUAAAAUUUCACAAAGUUCCAAAAAUAAAAAUUUGUCCUUUAAACAUAUUAAAGGAAUAUUAGUGAAAAAUAAAAAUCUUACAAUGAUAGAUUUAUCAGACUAUUACUGCGUGUGUUAAUAAUCAAAUACAUUUUUUAUUAAUUGUAUGUUAAUUACAACAAUAAUUAUAGAGAUAAUUGAUUGUGAUUGUGAUCUAUCACUCUGUGUUAAUGGUAAAUGAAUUUAAGACAAUAGUUUUAACUUAACGUUUAGGUUUUCAUUUUGAUUCGUGUGAAAAUUGAUGUAAAAUUUGAAUCAAUCAGAGUAUUUUUUUUUUUUAAGUCUAUGAGUAUUUAUGAAACAUUUUCAAUAGUUCAUUAGGUAUUUUUAAAACGGUUUUUUAUCUAAAAUUAUUGACAAAAUAUUGACAACUUUUUUUCUUUUUUUUUUGUUGAUAACAUAUUUUUAUAUAUUUCAUCAUAUAAGUUAAUCUAUAAGUCCAUGAUAACACAUAACUAUUAGUCAUUAUAAUAUACAAAUAUUAUAGUUGUUUUAUGGUUUAAUAACUUUUGUCUAUGACAAUUAAAUUAUGUAAUUUAGGUCUAUAAAAAAUUAUGAUGAGACUCAUUAAAAGAAAAUUGAAAAAAGAAAAGAAAAAGUAAAAAGAAUCCCAUGUGUUCAUAUUUUUUAAUGGAAAUUUAGAAGAGUGUUGAAGAUUAUCAUGUGUGUGUUAUACACAAAGUCAAAUUGCAUAUAAUUUAUGACAAUCUAUACACUAAAUAGAAAUAACAGAGAUUUCUUUUCCUAAACAAAUUACAAACAACCAUCCACAUGCUUCCCUCAUCAAUUGUAAUAGUCACAUGCACUGCCACAUCAAUAUCCUUUAAUAGUUGCCCAUGAUAUGUACAUUAUACAUACAAUCAAUUAUAGUCCAAUUACCACAUUUUUCAAUGUAUAUAUACACUCGUGCAGUUUUUCCCUCUAUUAUAUGUCUACUUAAGUUUCGACGGACGGACAGGAGGGGAUUGGUGGUGGCGACGGGAUUUCAGACGGUCAGAAAUGGGAGAAAGCCGACGGGACUUCACGCGGAGGGGAGGAAGAAAUUGGGGGAAAUUUGGGGGAAAGUUAGGGCACGCGGAUGGGAGGAAGAAUUUGGGGAAAAUUUUGGGGAAUUUGGGUUUUUUUUUAAAAUAUAAAUAUGUAAUUUUAAUUUUUUAAAUAUAAAAUAAUAAAAGUUUUAACCCUAACAUUCUAUGACAUUUAAUAACUGUCGCGAAAAGUGUUUUCCGAAAAAUUCCGUCUUUUCCCGCCAAAAACGCGAAAUUUUCUAUUUUGUGACAGUUUUUUUUUUUCUAUUCAUUUUUUGAGAUUUAUAACUGUCAUAGUAGACAGGUUUUCUUCUAGUGAUCAUACUUUUUCUUAAAGCUUGCUUUCAUUUAUUACGCUACAUAACUUUGUGAUAAGGUAGGAAUGAUUUAAAGAAAGAACAAAAACUUUAAAGUUAAUUGUACUGAAAUUUGAUUUAAUUUUAACGUUACCAAAUAUAGUUGACAUUGAUAUGAAAUGUUAAUAUAUUUUGUAAAAUUUUUAGUUUAUUUUGCUGUAUUAGAAAUGCUCUGAUUUUAAUUGAUGAAUGAUAAAGUUUGUGGUUUUACGUUUAACUUUGACGAUCUCAUUUCUAUUCUUUGGACUUAAAUAGUUUGAGUUUAUAUGCGGGUUUUGAGCCUUGCAGGUUGGAGCAGGCUUCAUCAAUACUUAAUUAUUUUUCGUAAACUUAAUUUUUAAUACUUAAUAGUCUUUAUUUUUGUCGUUUUAUCGUUGUGUUGUUAUGAAGUUUCCAAGGAUCAAAGAUAUAUGUAGUUCUCUUCUUAUCUGUUGUUCUUUUCUUGAGUAUUCUUCAAACUCUUUAUCAUCAUAAGAACUUUGAAAUAAAGGGUCUGAAAUUAUUGUCCUUUACUUUUCUUAAUGGAUAUAUGAUAUAUCCUUCUGGCCUUGUGCAAAAUAUGCAUAUAUGAACGCAUGAUAUAGAGUCCUACAGAAAAAUGGCACUUUGGUUGGGAAGAAAGGGUACAAAGACAACUCAUAAAAUUUUAUAAAGUCAUUUAUUCAUUGUACACCAAUUUCAUGGACAAGAAAAUAACAGUGAAACAUUAUAUGAUGGGAAGAUAUAAUUGCUCUAGAAAGUUGAAUUCAUUGUCCUCUCACUUUCCAUGAUUGUAAAUAUAACGUGUUUUGUCAUUUUAUCUGACUCUUUUUUAGUCUGAAUCAACUUGAAUAUGUAUAGUUUAACUCAUUAAGAUGCAUAUCUUCAAUCAUCGAACCCCAAAUUCCUUCACUCACACGUGUUGGACUUUAAAACAAAAAACAAAAAACAAAAGCAAAAGUAAAAGUAAAAUUUGAUUUUUAAAAAUAUAUUCCCAAAAGAAGUAAUUCUUACUAGUGUAUGUUGUCAAAAUUAUAAGACUAGGUUUUUUAUGCUAAAAUCUAGAUAGGAAAUGUAUCUAACCGUGUCAUGACAAGAACUAUAAGUUUGUUUGUUUUUUUUUUUUUUAAAGAACGUGACUUACAAGAUAAGAAAGCUUUACACAUCGACGUGGUCCUUGCCACACCGACUUCUAGAAGUUAACAAGAUAGAUCUAUGUUAAGUUAACAAAGAAAUCUUUAUGGCAAGUAUACAAUUUUAAUAUUAGAGUCGACUUACUUUCCUCGAGGUUUUCAAUGUAGUUAACUUAACAUUUAGUUAUUGUAAUAGGUAUAUCAAGUUUUUGGAUAAUAAUCAAGUGUAUAACAACAUUUUAAAAAAAAUAUAAAUAUAGUAAAGUCUAUUAUAGCAAUAAUCUAUAAGUGAUAGGAUAGACUUCUAUCACCGAUAAACUUGUAUGAUUUAUCAGCAAUAGUCCAUCAGUAAUAUAAGAGUCUAUAACAAUAGAAGUCUAUCGUUGAUAGCUAGAUUUUGUUAUAUUUACAACUUUUUAAAAAUAUUGCUAUAGAUGCUAAUAUUGUUAUUCUCGUUGCUAUAUUUUACCACUUUUACUCUUGUUGCUAUAUUCUCUCCUUAAAAGUAAUAGAAAAAUGGUAAUUUCUUUUAAGAAUCAUUUUAAGAGCCAAGUCUUUCCUUUGGAAUUUUUUUUAUGUUGUUUUUUUUUCUUAAUUUAUGUUAUCCUACCGAUUAUAUUUAAAUUCUUAGAGGUCGUUUAGAACAAUGAUUGAGUUAUAAUAAUAGUCUUGAGAUUAUAAUAGUUUGUGUUUGGGUAUAGAGUAUUAUAGUUUUGGAGUGCAAACUAUUAUAGUAUGUGUUAUUAUAAUAUGUGUAAUUGGGUUGCAUAUUAAUUAUAGUCUAUCACUAUAAUCUGUGUUUGGAGUGAAGACUAUAAUAAUCAGGUUUUUCACGUACACUUUUUUGGCAUACAUAUAUUGUACAUGAAAUACACAUUUUUCUUCAUUUGAUUUUAUAAAAUAUGGUUAAUUAGGAUGUUCAUUUAACAAAUUUAGCUUAAAACUGAGUUUUUCACUAUCGUGAGUGACUAAUUGGUGUCAGUACAGAGAAUUGAACAGAUGAUGGGUCAACAAACAUAAAUGCUAAAAAGAAACUCAAAUAAUAUUAUUUUUCUCUUUUUAUGAAAACAUUAAUUAGUAAUAAAAAAUUGUCAUUACAUAAGUCACGGACUUUAAUUCAUGAUAUGUCGUAACAGUGUUGGGUUAAUGACAAUUUACGACCACUCGAUCAACAUAAGAUCAUCUUAGAGAAUCAUAAAAAGUGAAAAUGAGCUAAAAAUGUUUAAAUGCUAUUUUAAUUAAUUAAAUUUAAAUAUUUAUUUAUGCUUAAUUUACAUAAAUAUAACAAAAUUCAAAAAUACUUACGGUCCAUGUAACAAAAAAUUAAAGUCUGAAACUACCAUUAUUUUUUCAUAAAAUUCAAAUAUGUCCUUUGUUAUUUUUUAAUAUUGUGGAACCAUUUUUCACUUUACUCUUCUUUUUCUUCUCUGUGAUUUAUUCUUCGCGAUAUUUAUGAAUGAUAAAAAAUUUCUUAAACUAAUGAUAUGGAUGUUAAAUGCGUCAUAAUUAUGGAGAAUAAAAUCAUUUUAUAAAAGAAUCAUUAAAUGAAGUAUUUUAUGGAAGUUUUGAUUUCAAUUUAUUAUUACAUUAAACGAACUAUUCUAUGGAUUGAUGGUUAGAUGCAUAAUUAUAUAGAAAUAAAAUCUUAAUAUGAAGUUGUUAUUAUAUCAAAUGCACGAUUUUAGGAAAUGAUACAAAUUUAAAUUCAUAUUUGGAGAUCUUUCGACUAAACUUUCAAAAUCAAAUAAUAAAAUGAAUAUUUAUUAUUAUACAUAUAAUAUGAAAACAAUAAAGGAUAAAUAUGAAAAUUGUGUAUUUGUAUGAUAUAAUAAAAUGUUACUAAGUAUUAAUCAAACCUUAUGAAACGUAUAAUGAAUAAACUAUAUUAUCAAUCAUUUUAUGGUUUGCAAAAAAGAGUAUGAAUUAAAUAGCUAUUAGUAUAUAUAUAUUAAUAAAAAUAAAUUAUUAAUUACUUGAUUUGAAACCUACAAAUCCAAAGAUCUGGUAUAAAUUGCCCUUAUAAAUCUAGCGAAUGUUGAUUUAAUCACAUCAAUCUCGAAAAUAAAUAUUUAUUUAAUAUUUUUAUGAAACGGAAUGAUUUGCAAAUACAGUGUAUUCGUGAUUGUGGGUUAUAUUUCAUCAUUCUAACCUACACAAAUACACUGUAUAUCUACGAUAAAGGAAUUUCCCUCUAUGGAGGGGUAAAUAAAUAUUUUUGAAAUUUACUAUUUUCUAAUUUAUUAUCCAUAUUAUUUUGUCAUUCUCAUCGUUUUCUCGAGAGAAAAAUAGGAAGAAAGAAGUAUAAACUAACAUUACGCUUCAUUUCCUUCUAAAUAUUUAGCCAUACAAUAGGAGAAUAUGAUCAAUAACAAUGGGGGCUAAAGAUUAAUGAGACAUCCAUAAGUAAUGACUGAAUGAUUCAAAUCACAUUCUUGAAAUUUCAUUUCAAAGAUGAUGUAGUAAACACUAAUGACAAAAUUAUUUCAUGAAUGGAGAAGUAAAUGCCAUACCAACCCAUAUACAGAAUGCUAAGUACGUACGGAUCCAUAAAUACAAUUGCAGCCCUAAGUAAGCUUCAUAAGUGUUGUUCUCUUUCUUUUUCAUAUUUCACUUCGUCAAAUCAUUAUUCCUAGCCAAUACAAACAAUAAUAACUUUACACAGGCACUCUAACUUAAAUCUUUCAAACACAAGCACACGCUUGUUCUCAUCACCAACCAUUGUAUAGCCAUCCAUCAUGGUGUGAUAUAUGUCAAUUGGAGCAUCUAUGCCUUCUUCUUCCAUUUCCUUUACCAAAGCUUCAGCUCUAUCCACAUUGCAUCUUUGACUAGAGCCAAAACUAAUUAAUAUAUAUAAUGGUAUGUCCCUUGUAAAAUACCAGCAAGUAACCAAAGAAAACAGAAACUUGACGACAUAAACACAAGGAACACAUUUGUCAUUUCUAUAAUAAUUAAAGUCAAAAUUGAUAUAUGAAAUUACCGGUAGGCAUAUAUAAUAUUCACAUGAAUGAUUGCAUUCAAUGAAGAGUGUUGUGAUCUGCAGAUCUUCCAAGACAAAUGCAAAUGUAAUACAAUUUAGACAAAACAGAUGCAAAGGGAAAAUGAAUUACCAAUAAUGUCCAUGGGUAUAGAAACAGAGAAAAACAUUUAAAAGACUAAAAAUUGACUUUCAAAACCAGUUCAACAAGAGUAAGAAAAUAAAAAGAAGCACACCUCAACGAUUUGGUGUCAUUAUGCUGCAAAGAAUGAGCAGGAAGGUGCUUAGAGACUAAAGAAAAAGCAUUAGAGUGACUUCAACCCCAUAGCCCAAAGAAAUAAAAUUUAUGAUUUUAGGAAAAAAGGGAUUUUUAGGACAAAAUUAGUAAUCUAGCUUAUUACAUAUUAGAAGAGAUAGUAGUGACGGCAUCAAAAGAGAAAGGUCAACGACAAGGAUGGUGGUCGGUGGUGCACUUUCGUAACUCAAUGUUUCAAAUUUCUUAUAGUGACAUUAAUAAUAACACAAAGAGAUACAUAAAGAGUUAUGCAUAACUCAUACUCAAAAUGAAUCUAUUUAAAAAACAUUACAAAACAUUGAGUUUAUACAAAUCUUUCGUCGCAUGAGUAUUUAGCGUAAGAAAGUCACUCACAUAGGAUUGUUUAGUUUAGGGAAGUCACUUGCGAAAAUGUCUGAUCUUCUUCUUCCCCUUACACCUCUCCUUGCCUAGAACUCUCUUAGCGACAACUCUACUCCUUGCAAUCUCUCGACAAAACUUCUAAAUAACAGCACUUCGUUUAGAGCCUUCACCCCUAUUAUUACUAAUCCUUUGGACCGGUUACCCUCUUUGCUCUCCAGUUCGGAAUUAUAACUUUACACGUAUCACCUUACCGCCUUGCAACAUUAUGCAGCCAAACCAAGCUCGACACGUAAGCCAACGUCAACUUAAGAUUAGACAUCCCCUCAAGACACAAAUCUUAUCAUCUCAAAAAGCUAAACUCUUUUUCCUGUCUUCUCUUUCUCGCGAUAAACCACAACCACCCACUUCUCUUAUAACUCCUCUUCGCAUUACUUCACCAGAUCGCCUAACUCUUCUUAUGAUAGAACUUCUUCACUGUGACAACUCUUCCUCCAUCGCCUUCUUUUAAUGCGACUUUCUUCCUUUCCUUUGAUUUUUUUCUUUAGAAUGAUCAAUUUUUUUUAUUUUAGAAGGAUCAUCUCACUCGGCGCCUCUCUUCUGCAACAGAACUCCUUUCUCGGAUAUGGACCUCACAAUGUGGGUUUGUGGGUUUUUUUCUUUUUCAAAAUUGUUUUAUACUAUGUAAAUUGUUUUAGAUUUUCAAAUUUUCUCUUCAAACUUCUAAACUUUAUAUAUUUACUUAGACUAUAAGUUUUGGUCAUUUAAAUUUUAAUAAUUUUGAUUCUAAUAAAAUAGUAACAUUAUAAGCAUUCUUUAAAACUUUAAAAAAUUAUUAUUUUUCUUUUAAAACUUUUGAUAAAAUAUCAUUUAACUUUAAACUUGUUUCAAAUUAAAAUAUGAAAAUUGAUUUUGUGGUCAAAGUAGUGUUAAAUAUCCAUUGUCAUUAAUUUUUAUAAAUGAUAUUACAAUCUUUUAAUUUUUUAAUGUAAUGCAAAUUUUUAUUUAAUUUUUUAAUUAAACUACAUCUUUAAAGAUAUACAUGAACAAAAUUGAUUUCAUGAUUUUUCUUGUGGCAUAAUUAAAAUUUGUAAAAUAUAUAACAAUCCUUGGGGGGGGGGGAGGGAGGAGAAAUGAUGGAGGAGUAUAAUAGUCUUAGUCUCAUCCCAAGGUUAGCUUACUCGAGUUUGUCGUAGUAUGAGGGUCAAACGACUCCUUAAUAUAAUAUAUAGCAUGUUUUGUUUAAUUGUUUUCCAUCCUUACUUUUAGAAAUGAGUUAUUGAAAAAUUGUAAAAUAUAUAUUUGGCUAUACCACUUAAAUUUAACUUUGGAAUUUCUCUUAAAUGUAGUCCAAACCAUUUUGAGAGAAGAGUGAAUUCAAAUAGAAAUACAAUUUUUCAAAAACAUUUUUUUAUUGUGAAGUAGUCAAACAAAUCCUAUUAUCUAGUCAAAUUGACAAAUAUUGAAUGUUUGUAUUUUAUGAUGGGAGAAAGUACUUAUAAAAACAAAGUUAAAUCAAAAUUCAGUAAUCAAAUAAAAGAAAAUGUAGAAUAGUUAAUUAAUAAUAUAAAAAAUCAUAGGUAUAAAUUGAUAUAUUGUUUUCUUUAAAUUAUGAAAUAUAGUCAACUUGGGUUGUAUUUUUGUGUGGUACAAUGUUUGAAAAAGAGAAAGAAAUAAGCAUGUGUAGAACUAUAUUAUUCCAUGAUAGCAAUAUGCCAGUUUUGAAUAGUAAUUUUCUAUUUCAAACCAAACACACUAUAUAAUAUAAUCAUUGCUGUUGGCCCUUUCUUUCUCUCUUUCAUUUAUUUUGAUAACAUCAAAUCCAACUCCAAGAAAGAUUUUCUGUGUAGCAAUAUCAUCCAACAACUAUUUGGGUAUGUUACAUGUUGAUGCCAAUAAAUAUAUGGAUGUUUUAAUUUUACGAAAAUAUCAAUAAAUGUAUUAUAGAUUGUGAAUGUUGAUGGAAUAUUUCUCCAAAAAAUAUUAUGAACACAACAAGAAAAAAAUUUAAGCAUUUUUAGGAUUAUAGAGAAGUUAAUGUGAUUAUCAUUUAUGUAAUUAAUACUUACAUAAAAAGUAUACAUUUUUAGUAUAUAAUAAAAAUCAAUUAAAAUAUGGAGAUGUGAACAAAAAUUUAGUAUGAUGAUUAUCUAACAAAUAGUUGGUUACGGAUUGAUAUGAGUUUCAAAAGAGAUACCAUCGUCUUAACUUUAUUUGGUAUAUUUUUCUCCAUUCAAAGUGUUAAUACUGUUUUCUUUACUUUAAAUAUAAAUUUAAAAAAUUAAUGUUAAUAUUGUAUGAUUCUUUUCUAUUUUUGUCUUUUGAUUAUUAUAAAUGUGGAUGUUUUUAUCAUCUGGAAAAUGUUUCUUUUUUUAAAAAAAAAAAAUUUAUUAAAAAAAAACAAACUUGUAAAUUAAACCAUGGCUAAUAGGAGAAAGAUGAUGCUUUUUAAGUAAGGUAUCGGGGUUUAGUGUAACGAACAACUUUUGACGCCAUGAACUCGUGUCAAGAGUUGGACAACUUUUGUACUGCGUCGUCGGGAGUUUCCUUUUAAAACCAUCUCUUAGAUAUGAAAAUUUCAGAUCUACAAAAACAAAAUCUUUCCCCAUUUUCGAUCGCUACAAAAACCCUUCUCCUUUUUCCUAUUCUGCUGGUCCUCCUACUGUUGUCAUCGCUCCUCUCGUUGUCCGUCGUCUUUGUCCCAUUAUCUCAGUUUCGUGAAUCUCUUCCUAUUUUCAUUACAGAUUACGUUGAAGUGGGAUAAAUUGUGUUUGAGGGAUGAUUUUGCUUGUGAUAUACAUCUUGGGUUGAAGUUGUUUAAUGUAUGAUUGGGUUGAUUGAAAUUGCUUGUAGGAAGAGACUUUCUCCCAACUAGUGGAAGUCAUUGGAAGUUAGCAAGACUACUAGUGGCCUUCUCCAGCUCAUUGGGAGUUUUUCUCCCAAUAGGUUUUUCUAACCAUUUUGUUAACAACCUAUUGGUGAUCAGAAGUGCAAUUUCAAAGGCCAAUGUCCUCAUUAUCUAAGGUGUCAAGAGAUAUACUUUUUUUCUUAUAGUGUGUGCAUCGUUCUCAACAGAAAACUCGUAAAUUAUUAAAUAUCAUAGUUACGACCACUAGUUUAGUCAUUUAUGAAGGUCACUUUACAACGUGUUAUUCUUGGUCACACACUCACACACUUAUUUUUCUCUUUAACAUUUUGAUUUUCUUUCAUGUCCUUGUGCUGCUGCUUGUGUAUCCCACCAUUCAAAAAUUGGAUUCCAACAUGAGGUGACAUUCAUGUUUUUGCUUUAUUUUCAUUUUUGGACACUUACACACUUAACUUUUUAGGAAAUUUAUCAUUCUCAAAAUAUUUAUAAAUUUCAUAUUUUAUACACUAGAAGAUACUAUAGGCUUUUAUCAAUGUCAAUCGUUAAUCUAAUUUAAAAUUUUAUUAUAUUUUGUAAAUAUUUUUGUUAUAUUUGAAAACGUUUUCUAAAUUUUUUAUACUGCAAAACUAUAACCUAGUUUAAAGAAAAUUAAAUUGGAUUGAAAUAAAAUAGUCCGACCAAUUACUUAAAUGUAGUCAAUUCCAUUCAUUAUCUUACACAUUAACUAAAAUUUUUAAUAAUUCCUAAAAACCAAUUAUAAUUUUAAGCUACAAAAUGGUGUUAAAAAUGAAUUAUACAUUUUUUUUCCCAAGGUUGCAAUAUUAUCUUCCAUCCAACACUUCGAAUGGAGUAAAAUUUUAGAUAGAUCUUGAGACCUAAAAUAAGUGGUGAGAGAUUUUUGUCUUAAUUUAUAUUCAAGUCACUACCACGUCAAUUCAUAUCAGAAUAGUUUUGAAAUAUUUAUAAAAAGAAACGGUGAAUAUUGCAAGUUGGAAAGAAGAAGAAUGAUUUUUAAAUAGAAGACAAAAACUAAAGGUGUUAAGUAAGUUAUAAAGGAAUAAGAGGAUUUUGAAGACAAAUGAAAAAGAUAAAAAAGAGAGUAUUAGUUAAUUGUUUUUGUUCAUAUACUUCAGUAAUAGUAUUUAACCAUUUUUUGUGACAGAAGACACUGAUGGUGAACGUAAGUUUUAGUUUAACAUUUCCAUCUAAAAUCAGCAAUAGAAUAUUUUAAAACUGGUUUAAAAAGUUUUAAGAGUCUUCUCCAAAAAAAAUUAAUAUCCAGUAUAAAAAGAGACCACAAUUCUCUAUAAGGUUAAAAGAAAAAGGUACCGUAUUAAGAUAUUCUCAUGUUUGCAUUUGAUUGAAUUCCAAGAAUGUGACCUCCUAUCAUAAAUCAGAGGAAGACAGCCAUUACUCAAUUGGCUUGGAUCAUCAUGCUUCCAACCUUAGUGCUAAAAUGACUUCAAUUCAUUUGAAUAGGAAAUAUCAUUUCAAUAGAAAAAUAUUUUAUCAAAUUAAAUCAUAAACUAAUAGUUGUAUCCAUCCAUAUACGUAUAUUCUCACUGUCUAUUUUGUAAACCGGCAUUUGAAAAAGUUUACACACGCUUAAGAAUCAAUUCAUGGUUUAUUUUAACGAGAGAUAACCAUAAUGAAAUAUCCAAAUUGAUUAAUAUAUGAAAAUUUAGCGGUUUACAAAAUAGAUAUUUGAAAAUAAAAAAUAAAAAAUGAUUAAAAAAAAGUUAUUUUUGUCCCCAUUAAAGUCAUUAUAGACAAAAAAGAUAACAGCAUUUAGCACCUGCUAGAAAUGUUUGUGGGUGGUCCUUGAUCCUACCUGAAUAAACAGUAAAUAAAGCAACAAAUAAACAAUCCCCAAGUUUUUACCUCUUCUGCCCCUUUGCCAUUGCAAUGUGACAUGCUUCAAUUCACAAUUUAUAGUUCAAAACGUUCAUCACAAACACAAAAACAAUAACAUGAGGUAAGGUUAAUCUUUAUGUAAUUGAUGCUUCUUUUAACUCAUAAUUUUCAAUCAGUCAUCAAGGUUUGCAAAGUACGUGAAUUCGGUGGUUAGACUUGGCCGAACACCCCAGUGCUUUCUUCACAGUUCAAACUGUAACCCUUGUAACAGUUCCAAGUGAUGAAGUCUAGUUCAUCCAAGAUUCAAGUCCCUCCAUGUCAAUUCAAUAUUCUUUUUUCUUUCUCAUCAAACACAUCCUUUUGAAAAGAUUCUCAUGCAAGGUAAGUUCGAGUAACUCAAAGAAAUUGACAAGGGCCUACACAAGAAGUGGAGCACGUGGUUUAAUCAACACUCCCCCUAUCUCUGAAAGCUACGGCCAACUUCCAUGUCUUUCUAUGUAAUGGAAUGACAACGACUUUCACUUAAGACCCUCUAUGUAGUUGUUGAAAUAGGGUGAUCGAUCUACAUCUUCAUCCAUAGCUCUAAGGCAGUGUCAGAUAAUUCACAGAACUUUUAGGUAAGAUGAAAAGCAGCAAUUGCAUAGCAUCAUCAUUUCAUGACUGCAUAUGGAUGCUGCAGCAAAGAGUGGCAAGGAAAAUGUAACUUUGCACUGAACUAUACUAAUUCCUCUUCUUCCAACCUGUUAGUGUAUAAACAGUAAACAUGAAUCCAAAACUGUCAACUUCAAGACCAAAAAGGCUCUAAAUAAAGAUAUAUCCAUAAGAACAUUUUCUUUCAUUAGAAUAUAAGAAUACUAACAGUUGUUUCCUAAGCAAUAAUCCCUGGAGCGGGCGAGCCAACUCAAGCGCUUCAAGUAGCAGUAUUCUAUCAGAAUUACAGAUCGUCGAGAUUUGCACAGAUAUGCUGGAAAUAACAUGGGAUGAUGAAGAAAUGUGCUUGAAGGAUCAGUAUACACAAGAGGGAAAAACAACCUCCGAGUCAGAGAUGUUGCAACUUCUCUAAAUUUAAAGAUGCUCUCUAUCUACUUAAUGAAAUUCAUUGCACAAACCAAGUAAACACCAAUACCCUUCUAUAUUAGUUGAACCACCACCUGAUCGAUUAUAAAAUCUUAGAUUGAGUUAAAGAGAAGUUUUUGAUAACAAGAACAUCAGAAACCUCACUGAUUCCAACACAUUCUAAUUCUUCUAUCCAAAAUAAUAAUAAAAAGAAUUCCGUAGAUGUUUACCAUUAUUUCCACUAAAAGCACAAAACUGUCACUAAAAAGUGAUCACAGAUUAUUGGAGAAAGUUUGAAGCCAAUGCCUCUCUAAUUUGUGGGCUUGGUCCAGGAAUUGGUUGUAUGUUGUCACGAGAUCAACAUAAAUUGAUAUCCACUCUCUCAAUUCCAUUUUUCUAUAAGCCCCAUUUCAUUACGGUUUUGAGGUUUUUUUUUAGGAAAAAGUAACUGAACUUGUACCCACCACUCUCACCUAUAACUCUUUUUGUUUAGUUAUUCACUUUCUACCAUGUUUUGAAAAACAGAAACUAAGGUUUGAAAGAUAAAUAGUUUUUCUGGCUAAAUUGCAAAUUUGGUCUCAUUAGAAUUUAAUCUCUAUGGUUUGACACAACUCUCAUAAAUUGCCCUUGUUAUAGUAUAUAUCUUGAAGAUAUUAGUCUUUUGUCCUUUAUUGUAAUUUACCAGUCUUUAGUUAGAGGUUCCAUGUAUGCAUAUAUAUUAAACUCUAUAGCAUAGAAUGAAGUAAGGAGUUCUCUCAUAUUUUGCUCUAACUUUCACAUGGUAUCAGAGUGUAAGGCCCCCAAUUAUUCACACAUAUAUGAGGAAGGGUAGAAGGGUAAGUACACCAGCUAUUAAUAAUGGAAAAUGAUUGGAGAAUGAAUCGUGCAGGGUAGGGCCCACUGGGAUGAAAGAUAUGAGGCCUAUAAAUAGCUAUUAGUAAGUAUUUGGUAGCUAGGUUAGGUUAUUUUUUGUCUUCUUUAUGGUGUAAGGCUGCUGCUGUAGCCACAAGGAGUCUCUAUUUGUUAAAGGAGGCUGGAAUAUUUCUUUUCUGUUUUUUCCUUGUUUAUCUUCAUAUUGUGACUGUGUAAUCUCUUUUUGGCUUAUAUAUAAAUAAAGAGAAUCAAAUUACCGCAUCUGUUUAGCCAUUGUUAGGGAAUUUUGUGUGUUAUUAGUGUUGGUAGCCUAACAUUUGGUAUCAGGGCCAGAAAACUGGGGUAGUUAUAAGACUCGUGGCACAAAGACAAAUAGAGGAAAGAAUGGAAGGAACAGAGAAAGAAAUAAUGGGCAUGAAAGAAAUACUAAUCGAAAUGAAGAAAUCAAUGGAGAGAAUGGCUGAUGAAUUAAGGAAAAGCCAUAGCUACAAAAAAAAGAGAAGAGUCUGGGACUUCGAAUGGAUCUAUCAUGAAGCUAAAAGGAAAAAUAGAGGAUGUGGACACUAUAAACGAGGCAAACAUGACCACAGUAUACCAAAGAAAAUACAAAAAAUUGAAAAUGCAGAUUUUUAUGGGAGAAAACCCCGUGUCAUGGGUCUACAGGGCAGAACACUUCUUUGAAAUCAAUAACCUACCAGAAGCAGAAAAGGUCAAGGUUGUUGUAGUAAGUUUUGGACAGGAUGAAGUAGACUGGUAUAGAUGGUCUCAUAAUAGGAAGAAAGUUGAAUCAUGGGAGGACCUUAAAGGAAGGAUGUUCAAAUUUUUUAAGGACACGAGCUAGAAAAGCUUAGUCGCAAGGUUGAUCAGAAUUCAACAAGAUGGCUCAUACAACAACUACGUGAAGAAGUUCGUUAAUUAUUCAGCUCCCCUACCUCACAUGGCAGAGAGUGUGCCAAGGGAUGAGUUUGUAACAGGAUUAAAACCAGACCUUCAGGCCGAAGUUAUUUGCAGACAUCCGCAAACUUUGGAAGAUUGUAUGAAAGAAGCCCAGUUGGUCAAUGAUAGGAAUUUGGCAUUGAAAUUGGCAAAGAUAGAGUGGGGAUUGAUGGAACAGAAAAAAAGAGAAGGGAACUCCGGUAAGAAUCAAGGAGGAGAGAAGGGAGUUCAGAGGAAAACAAAAUUUCCAAUGAAACAGGUAACUAUUCCAAUUAGAGGCAAUUACCAAAAGAGUGAACCCCCUUUGAAACGACUAUAAGAUGCAGAGUUCCAGGCUUGACUUGACAAGGGUAUGUGCUUUAAAUGUAAUGAAAGAUAUUCGCCAAGAAAUAGGUGCGAAAUGAAGGAAAAAAAGGAGUUGAUGUUGUUCAUCCUAAAUGAAGAGGAGAGUACUGAGGAUGAAGGCAGAACAGAGGAAAAUAUUGAGGAAGUAUUGGAAUUAAAACAGAUCAACCUAGCGAAUGGAACAGAAAUUGAACUAACGGCGAUCCAUGAAUUGACAUCUAAAGGAACCAUGAAGUUAAAGGGAGAAUUAAAAAGGAAGGAAGUCGAUGUGCUAAUUGACAGUGGACCCACAACUUCAUACACACUAAGAUUGUAGAGGAAAAGGAAUUACCCUUGGAAAGGGAGACUCAAUUUGGUGUCAUGAUUGGAGAUGGCACAAGAUGCAAAGGAAGGGGGAUGUGUAGGAGAAUAGAGCUGAGGCUUAAAGAAAUCACGGUUGUGGCUGAUUUUUUGGCAACUGAACUUGGAAAUGUGGAUAUAAUCUUGGGGAUGCAAUGGCUGGACACCACUGAAACAAUGAAGAUACAUUGGCCUUCCCUAACUAUGACCUUUUGGGUAGGAGCAAAACAAAUUGUCCUCAAGAUUGAUCCCUCUCUCAUUAGAGCUGAAUGUUCUUUGAGAACUAUAGAGAAAACCUAGGAGGAGGAGGAUCAGGGCUUCCUCUUAGAGCUGCAGAAUUAUGAUAUAGAUUUGAGUGAUGAAUUCGAUGAAGAACAUGAAGUGAAGGGUGAUGAAGAAGAGGCACCCAAUGAUCAAACUUCUUCUACAACAGUAUGCAUACUUAUUUGAGGACCCUAGAGAGCUACCUCCUAAGAGAGAAGUGGAUCACCGCAUUCUUAUAUUGUCAUAACAGAAACCUAUCAAUGUGAGACCAUACAAAUAUGGGCAUGUCCAAAAAGAAGAAAUUGAGAAACUGGUGGCAGAUAUGCUACAAACAGGUGUGAUUAGGCCUAGCUUCAGCCCCUACUCCAGCCUAGUUUUGUUAGUGAAAAAGAAGGACGGGGGAUGAAGAUUCUUUGUUGACUACAGGAAACUAAACCAAGUCACCAUAUCCUAUAAGUUUCUCAUACCCGUGAUUGAGGAGCUGUUAGAUGCAUUGAACGGAGCAACCGUUUUCUCAAAGCUGGACUUGAAGUCAGGGUAUCACCAAAUAAGGAUGAGAGAGGAAGACGUUGAGAAAACGGCUUUCAAAACGCACGAGGGCCACUACGAGUUCACAGUCAUGCCUUUUGGCCUCACGAACGCACCGGCUACCUUCAGUCAUUAAUGAAUCAAGUAUUUAAACAUUUUCUAAGACGGUGUGUAUUGGCUUUUUUUAUGAUAUACUGGUGUAUAGUGCGGAUCUUACCAAGCAUGAGAAGCAUCUUGGGAUGGUUUUUGCGGUGAUGAGGGAUAUCCAGCUAUUCGCUAACAAGAAAAAGUGUGUGACAGCACACUCACAAAUUCAAUAUUUGGGGCACUUGAGAUCCAAUAAAGGAGUAGAGGUAGAUGAAGAGAUGAUCAGGGACAUAGUUAAUUGUCCUCGGCCAAAAGAUGUGACGGGUGGGUUGAGAGGUUUUUUAGGAUUGACAGGGUACCAUAGGAGGUUUGUAAAGGAAUAUGGUGAGAUUGCGGCCCCUUUAACCAAGUUAUUGCAUAAGAAUUCCUUCCAUUGGAAUGAAUAAGCUACAAUAGCCUUUGAUAAGUUGAAGUUAGCCAUGACUACAAUCCCUAUGCUAGCAUUACCAGUUUGGAAUUUGCCCUUCAUUAUUGAAACCGACGUCUGGAAUUGGUUUAAGGGUUGCACUAUCCCAAAAUGGUCAUCCCAUAGCUUUCUUUAGUAAAAAAUUGUCACUCAGGGCCCAAACAAAAUCCAUACAUGAAAGGGAACUUAUGGCAGUAGUACACUCUGUACAGAAAUGGAGACAUUACCUUUUAGGUAAGAAGUUUACAAUCAUAUCAGAUCAGAGGGCCUUAGCAUUUUUUUUAGAACAAAGAGAGGUGCAUCCUCAGUUCCAAAAGUGGUUGACUAAACUCCUAGGAUUUGAUUUUGAAAUACUCUACCAGCUAGGGUUACAAAACAAAGCGGCUGAUGCUCUUUCCAGAAUAGAACCACUGGAAUUGAAGACUAUGACAACCAUAGGAAUAGUGAAUAUGGAAGUGGUAGAGAAGGAGGUCGAGUUGGACGAGGAUCUCAAAAGAGUCAUCGAGGAAUUGAAGAAAAAUCCAGAUGAGUCAAGUUUCAAUGGGGCAAUGGGAAUUUAUUUUAUAAGAAAAGAAUAGUAUUGUCUAAAACUUCUUCCUUAAUAGCCACCCUGCUACAUACGUUUUAUGAUUCUGUUUUGGGAGGCCACUCAGGAUUCUUAUGGACAUAUAAAAGGAUGAGAGGAGAACUGUACUGGAAGGGCAUGAAAACAGACGUUAAAAAGUAUGUCGAGCAGUGUGAUGUUUGUCAGAGGAAUAAGUUUGAAGCAACCAAACCAGCGGGAGUUCUGCAACCAAUUCCUAUUCCAGAAAAGAUUUUGGAAGAAUAGUCGAUGGAUUUCAUUGAAGGACUACCCAAGGUGGGAGGAAUGAACGUUAUCAUGGUAGUAGUAGACCGGCUAAGCAAAUACUCCUAUUUCAUAACCAUGAAACAUCCAUUCACUGCCAAGCAUGUGCCUGAAGUGUUUAUUGGAAGGGUGGUGAGCAAACAUGGAAUACCAAAGUCAAUUAUAUCCGAGGGGGACAAGAUCUUUAUUAGUAACUUUUGGAAUGAACUAUUUGCAACCAUGGAAACAAUUUUGAAAAGUACAACCUUCCACCCGCAAACAGAUGGUCAGACAAAGGGUAAAUCGAUGUGUGGAAACAUAUUUAAUGUGCUUCUGUAAUGAGCAGCCUCAGAAGUGGGAUAAAUUCAUUCCAUGGGCUGAAUUGUGGUACAACACAACCUUCCACGCUUCAACAAAAACAACUCCUUUCCAGAUUGUGUAUGGUAGACACACACACCCCCCCCCCCCCCCCCCUUGUCCUACGGAAACAACAAGACAUCUAAUAAUGAGGUAGAACUGAUGCUGAAGGAAAGGGACCUGGCCUUAAAUGCACUGAAAGAAAAUUUGAACAUAGCACAAAAUCGAAGAAGAAGAUGGCAGACACUAAAAGGAGAGAACUCAAAUUCAAGGUUGGGGAUGAGGUCUAUCUAAAACUGAGACCCUAUCGACAACGUUCCUUAGCUCAACAGUAAGGGCUAUUGCUAAUGAUUUUAUCAGACCAUAAGGAUUAUUUAUAAGGUUCAUCAAACCAUAGGGACUAACUAUAGUGGUCAAAUCUGUAUUAACCUUUUCUUUUAAAGUAAUUUGUCUAAAAAUUCAAAUGCUUUUGUUAAAAAAAUUGAAAACGGGAAUGAAAGAAAUAAAAAUAAAUAGAAAUAGAAAUAAAUAAAAAAAGAAAUGGAUCUUGGAGCUUGAAGCCUCUCUGAGAAUUGGAGAAAACAGACCCACAAACACUGGACCCAAAUAUUGUAUUACAUAACAAAAUGUAAAAUUAAGGAAGAAAGCACCACAAAAUCCACAAGAUUGAGAAUUGAUAAUAUGCAUUAUGCAUUUCUCCAUUGAAUGAGCUCAAUAAUCCAGCAGUAAAUAUACUCAUCUGUAAGCUAGAUUGUUCAUUAAUUUGAAUGCGUGACCAAAACUGUAGAAUUGGUUCAGAGAAAUGGCAUCAAUUUGACACAAAAUAUCCAACCAUUUUUCAAAUUCCUCAACCAAGAUAGAUUCCACAUAAGUAAAGGCAAAACAGUGAAAAACAGUCAUUUGUAUUGUCACCUUUCUAACUUUACAUGCUAGAUGUAAGCAAUGAAAAAUACUCAAAUAGAACUCUAACCUAUUACCAACAUAACGAGAAAUAUAUAAACAGCAGCAGCUAGUCGAUUCAAAGUAGUGGCUUAAUUAAAAGCAAAUCUUCCAACCUGAUAGAAUUAAUUCAGAUCAUGUCAGCCAAUUAAUGAAAUCCUGAUCCAAUUUGCUUUUGCUUUAAGUCAAGUGCAAGGCGCUCAUUUUCAAGCUUCAUCCUCUCGUUCACCAUCCUCAUUUUUUCCAACUCGCGGUCCUUUUUCUUGUUAAAUCUCUCCCACUUAAACUUUUGUUUCUCCAGUUCCAACAUUUCAACUUGAAUUUGAAGUUUCUGAUCUUCCAAUUGAAGUAAGCGAAGCUCCAUCCACUGCUUUUGCGAUGUAGAAGCUUUCAUACUUUCAGUUUCUAAAUGAGCUGUAUCAGCUUGAGUAAAUUGUGCUUGUGAAUGAGGAUGAGAACUUUUGUUGCAAUCAAGAGGACUCAAGGAAUUACCACAAGCAUGUGCAUCAUCAUGGUCUUGGCCUCGUUUUAGCCUCUUCACCGAACCUCCUAAUACCCCAAGCGAUCGCCUAUUGUCCGUAUGGGGUACAAAAUUCUCCUCAUAAUCAUCAUGUUCAUCAGUUUCAUCAGGUUCGUGUUCAUCAAAAUCAUCAUUUUGAUGUCUUCUUGGCUCGUCAUUAUCGUGAUCAUCCCUUGCUCUAAAAGCCAGCUGCAACGAACGCUGCAAAGCAGGAUCAUGGGGCAGAUGAAGUCGAUUUGAGUUAUGAUAAGAACACAUCUCCUCAUAGAACAGUUGCUUUGAGUUUAAAAUUUUUCUCACAUCAUCCUUAUCUUUUUCAGUUAAAUAAUCAAUGACAUCAAGAAGUGCUGGAUUCUCAACAACCUGACAAGAAGUGCCUCUCCCAAUUAUAUCAUUGAGCCUCUUAUACCUCUUAUUGAGGUCAUUAAAUUUAUCCUCACACUGCUGAGGUGAAACUUGAUAACCCCUUUCAGCAAUGACUUUUGAUAUCAGUUUCCAUUUACCUUUCUUCUGUAUAAUUUGGCAUUUCCUUCUUCCACCCCCAUCAAUAUCUGAAGCAAUAUCAUCUCCUAUAUAAGACACUGCUGUAAUCAGAAGCUUCACCAUUUUAUCUGUCCAUUUCACGCGGUGCCACAUCGAUCCCUUCUUCCCCUUACUAUUCUCAUUAUGACCAUCAAUACUAUCCUCAUUAAAACUCGGAUCUUCGUCGCUAGCUGAGUUUUUACACCUUUCUCCCUUGUUAUACUCUACCAAAGACAUGGUAUGGUCACAAUUUUGUACAACUCCCAUGGAAAGUGAAAAUCCCUCCUGAAUGGAGGGAUUAGCUGAUGAUCCCUGACGAGUAUGAGGAUGAUGCUGUUGGUGUAAGGCAUGAGAGAGCUGUCCCUGAUUAUGAACCUUAAACGGUCCUUGCAAAUCAAGACCUCCAUAAGAACUCCCUCCUGGAAUCAACCCUCCUUGUGAUAAAUUCCCUUCCAUAUAUUUCAAAGGAACACUUCACCUCAUACUCAAAAACACAUACCCCAGAAUCCCAUCUUCCACAGGAUCCUUAAACUAUUAAAACCACCAAUUAAUCAUCCCUAAGAUAACAGAAUGGACAAAUCAAGCACACCCAAGCCGAAAUUUCCCCACUAGAUAAUAGGAAAUUUCUUUCAAACAAACCCCAUUUUCCCAGAACCAAGAGAAACCCCUUCAAACACAACUAAACUCAAAUAUUGGACAAGAACGAUUAAACUGAAAAAAGAGGUAAGAUAAGAGAAAGAACCCUUGAAAGAGCAACACAAUCAACAAUCAACAAAGAAGCAAAAUCACUUAUCUGAGCAAAACCCGCCAAGAGCUGAAAACCCAGAUAGAAGGAAACAGAUCCAGGCGCUUAUUGGGUGAGUGUGGCGAUCGAGAAGGGAAGAGAGGGAAGAGAGGGAUAUGGGUUUUAUUGUAUUUUAAGAAGGAAAAAUGGAAAAAUGUCAAAUGGGUGGGCGAAAGAACCGAUCAGAGAAGCCAAUACGGAUGCGUAGGUUAAAUGAAUCGAAUGGGAGGAUCAUUUUUAAAUUCGACGUCACAAAUGCUGACAAAAACUUGUUGCGUGCUAUUGGGUUGUGUUUAAUCAUAUCAAUCAAUACGCCAUGUUUGAGCAGCAUCUCCUCAAUAAGUAUUAACGUCCGUUUCUUUGAUUAUGGCUGCUUCAAUUACAAGACUUUGAUUCCCAUACUUUAACUUUUCAUCCCUUCUUUUUUUUUUUCUUUCUGCACUCUCUAGAUUCAACUGCGAAUUCCUUUUUCAAGGAGUAAAGGUUCUUCUUUUUCUUUCUUUGCUCUCAAUAGGAAACAUUUUGUCCUUUUUUGAGUUAAAAGAGUUUUCGUUUUUUGUUUAUUUCACAGUCAAAUUCUUCCAAAGUUUUGGUGUAUCUAUUUUGUAAGACCAUUCAUGAAUCACCCUCACACUAACUCACACCUUUCCAUUACGAAAUAGAGUAUUUUAAUUUGGUUAACCACAUACAAAAAAAUUGUUUACGGUUCAAAAAUGUGUAGGGUAAUUUGCAAUAUUUAUCAUUUAACACCUAUUUGAGAAAUGUGCAAGGUUCAUAAUGUCAAAGUAGGUGUAGUCUUUAAAGCUGUACGGUGCAUAAGCUCAUUUCAACUAUUUUUCUUUAGUUGAAACGAAUUGAAUUAGGUUGGUUUCAACGUUUGACUUUUCUUUUCAAGGUGCCUAUGAACUUUGGAUUGUCCAUAGGCUUGGACCUUAUCUCGAACAAGCCACCGGAAAGAUUUAUUUAAUUACGAUUUUAUUUUCUUUUAAUUUUUAAAAGGUAUAUUUUUCCAAUUCUUAAUUAAAAAAGUCAUUAAAAUUCUUGAUCCAAUUAUGAAACAUAGCUGUUUUUUAUUUGAUUUAUUAGAAAUGAAUUGAAAGUGAAUUUAAAAAAAAAAAAAAAACAAAGAAACUACGUUUGAUUGGGUGAGUUAGCUUUGAACCUUUUCUUAAAUAAAUAAUUUAGAAAAAAAGCCACUAGCCAGGAAGAUCUAAUUUUUAAAAAAACACGUGAUUGAUUUCUCAUUAUUUUAUAAAAUUGCUUUUAUGUUAUGAUAAACAUUUUAAUUCAUACCCAAAUUUCAACCAGCACCUUAUUUAGUCUGAAAAAUUUUACCAAAUAUUUAUAACUUAUAGUAAAACUUUUAAAAUCUAUCACCGAUAGUUAUUGAUAUGUUACAGUAAUAAAAAUUUAUCUAUAACUAUCAUUGAUAGAAUCUAAAAUUUUGUUACAGCUCGUAAAUAUUUUAAUUUAUUUUUCUAUUUUAAAAAAUAUCCCUUGAAAAUAUUGGUAACUGUUCAUAAUUUUUUUAAGUUUCACUUAGGUUAUAUUGUGUGAAAAUAGAUAGUGAAGAGAGGAAUUUUUAAAAAUAACAAAAUAAACUAAAAUAUUUACAAGCUAUAGCAAAAUUUUGGAUUUUAUCAAUGAUAGUCUUCUAUCACUAUAGCAUAUCAAUGACUAUCAAAACUAUUGAAAAAUUUUGCUAUUUUAAAAAAAUAAUAAAAAAAAAACUAAUAGAUUGGAGUAAUAUUUAGAAAAAUUAAUGUAAAUAUCAAAACUAUUGAAAAACUUUAUAAAAAUAUAACUUAGAUUCUAUCAUUGAUAAAAGUCUACCAUUGUCUAUUAGUAAUAUAUCUGAAAUUUUGUUAUAUUUUAUAAAUAUUUUAAUUCAUUUUGUUAUAUUUGAAAAUGUUGUGAAUUUUUUAUAAUUUGGAAUUGAGUGGAAUUUGUUUGAAGUAUGUUAAAAAGAAAUAAUAAUGAUAGUACCCAAGAGCCAUUUGUCUUCUAGAGUUAUGAGGAAGAGAAAUUGGAUGAAGAAAAAUAAUAAGAUUUUGUGUUAUAAAAUAAAGAAUAAAGAGACUAAAUAAGAACCAUGAAACAACACAAAUAAGAGAGAAAGUAGAGAACAAUUGAACUCAAUUGUGGUGUGUUUUAUAAAGACACCACAUACAUCUCAUGGUAUGGGUUACAUAUGGAAUUCAAUGGUAUGAAUGUUACAACGUAUAAUAAAGGGAGAGUUAUAGGGAAAUUGGUAACACAUUGUAGGUUAUGGAUAUCUAUAUAAUUAUAUUUAUAAUACUCCUCCUAGAUAUCCAUAUUAUAUAAAAUAAAUAUCUCGUUAAAACCUUACUAGAAAAAAAUUUAAGUGAAGGAAAAAGAGUACAUCAUUUUAUAUAUUAAUAAUUGCCUCAUUAAAAACCUUGCUAGGAAAAACCAUAGUCAAGGGAAAAAGAGUGUAGUAUUUCUAUUCCUUGAAGACAAUAUUUCUACUUUCCUUUGAAUACAUCACUUGAGUUAUUUGAGUCGUUGCAUUCCAAUGUUGUGCACUAACUUUUCAAAUGUUUAUGUAGGUAAUGUCUUUGUGAAUAAUUCUGCCAAGUUUACCUUUGAAGAAAUUUGUUGAACACUGAUGUCACCAUUUUCUUCAAGGUCAUGUGUAUAGAAGAGUUUUGGUGAGAUAUGUUUUGUUUUAUCUCCUUUUAUAUACACUCAUUUAAUUUGUGCUAUAAUGCAGUAUUAUCCUCAAAUAAUAAUGUUGGUAGAUUUUUAUUGAAAGACAAACCACAUGUUUCUUAAAUAUGAUGAGUCAUUGACCUCAACCAUACACAUUCUCUACUAACUUCAUGAAUUGCAAGAAUUUCUGUAUGAUUUGAUGAAGCGGGCGUAACGGUUUGCUUUAUAGAUCAUCAAGAUAUAACAGAUCCUCCACAUGCAAACAUAUAACAUAUUUGAGAUCUUGCUUUGUGUGGGUCAAAUAAAUAUUCAGCAUCUGCAUAACCAACUAAAUCAAAGUUCGAUUUGUUUGAAAAAAAAUCUAUAUCAAUUGUCCCUUGAAGAUAACGAAGUAUAUGCUUAACUUCAUUCCAAUGUCUUUUUGUUGGAGAAGGACUAUAUCUUGCUAAUAAAUUUACUGAAAAUGCUAUAUUUGGUCUCGUGUUAUUAGCAAGAUACAUUAGUGCACUUAUUGCACUAAGGUAUGGUACUUCAUGACCAAAUAAUUCUUCAUUAUAUCACUCUAAUAUAGAAGGAAAUUUGUUAAAAUGCAAAUAGUAAUUUUUUGUGCCUUUAAGAUAUCUCAACAAAUAACAUAAAGUAUCCCAAUGGUAUCUGGCAGGAUUAUGUGUAUACCCACUAAAUCUACUCAUAACAUAUAUACUAUGGUUUAUUUUUAGUUUAAAAACAUUUUUCAUUUUUUUUCAUUAAUCAAUUUAACUAGAAGAUUUAGGAUUUAUUUUAAUUGACAUAAGGAGAAGGUGUUUAAGAAAAAAAACUCAUUUUUAAAAUCAUAAUUUUUAUUAAAUGUAACUCUACUUUACUUUCGCUUUUGCAUAACCGUUUUGGUUAUGUUUAUUUUGAAACCCAUAAUUAGAUCAUUUUUAAUGUUGCUUAACUAGAACUUUCGUAAAUUUCAUCCGAUUACAUAAUUUGUUAUAUUUUUUUUAAUAAUUAGACCAUUCAUGUUAAUACAAUUGUAAUCAAAAUUAUUAUUAUUUAGUAUUAAAAUUUCUCGUUUUUAACAUUAUUCCUUAAAUUCAAUAGAGUCAUAAAUUUAAUUAGAGAUACAAAAUAUGAAAAAAAAAAACCAAUUAAAAAUUUGAUACAAAAUAAAUGUCAAGACAUACAAUUAAUAAAAAAACUAAACAAAUUAACUAAACCCAAAAAUUAAAAACCAACACCCCAAACACAUGUAUCAGAAUCCAGAUUUCCAAAUCAUGCACCCCAAACACAGGUAUAUGCAAUUUUCACGCAUCAGAACCCCAUCAAAUAAGCCCACAAACAUUUGAUUCCGAACCUACGAGCCAAACACCUUUUGAAGGAAAUUUCUUGGUCUCUCUCGGUUGUGUGCGUUACCAAGAUAGUGCAUUUUUCUAAAAAAAAUUUGUGGCCUCGAGAUGCACCUAACUGAAAAACAUAAGCAAUUAUGUCAAUGAUCUCUAAACAAAGUUGCCUCAAAAUGGCCCUGAGCUAAAAAAAUAUAAGCAUUAUGUAGUAUGAUUUUUGGAUUAAGGUUGCCUCGAGUUGUCCGAAGUUUAAAAACAAAAGUUCUUCCAUCAUUUUUUUGUUAUUUUUGCAAGUGCCCUUAUUUUUCAAAAACAAUUCUAUAAAAACACUUAAUUCAAGAACAAAUUAAAACAAAACUCAAAUAUGAAUUACAAGAAACCUAAAAACUUAACUAAAACGAAACCGAAAUUUAGGUUUUAAGUUUGGUUUUGAGUUAAGUUUUUUUAAUUCAAUCGUUCUAAAAUGAGAGUUGUAAAAAAAUAGCAAAUUUGACAAAAUAUUUACAACAAAAAUCUAAUUUUGUAUGGUUGAGAAAAAGAAAAAAAAGGAAAAUGAAUAGGAACUAAAAACAAACGUGGAUCGGGUCGGGUCAACAAAGAGAGCAUUGGGGAAUUGGGGUUGGCAUUUUGUUUUGGGGAUCGGAAAACUCAUAAACCCCAACUCGUCAGUUUGCGAUUUCAGAGCUUCCAACACCACCAAAAAUGGCGACCGAAGAAGAAAGCACUGUUAAGGAGCCUUUGGAUCUCAUAAGGUUGAGUCUUGACGAGCGUAUUUACGUCAAGCUUCGCUCUGACGCGAACUCCGCGGCAAACUCCAUGUACAUCCUCCCAAAUUACUUCUCUCUUUAUCCCUUUAUCAUCUUUCUUUCUUUUCUCUAAUUAUUAUGUCUCUCUCUAUCUCUCUGUCCUCUUUAAUUGACAACCCCCCAAUUGUUAUUGUUUUUUCUUUCGAUCAAAUUAAUGUCUUGGAGAAUUAGGGUUUUGUAAUUGUUUGACUUUCUUGACGGGGUUCCCUUGAAAUUUCAUUUUGUUGAAAAAGGCGAUACUUUAGCUUCUUCCAGUAAGUAAUUAACCUUUCUUCUAUUCAGUUUUUGCGUUUGGGAUGGGGGCAGGGGCUGCUUUCGAACUUCUCUAUUUUUGGGGGAAUGGAAGUGCCCUAAUGGUGAAAGGCGUCAAAGCUAGAGCAGACGCGUUUCUCGUAAAUCUUACCAUUGGAGAAUAAGUAGGAAGAUGACUAUUUUAGCAUGGUCAUUAUCUACAUAGAUGUUCUCCGUUGUGAAUGUGUUUAACAGAGGCUCCAAAUAUUACAAAUAUUUAACGAAAAUGGUCAAUUGUUUUAGAUUAAGAUGUUGAUUAUGAUUAGUAGCUGAUCACUCUGUUGCAUUUCUUUUAGUUUUGAGAUGCUAUUGUGAAUACAAAAUGUUUAGCUUUUCAUUUUUUUAUAUCAUUGAUUGCCGAGAUUUUCCUUUCCUGGAGUUUUAACUGCAUUCUGUUGCUGGCUAUCAUGUUUUGCAGGCUUAUGAUCAGCAUCUUAAUAUGAUUCUAGGUGAUGUCGAAGAAAGUGUUACUACAGUGGAAAUCGAUGAUGAGACAUAUGAAGAAAUUGUUCGGGUAUGCUUGUUUUCUUCAUUAGGGUUGCUUGUAACUUUGUACCACUCUUGGUUUUUAAUUCGAAUGUAGUAGAGUUAAAUAAUUUACCUAUGAGAACAGUUCAAGUGCAUACUAGUUGGUCAGAACGUCACGGAUUAAAAAAACGUGUCUUUGUAUUUAACUCCAUUUCCAUGCUAUGAAACAACUAUGUACCACAUACUAGAGUCCAUUCCAUAUGAACUCAAUUUAUAACCAUGGCUAGAAAACAAAACUACAGUGCAGAAGAUAUUUGAAUGCUCUCUUAUUUUCAAUUAAAUCAGGUGAAGUUCAAAACCAAAAGAACAAAAGAAAAGAAAAUCCCUGUCCCUCAAGCUGCUUCAUUGAGUCUAUCCCAUACUUCAUAUGCCUGAUACCAUAUUUUCCUUGUAUAUACUUUAAUUGAAAUUUCACUUAUUUGUAUUUGUCUAUUUUCCUUUCCAGACAUCCAGGCGAACGGUUCCGUUUCUCUUUGUUAGAGGAGAUGGUGUCAUAUUGGUUUCACCUCCACUGAGGACUGUGUAACUAAGCCAUCAGUUGCGUGCAUCUUUAAUGGGAACUUCAUAUUCGCCUUCUCUACCAAAUUGACUGGAGUUGGAAUACUGUCAAGUACUCAACGCAUUCAUAGACUAGGUUUAUCAUUUACUUUUUAUGCACAUGUUCUAUUACAUAAACUAGUUAGUUGUUUUGAUAUAUUUGAGUGAUAGCUGUAGUUUUCUGACACUUUAAUUGGCUGCACAAAUUUAAGGCCUUCAGAUUUUGAAUGCAAGGCCAAGUAAACAAAAUUUGAAAUUGUGCAUAAGCCUCGCUUGGUUUCUUAUCUGUUUUGAUUUGUCUUCAUUCUUAUUGAAAAGCUUGUUUUGUUGGAUUCUUGGACAAGUUUAUUUUUACCAGAUGAAAUUUGGAGUAUUAGUUAGUGAGUAUCACGAAUUGAUCUCAAAUGACAUCUCAGAACCAUUGUCAUUGUAUACAGGUUUCUGUGUGGCACAAUGACAUGAAAUUAUCAUCCUUCGUAUUUCUUUAUUUCCACAUCUUGAUUUUCCUUCCCUUGGUGAAAUUAUGAAAUGGUAUAAAAUGAACAUUUCCAAUUCUGUACUUGAAUAGCUUUUCAACUCAGGCCAUCACUACUUAGUAACAUUGAUAACAACAAUUAUUCGAACCCAUUUCCUCUGUAUAUCAGGUGAUAAGGCAGACGUAUGUACCCCCAACCCUAUACAACUGUACUCUCAAUCACCUCAACCAAAUUCAAAUUAAUUUAUAGAAGAUUGUCUCCAUCAAUAUUCAAACACCAUAUUCUUCAUUAAAUCAGGGAUUUCUAUGGUCGCUUAAGAGCAGUUCAAUUUGGCUCAACGACAGGAAAAUAUAUAUACGAUACAGCUGCCUUGUCAAUGCUAAACUCUUGCUUUUAAUAGCUUAAAGCAAAAACUUAAUCCCAUACUACUACGGCAAAUAUUAAGUUGAUACAUUCCAUUCCUGCCGUUGUUGAGUCAUUUCGACUCAAUCAACUGCUCAAUGUUAAAAACUGCUCAAUGUUAAACAAUCUAGUGUAAUAAUCAGGGGUUGGAUUAGUGGUAUAUAAAUGGCAUACAAUCUCAAUAGCUAAUUAAAGAUUAUGGAUUCCAAUAGUCACUUAUCUAAAAAUUAAUUUUGUAGGGUCAACUAGGUUAUCUCGUAGGAUUGGUCAGAGAUGUGCAUAAACUGAUAUGGACACUCCAACUCGAUUAUAUUAUGGAAUGAUGCUGGAUGCCAUACAAAAAUCCACAACUUGUCAAUUAACAUAUUCACCUUUGCAUUUUUACUUGUGAUCAGAAAUUGAGCUUUUAAUGAAAAAAAAAAAAGAGAAAAAAGAAAGAAUGCACAUGUGAUACCAAUUUUAAUGAUAUGAGAAUAUCAUUUAAAAGUGUAGACACAAAUGGUUUUAACUUCCAAGCACGAAACAAACAGUGAAAUGAGGUGAGGUACUAUGAACGUGAUUACAGAAAAUUAAGCCUAGAAGUUCCAGCGAGUACCUACCUAUCAGUCAUGUAGGAUCAUCAUCAAAGAGAGACUGAUAGAAUCUUUUCCUUUCCUCUGGCUCAAGUAAACCUCCUAGAUUAUUUCCUUGACCAUUAGAAUCAUCUGUUUCAAAAUCUUUCCUCUUGUUCUUCUCUGACCUGCCCAAAAGCAUUCCCUUCAUUCUUUUCUUUUCUAAAUUCAUCAAAUGAUGUCUCUUGUUAUAUUCAUGAAGUCCCUCCUGCAUCAAUUCUCCAAACUUCUCUUUAACAACCACUAAUGGAUCUUUCUCAAUCAGUUCUGAUCCAUUAUAACCUUCUCUAAGAACAACAGUGUAGAUCUGAUACUUGUUUGAGACAUAGAAUAUGCCAGGGUGCUUAAGCAGUAAUGCAUUCAGCUUCAAUGGCAGACCAAAUUCCUUGGUGAAAUGUCCAAGCUUUAUAAUUGAUGCUUUCUUCCAUAAUGUCAAUGACAAUAUCUCAUGAAUUAACCCCACUGUCCUCUUUUCCAUCUCUCUGGUACCUUGCACCAAGCCUGCAGGGUUUACAUAUGGUGAAACAUAUGGAGAGGCAUUAAAUUCAUUGAACUUUUCCCAUGAAUUUACCCAAGUUGUUGGCAGUGAGCAUGAGAAAGCUGGCUCAACCCCAUGCUUGCAAGCUGAAGAUUCUAUGCUGGAAAUUGCUAGUUCUGGUUUCCAAGAUAUGAGUUCUAUUUCCAUUGAGUUCUUUUUUCCAGUAUAAUUUACAAUCCGAAAUAUAUCUGAAUGUUUGGGAAUGAUUCUUAUCAAGAAGUCAUCCGGGAGCCCAAAAUUCCGCCUUAAUUCGCUGAGUUUCACGACAUUUAGUCUCUGAUUCGAAGCCAUCAUCAGCAAUUUUGUCAAACGCUUGACAAUAGCAGGCUCCUGCAUAUCUUUGACAACUUCUUCCUCUUCAACCAAAGCCAUCAUCCUCUUUGUCAGCCGGAAGUAGUGCUCGUCAUUGUCGAGAUAAACUUCAAAGCAGCAAGGGUACUUUUUCAGCCAGUUAAGGGCUUUUCCUUGAAGGUCGAGGGUUUUAAACUUCUUUUGGAGAAAUUUAACAGGUGCUGCCUGAUCGGGGCAACGAAGGAUGAUAUUCUUGAUUUGGUUAUUGGCAAUCCAUCGACGAUUACGAGAUAGAGCUGAUUCAAGGUCAGGAUCUUUCUUCAUUGACCAUAAAGAAAAGUUCCUAAGGAUGUAUUUGAGGGGACAAGGAGAAGAGAGCCCAGGAUCCCAAUACCUGGACUUCUGCAGUACUUUAUACAACAUCUUUUCCUAUGGUUAGAAUACCAUCAUACACUCUGGUUGUAGAGACAAGCCUGCCUGGGGGAAGACGAUUAAAAUGAACAAAGACAAAUCAAAAGAAUAUAAAUGAAAGAGGCAAGGAAGGAAGAAGAACCAAUUCCACGAAAGCAAUUAAAAUUUAAAGAGAUGACCGGAAUCGGUCUUAGUCAUCUAGCCAUGAAAAUGGCAAAGUUAAAUGGUUUGGGAUCAAGUCCACCAUAAAAUUCAAUGACAGGUCGUGCCACAAAGGUGAUCCUGGAAGCAAACCAUACAAAUGCCUAAGUUAAGCGACCAUUUGAUAGAGUUUUUCUAUCUUCUUUUUCUACCUCUUCCUUUUCGAAUUCUAAAACCAACUGUAACUAAGCUCCAAAAUUAUUUGGGUAAGAUCGACCUAAUUAAAAAAAAAAAGAAAAGAAAUUUGAAGAUUUGAUGAUCUUAAUCUAAGCAUUUAACUCAUUUGAUCCAAUUUCUCAAAUUAAACACCAGGUAACAACUCUACUUAAUCCAAUUGAGUUCAUUUGAAUUAGAGAAGAUAAAAUCUUAAAUAUGCUCAAUGAGUAAAAAUAGUUUUAUUGAAAACACAAGAAGUUACACAAAGCAUAAGAAAACGGCAGAGAUUUCAAACGGCGGACGGCGAACGGAAGCUUCAAUGGAGGCAGGCCGGUGACCGGACGAGAGGGGCAGAGUGAUAGAUAGAGUGAGAUUGGCGUGCGUGAGGAGUGUAGAGGGGAGGCUAUCUCGUGAGUCGUGAGUUCCCGAUUGGAGUUGGGACUGGGAGGGUUCGAUAAAAAGAAAAAAAAGAAAAUUAAUAUAUUAGGUUUCUUUAUUUCAUUGAUAGGGGUCGGGAGUUUGGGCCUAUGAUAAUAAUGUAUAUAUCACGUUUUGAAGGGUGAUUUUGAAAAGGGCCAAUCCAUUCAACCUUUCAACAUGUAUGUAUGGUAUUUUAGUAAUUAAAUUUAAGGAAAAUUGGAAUGAAUAACCAUUUCAGCAAUAAUUUUGAAAAAGGCUCGGGAGUUCAUUGAUAGUUUUGCUAUAUUUGCAAUUUAAAAAUGUUGUUAUAUUCUUAAUUAUUAUUCUUCAAAUGGCCAUCCAUUACAAUUAUCCUUUUAUUAAACUCGUCUCUAUUUUUAAUUAAUUUGUGUUAUAUAUUUACAAGUCUAAACAUAUAGCAAUUUAUAUUAUAACUCCUUCCUAAUAUCUCGGUCUCAACUUUAUUCAAUCCUAUUAAUUUCAAAAUAAGCAAAUUAAAUUUGAAUUUCAACAUAAUAAUAAAGGCUCUUCAAAUCAAUAAAAUUAUUAAUUAUUUUUCAAAAUUGCUAAAUUUUAACCAUCUAUGAAUUUUAAAAUAAAAAUUUAUUAUUUUUCAAUUACGGGAGAAUCUCUAAUUGAAUUUCAAAAUAAUAUAUAUAUUUUUUCCAAAAUGGGAAAAUUUAACUUGUUCCCGAUUUUAUCUUAAUUUUAGAUUAAUGAUUUGAAUAUUAAUAUAUGAGAAUUUCUAACUAUUAAUUAUAUUCUAAAAUAACCUUAACUAAAAUUUAAAUUAAAAAGUUUUUAUUUUUCAAAAUUGAAGAGUCUAACUUGUUGCUAUUUUAUCUCAAAAUAAGAUUAAUUAUUUGAAUAUCAAAAUAAUCAAAUUAUUAAUUAUUUUCAAAUUAGAAAAAUGUGAACAAUUAAUUUUAUUUUAAAAUAAUCUUAAUUGAAUUUUCAAAAUUCUCAAAUUAUUAUUUUUCGAAUUGGAGAAUUUCAACGGUUCAUUUUAAAACGCAAUACCUUUAAUUGUUACAAUUUCGAAAUAAUCAAAUCAAGCAUCUCAAAAUCAAGUUGACACCAAAUAAGAAUUAAUCAAAUUACCUCAAAUUUGGGAUUGAAUUGACUGAACUAAGGUGUGUGACACUUAUGUAUACGAUUAAUUGUUUGAGAAACCGUUAUGCUAAUGUUUGAUUAUGUACUGGUUUGGAUAAAUUGACUGUAUAUAUGUUGAACUGAAAGAAUGAUAUGAUGGUAGCUUAAAUUAUAAUUUGAGUUGAUUGUUUAAAAUGUUAGAAUGAAGUUAGGGAAAAUUGUUAGUUUUAUCUAUAGGAUAGUGUGCCUUGUAGGUGACCCACACGAUCACUACUUGUUGUGCAUCAUUCAGAGCACUAGACUGAUAGGUACAUCAUUCGGGAGCAUUGACUGAUAGGUGCAUCAUUUGAGAGCACUAGACUGAUAUGUGCAUCCUUCGGAGGCAUGAGAUUGGUUGUGUUCAUACUACAGGAUCACAAGACUGUUAUGAUGUAGAGUACUUUCCAAUAAAGAGUUAACAAUUUUACCCAUAACUGGACGAGUAGUGGGUCUCUUAGUGGGUAUAUUUAUACUCACUCUUUUAUGUUUAACUUUUUCAAACAAAGGUAAUACGAGAGGUAGACCGACGAGGGACAAGGAGGACACGUGAUCGCCAUAGGGAAACUUUCUUUCAAAAUUGCUUCCGCUUACCGUUUUUCAGUUUUGAGGAUUUAAAAUGAGUCUCAUGUUUAAGACGGUUUGCUUUUAAGUAAUUUAUAAACGAUACUUUAGAAAUUUUAUUUUGUUUAAAUUAGGGUUCGAUUGAAAUUUCUUUGAUAAUGAUUGUUUCAAAUAAAUUUUAUCGUAUUUCGUGUCAACCAAAGUGUUUUUGUUUAAAAUAAUGACUUCGACUUAAUCUGAAAAAGUUGGGUCGUUACAUGAUCGUUUAAAUUAAGGUAGCAAAAUCUAACAAUUUUUUAAAAAGAUUCUUUGAUACACGAUCGUUUAAAUUUGACUAGUUUAUUUCACACGAUCGUUCAAAUUUAGUACAAGAUCGUUUAAAUUUGAACAACCAAAUCUAAAAGAUUUUCUUAAAGAUGUUUUGGUAGACGAUCGUUUAAAUUUGUUUAUUUUCGUACACAAUCGUUUAAAUUUAGGCAACAAAAUAUAAACGAUUUUUUUAAAGAUUCUUUUGUAGAUGAUCCUUUAAAUUUGGUUAUUUUUGUAGACGAUCGUUUAGAUUUGGCUUAAAUUUGGGAUGUCAAAUCUAAACAAUUUUUUAAAGAUUAUUUGGUGUUUAAAUUUGGCUACACGUGAUCGUUUAGAUUUUGCUAUCUAAUAUCCCAACGAUUUUUUUUCAUGAUUAUUUAUAUUUGUCACAUGAUCUAAACAACCAAAUAACAAUUUGAAAUUUUUUCGUAAAAAAACAUAUUGUAUAUUUGGUAUACGAUCUUGAACCAAAUAACGAUUUGAAAAAAAAUAAAAGAAAAAUUGUAAAAAAAAGUGAAAAAGACAAUGAAAAGAAAAAAAGAUUGCAGAAGAGGAGAAGAAAAACGAUGAAAAGAAAGAAUACUGUCAAAGAUCAUAAAGAAGAGAUAAUAGAGAACGAUGGAGAAAAAAUCGAAAAGAAGAGGAAGAAUCAAAAUUGAAAAAUCGUUAUAAACCAGUAAGGGCAAAUAUGAAAUUCUUAAGAAAAAAAAGUCGUAAUGAGUUUUUUUAAAAAAUUGUUCUAUGGUUUUGCCACUUUGUUCUUUUUAUGAAAAUUAAUCUUGUUUUAAACUAAUUUGUAGACUAUAUCUUAUUUGUUUAAAGUUAUUUGUAUAUUAAUUACAUUUUUUAUAAUACAUCAUUUAGCAUUAGUUUUCAAAAAACUCGUGUAUGUUAUACAACUAGAAAACAAUAAUAGAAUUAUAACAAAUAAGUUUUUGAUAUGGCUUUACAAUGAGUAAAGAUUGUUUUGGAUGGUAGAUGGAUUGAAUCUUCCCAACAUCUGAUUAUCGUAUUGUUGAGGUAUAUGUUCCAGUUUCAUCUUCGUUUCAAGAAUUGGUAGAAUGUAUUCAAGGUAGACUUUUCCCAUCUUCCAAUCUUUCUGUGUCUCGUUUGAUCGUUUAUUAGAAUAACUGCAACAAUUUCAACCUUACUCAGACUGACGAGGAUACGAAGUCCUAAUAUGUAUAUGUAAUCAAUUUUAAGUUAUAAUUGUACAAGGCUAUGCAUAUAAAAAUAUCUUAAUAUAUCAAAUUAAGCUUACACCAUAUAUGUCACCAACGUUAAAGUCUUGACUUCUUGCAUGCUAUAGAAGUCAACAACAUCUUUGCGCAUAGUACACAAGUAUUUCUAUCGAUACUAAACAACUCAACUGGUAGUUGGUAAUGAAUGUCAGAAUCUUUGUCCAUUACAUUGUCAGCAAAUCUAAGUAUUGUCUUCAAAGGUAGUGGCAUGUUGAUAGUGAACCCACAAGUAAACUCUUUUUCAUUAGCAACCUAAGAAAGCCAUAAAUCCAAUAAUAUCAAUUUUAUAAUGCAAAUAGCAACCGAUGCAACAAAUUGAGUAAAACUUAACUAGUUAUUGAUAACUUGUAGAAAGACAAUUUAUUAUAGCCUUUUAGUUAGAAUGAUUAAACUUUAACAUGGGAAAAAGAAAGAAAUCGCGUAAAAAAAAUAGAUAAAAUUAUAUGAUCACGCGUUACAAGUGUCAAAAGUGUAAAGCGGUCGUUUAUCAAGAUUUUUGUCACACCCCCUCUCGAACCACCUGCUCUUAGCCCGAGAGACAACGUGAAGUCAACAGACAUCGUCCUCCUCCCAACGAUUCCUCCUCCCAACGAUUCCAUCUAACCCUGCUCAAAUAUUUAACCUAAUAAACAUACUAUUCUUAUAUAAGAGACAUAUUACAUUCAAACACAACACAAUAGACUCUAAUAUAAACUCAAUACAAAUAUCUGAUGCAACCCAGUAAACUAAAAAAGAACAGUAACUUGAUAAAAACAUUUACGACUAAUGUUCAAUACCAAAUUGCAACAAUUUGCAAGACUAACCCUCACUACCCACACUUUACUUUAUGUUUACAAAUUUCAACUUAUGGCUAUACAUACUCUUAUGCACAAACUUCACACACGUAUAGAAAAUAGAUCUGAAAACUUCUAACAAACCGUGAUAGUGUGUCAGAGGCACAAGGUGCACAAUCUCUACCUGAAAAAGUGGAAAAGCAUUUUGAAAGGGUGAACUAUAACACCCAGUGAGUGACUCGUUUAUAAAACCAACAUUCUUAUAAAUUAGCAAGUGAUAGCUUCUCAAACAUACAUAUAAAUCUAUAAAGCAAAGCAAGCUCAUGUUUUUCAUGUAAACAACCUUUCAAAUACUCCGCAAGUAUGUUUAUAAUCUCUGGCAAGACAUUUCAUAUUUAUAAAACUAUAUAACUAGCAUGCAUUCACUACCUUGUGUAAGGCAAACCCCAAUACAACUAAAGUUUACUAGCUCUAUGCAUUCACUACCUUGUGUAAGGCAAACCCCAAUACAACUAAAGUUUACUAGCUCUGUGAUGUAGUGUGGUCUGCGGAGCACUCUCAUUGUCUUUGUUAUAGUGGGACCCGCACAACACUCACUUCAACAUCGUUGUCAUGGAGUACACUCAACAUCAACAACAAAAUAUAACAUGUGUGCACACGGUAUCCCUAGCCUCAUGCUUAAUAUCUCAAUCAUGUAGUCAAUGGAAAUCUAAGAAAUUACACGAAAAUAUUAAAACAUGCUCACUUAUAUCUUUCUUACUUUAAACUCAAGCCUACUCAACUUACUCAUGAAAACGUGGAAGCUUUUAAAUAUUUGCUAAAAUACAAAUCAUACUUUGCUCGAAUCAAUAUCGUUUCAAAUAUUUGUUAGUACCUCAACAAUCACAUGGUAAUAUAUAAAUCUCGUUAAAUAAUCUAAACUUGAAACUCAUGUUUGAAAACUAUUCGUAGAAACCAUGUUCAUUUGUAAACUUAUAGUCAAGCAUAUAUAAAACAUUUAGACUUAUGUAACUUUUAGAUUUUUUUUUUUUUUGAGUUAAAUUCCUGGUCCGUAGACUUGACCUAUCUCCUCUUGACCUAUCAAACAAACCAAAGUCGGGUAUCAGAACCUUAAAUUUUCUUUUCCUUCCAUAACAUGCUUAAAAUGACAUGUUUCUUAUGAUAUUCUUAAGAUAAUGCAUCUUUUUAUUAUUCAUGAAUUCCAACCUAAAAAAAUAAAAUCAACUUUCACAAUUCUUUUUUCUCCCAAAAAUUCUUCAGUGACCCAAUUUCAAUCACUCGUAACUUUUUCAAUUCUUUACCAAAAUUAGUGUAUUUUAUAUCAAGCUCUUCGUUUGGAAGACCUCUGCAACUUACUUAAAUGAGUAAAGAUCAAAUUCUCAGUAGAUUUACUCAAGAAUCCCUCGAAACAGAGCUACUCUAAAAUCACAAUCUCUACAACCCUUUGUCUUCUUCCUGAAAUUUACCUCAAUUUUAGUCACGUUUAACCCAAAUUAACUUCAAGAAAGUUGUAGAUACUUGAAUAAGCUUUCCAAACCAUACCAAAUAAAGCUUCUAACGCUUCUUCUACACUUAAGUCAACUCGAAAAAUCAAGGAUUACUCGGAUUUUAGUUCAAAACUGAUAAGUUAUCUUCUCCUUCAAAAUCCAACCACUUAACGUUAGAAUUAGCUCAAGGUUGCUUCAAGAAAUUUUUAGAAAAUGAGUCAACUUUCGAAUCAAAUAGACCUCAGCUUCUGGUUCUCCUUAUGUAAAUUGCAGUCAACAAAAAUGAGAGGUAAGCUGUGUGUUCCCAAUCUGUCUAAGUUGUAACUUCAACUUGGAUUUCUCUUAUCUUCUUCAACCCGAUUCUCCUCAAAGUAUUCUCCUCUCCUCUCACAAUCUUCUCCUACAAAAGCUCUGCUAAAAUGGAUGAGAAAUGAUGAAGAAUGGUUCUUAGCGGUGGAGAAAUAGUUUGUGGUGGACCUUAAAGCAUGUAAGACAUUUGCAUCGUAAACACUCACCUCAACCUUCUCCAUUUCUCUUUUCUUUUCUAUUUUAAUUUCCCUUCCUUUUCACUUCUUCAUUUCUUAUUUCUUUAUUUCCUUUUUGUUUUCUUAAAACCAAUAACAACAACCCUUAAUCCUAUGGUUUGGAAAGAACAAGAAAGUCUGAAGUUUGCAAUUUUCAUGUUUAAAUGCAGGUUUUUUAGGCGAAAAAAAGGAGAGGUAGCUACGCGACAAAGGUCAGGUGAUGAGACACGUGACAAUCAGGCAAUAAGUGAAAUGGUGCUAAUCCACGUUGCUAGAAGUCAAGAAUGAUUGGCGUGAGAAUGUCAGAAAACAAUGACGAAAGAAUUAAUGACGCUUAGAGGAUGUUAAGUCUCAUCAGUCAUUGCUUAUAAAUACAAGGCUAUCUCCUACAAACAAUGACAAAUUCUUUAUGUGUUUUAGGUGAGAGCUUAUAGUAUAGUUUAGAUACAUCCAUACCCCAUUCUCCCCCUUAGUUGUAAUGAGCAAAAAAAAAUGGAACCAAUAUGAGCAUGAGAAAUUAUGGUCAGCCACUCAACUCUUUUCUUUAUGCUUUCACAGUUUAUACUUUCUUUUUACUUUGUAUUUGUAAUUUGAAUCCAAUGGCUGAAAAAUCUAAAAGUUUUAUUCAUAAAUGCAAUUUAUUACCACUUUCACUCUCUCACAUUUCUUUAUCUCUUCAUAGCAGUAGUUCUUUGUAAGCAUGAUAUAACACAAGGCAUAACUAGUAUUAUCAGAGAAUAUGAAUGUUUGUAUUGUUUAAUUUAUCUUGUUCAGUUAAGUGUUGUAAUUAAUACUUUAUUUUAUUUGAGAGAAAAAAUGAAGUAUUGGAUGUUUGUCACUUGAGAGAGUAAUGACUUGGACUUUACUAAACAGACGAUGAAGAGAAAGUAGAAGUACAAUCUUGUCACUAAAGUCCUCUUUAACAUACAUAUCAGAAAUGCGAGUGUGUGUGGCUAUAAGGCACCAAGAGGUUGUUUUCCUUAAAUAGGAUGAAUUGUAGAUAAUGCAAUCAUAUGAAUUAGAUACAAAUCAUCUAGUAACUUUGAGUAUUUGCAAGGCGAAUAAAGUAUGGCAAAGACACCGAAAGAAGGCCUGCCCUAAAUUUUAAGUUAACAAAUGAUUUGUAUUGUCUCGUCAACUAAUUAGCCUUGUGUUGAGUUGGGUUACAUAUAGACAUUUCUUUAUUUACAUUGUCUAGGCUAAAUUGAGUUUAUAUCACACAUAACACCACUACAUCCCCUCCCAUCUUGUUUCUCCGUGCAUGUAGUAUAGACAUACUUAGAUUUAGAUGAUAUACUAUGAAUAUAGUUAUACUAUAUAUUGUUACCACAUGAAGUAAGACCACACGUUAUGACCUUAAGAAACAAAGAUUCCCUAUGUUCUCAACACUGUUUUACCUAUGAAACCACUAUUUUUGCUCACACUUGGACAAGAGAGAGAACAACUUGUACGCGAUUGACAUAUCACUAGGCAUAAACAAUGCAUAAGUAGGUGAGCCCCUUUGAUCGCAUUACUCUAGCUUAGUUGUUUAGUCUAGUCUCAUACUUAGAACCAAAAUUACAUAUUCACGAUAGCUCAAAAUACAUCAUAUAUACACUUUAAACGAGAGGUAAGUAAUUAACUCAAUGUUUUGUUUUGUUUUUCGCACAUCCUUGACAUCCUCAUGUUGAUCAUUCAAGAUGAUGGAUUCACCUCUUGUUUAACCACCUUUGUCUUCACCUUCUUUUUCGGUUUAUUGUUGCAUUCAAUCUCAUAAUUUAAUCUUGGUUUAGAGCAAGAUUCAUGUCUAGAUGUUGGUAUAGAUUGUCUUCUUUAAAUAAACCUCUAAUUCUUUUACUCACAAAACAGAGAUUUUCAUUCUCUUGACCUCUUCAAUUUGGUCAUUCCCUUUGUUUGAACAUUUCGCUACGUGGAAGUAAGCAGUUGGAGUGAUAAACCCGUCAACUCCACAUACAUGUCCACUAUGCUCUUAUGUACCCAACACUUGUGUCAAACAUCAUUUGAAGACAACGUUUUGUUCAAAAUAAGUCUCUGAGAUCUCAUUCUAAAAUGCAAAAAUUUAAUUAUAAUUUCAUAAAUACUUGUAUAAGACUUUAAUAAAUGUAAAAUUGUAAUGUGUGUUAUUAUCAUAUUCACAACUUGUUGGACGUGUUAAUUGUCGUAUUUUCCUUUUUUUGUCUACAUGAGCCUUCUUCAACAUGCUAGUUCAAUCAAGAUUACCUUCUUCUAAAAGUACAUUUUUCAACCUUUUCAAUGUCCACAAAAUUAGAUUAAUUAAACUAAUUUAAGACUAAGAAACAUAAACUAAUUCUUACCAAUUUAUGUUGAAGAUUAGUCUAACCUUUUUUUGAAUAAAGUCCAAACUAUUGUACUUAUUUUUGCUUUGUCUCUCUUGUUAUAGUUUUCUUUUGUUCCAUUGUAUUGCUAAAUUUUAAAAAGGUGCUUAGAGGCUAUGCUAAUAUUAUAUAUGAAUGAAAUAAUUAUAGUGUAACCUUCAUUAAGUUAACUUUUAGCCUAAUUGAUGUGGCAGACAACUACACUAAAUUAAAUAGCUUGUCAUAAAAAUUUUGAUCUCACCCAGCAACAUUUUUUUUUAAAAAAAUCCACGAUAUAACAUUGAAAGUUGAAUUAAGUUAGGUUUAAAUAAUAUAUUCACAGUUCAACAAUGGUUUUUAGAAGAACUUAAUCUCAACUCUUUUUUCUCAGACUUGAUCCCGUGUGUGUUUCUUUCUCUAACUCUAAAUUGAUCAAUUAUUUCAUAGUUAAAAUUAUCUAUACAUUACAUAGUUAUACUUUAUAAUAGAACAAUAUAUAUCUACAUCAAAAAAAUAAAAAGCAAACUGACAACAUAUUUAAAUAAUGUUAGAAAAAUUUAGGAGAUUCAAAUUGGAUUCCCAUUCCCCAUCAAUUUUGGAAAUGAAAUAAGUAAUUAAUGAAGCUAACUAGGUUAAUUUUUUAAAUUUUGUUUUGGCAUCAAUAAAGAUUCAUUCCUAUCUAACUUCUCUUUGAUAAUAUUUAAUUCAUUAGUCAACAUAGCCUUCCUAGUUCUUAUUCCCAAAAAAGCGAAAACAAAAGAAACCCAUUUAUUAAUGAAUUUUAGUAUUAAAAACUUAGAAAUUAAUUAUAUAAUAAUUUGUAUCAGCAAACUUUUGUAUCACUUAUAGUGUUCCAAAAAGAAAAAGAUAAGGUAUAGCCUUGUUUAUCACACAUUAUACUAAAAUAGCUUCAACAUAUUUUUUCUCCUUGAUCUCACCAAUAACCUUAACACUGACCCAAACUACAAAAUUCAUUUGUUUAAAAAAAAAAACUACUUCUCACCAAUGAUUUUUAAUUCUUUGGACAUUAAACUUAAUUUCUCUUAUUAAAUAAUAAAAGAAGAAAACAAAACCAAUUUACUCCCCUAAGAUUUGGGGUUGCCUUACUUCAAAUAGUAGGACUAAUAAUUGUAUUCUAACUGAGACUCUAAGUUUUAAUCAAUAAAUUCAAAAUGCAAAUUUAGAUUGAGAAAUGAUAUUUAAUUUCUAGGUUUCAAAUUGUUUCACUUAAAAUUUGUGUAUGAAUUUUGUUUUAAAUUGUUAUAAUUAAUUCAUUCGAAUUUCUAGAAUGGUGGUCAAUACACAUCUUCAGUUAUAUAACAUAAAAGGUAGGCAUAAGAAUUAAAAUUUCCGACAUAAAAAAAGAAAGAUAAUAUAAUUCAUUUACGUCCCAACUGUAUACUAAGAUUUAAAAGAACACUAUAGCGUAAGAAAUUGAAUUAGUAACUCCGAUAUAUAAAGCUCUCAUAUAUAAACGUUGGGUAGGGCACAAAACUCGUGCAUAGUUUUUGUAAGCCAAUUUUGGGAAUGAGAUUUUUCUUUUCUAAAAAAAACGUCUAAUAUUCCAUCUUCAUGAAUUUAAGUCAUUUCAGUUUCUUGGAUUUUGUCCUUAGUGUGAUCAUGUGAUGUACUUAGUUUGUCAUCUUAACGUUUUCAACUAAACUAAUUAAAUUAAAAAUUUUUAAUAUAUUAUUAUUGUUGUUAUUAGUAUAUUAAUCACUACACGAUAUUCAUCAAACAAAACAUUUUUUUUUUUUUUUUUGCUUUUUGAUUAAUUUUGCGUUAUUGCUUUUCUUUCUAAUUCAAACAAACUUAUGAGAUUCUACACACGCCAUCCCACCUUUUUUUUUCUUUACAAAACAAACUAAAAUCUCUUGAAAUUUCUUUCCCUCUUUUUGUUUUUGGAUGAAUUUAAACACAACAAAUGCAUAAAAAAAAAAAAUUAUUUAACGAAGUCACCUUUCUUUUUAUCUAUAAUAUAAAACCGUCAGUUACGUACGUUGUUGUAGCUUAACAACUAGAGUCCACUCGCUCCGAUUAGCUUCGUCAAGCCAAAGGUUAUAGCCAUAGCUAACCAACCUCCGAUCAACACUCUAGCAGCUGAUUUGAUUGGUGAUGCUUUUCCAAGAAUGGCACCUAGCCACCCGAACACGGCGAGAGCUAACGUCACCGAUGCCACGACCACUGCGAGUCUUACUUUAUAUUCUCUUAUAAAGGAAGCAGCCAACAAUGGGACCAUUGCUCCAAGAGAGAAGGCCAAGGCUGAGGCUGCAGCUGCUUGGAGUGGAUUUGGUAGCUUUUCUUUAUCUUUGCUGUCUUGCCCUUGUACUACUCCUCCUUCCAUAUUAUUUGAUCUUUGUAAUUUCUCUCUUUUUAUUUGAGCCAUUUCGAUGUCUAGUUGAGAGUAAACAGACACAAAUUCGCCAAUCGCCAUACUACACGCACCAGCUACUAGACCGGCGAAACCGGUGAGGAUCAUGGCCUUGAUGUCUUGUUUGACAGCUCCAACUCCCAUCAUGAGCGACGCGGUCGAGACAAGGCCGUCGUUGGCGCCGAGUACUGCGCGCGCGUAGCCAUUGUGCGCGUUUUGAGUAGUCGAAUUCCUUUGCUUGGAUCUCCAAAGUAGAUUGCUGUUGCUCCAAGUUAUUUAGGUUUAAUUUGUUGGGAUCCAUCUGGGAAGGGAAUUAAUUAAAAGGAAGAAAAGGGAAUGAGGUUUGAAGAAAAGAAAUGAAAGAGAUGAUGAUGAGAAGAGGAAUUGUGGAGGACACACGCCUUGAAGAAGGGUAUUUAUGGAGGAAAAACCAAAAAGCUUUAUUUGGGAUUUUGAAGAUGAAACAACAAAGUGGAGUUCACACACAAGAGCCACUUUAAAAUUAAUGACAAAAUUAAAAGAAACCAACUUUUCUUUUCUUUUUUAAAAAAUAUUUUUAUCCUCUUUUAAAAGUAGACAUAUACUCCCAAUGGAGGAGGCAGAUUUUCAUCCUUUUUUUUUUCUUCCAAAAUGUUGCUCAAUAAUGAAAAUGUCCAUUCUUGCAUAUCAUUUGUAUAUCCAUCAACAAAUGUUUCAAAACAGUGGUCAAAGUUUAUUUAAAGCAUAAUGAUUAUGCUCUUACAAUUGACCUUCAAUACACAAACAUUAGUUAUACACUAUCCUAUCCUACCCCGUGGUGUGAAAUUGAAGCAUCAACUUUUGAAAUGAUAAUUACAAAUGGUUGAAUUUAUACAUUUGUUUAUUAGUUUUCAUAGGAAACAUUUUACUUAUCUAACAAACACUCUUCUAAAAGAGUUCAUUCAUGAUUCAUGAUUCAUGAUUCAUGUUCUUUUUGUAAAAUAAAAACAAGGUCUUUAACCCAAAAAAGUUAAGAAGUAGGAGUUGAAAACUUCACUCUUUGUUUGUUUCAAGAAGUUUGUGAGUUCCACUGCUCAAAACAUUAAUUUUAAACUUUAUCAGCUCCUUAACUACAUUGUAGAGUCCCUAUUCCUCGGAACUCCUUACAACUCACUAUUUCACCUCUUUCCAAACACCUGUGAAAGGAUUAAAUUUUACUAUUAACUUUGAUGCACACUUAUUUUUAGGUUAAAUUGUAAAUUUGUUCACUACAACCUCAAAAAGAAUUAGAAUUUUAUUCCUAUUAUUUAUAACUAUAAUUUAUCCCUAACUUGAUAAAUCAUCAUAAAUACUCGUUGAUGUGAUUUUAUCAAACUAUAGAAAACAUUUACGAGGUUUCAACCAAUCAUCAGAAAUAAAUUCAAAGCAUGAGAAAUAAAUUCAAAGUAGCAUAGAUCAAAUAUCCAAUUUAACCCUACAUUUAUUUAUUUAUUUAUUUGGAGUUCAAUUUAGAAUGAGAAACUUGGAAUCUCAAACCAGUGGUUAGAAUUUUGAUUAGUAAAUUGUUUAUGAUUAUAAGGGGAAAAAAGUUAUUCAAAAGUGACGCUUAGGAAAAUUAAUUAAAAAAACAAGGAAGAAAAUUCUAUAGAAAUUAGAGUGGAAUAAUGCAAAAUUCUGUCCACCUUUGAAGAAAUGUAAAAAGCUCAAACAUUGAGCUGAUAGAUCAAACAAUGGUGGCCUAUACAGCAAAGUUAAAAAGGUUCCUUUCAUUAUUAUAUAUUAUAUUAUCAUUCACGUAACAAUUAUACUUUAAUCUAACACCUCAACAUAAUAAUUCAACAAUAACCCAUAAGUAUUACCUAAAAUUUUAAAAACAAAAUCGAAAAUGAUUUGGUGCCUAAAAAUAUAAUCAUCAUUAUUAAUUUCAGAGGUCCAUAGUUUAUUUUGAUGAUCUUUUGUGAAAUAGGUCACGUUUACUUCAACUGCAGCUUAAUCGGAGUAAAAUGUGGAUUCUGGUAGAUUAUGUUUGUUAUUAUUGUUUGCUUGCUUCCAAAUCUAUAAUCAAAACCCAUAGUUUCAUUGAAGAAGGAAAGACGGUCAUUUAAUUGUGCUUGAAAAUUACAAAUGACCCAUUAUCUUUACCUGUAUUAUAAUGAUUACUAUUACAUAUAUUAUUACCAUGAUAGUAUGAAAAUUUUAAAUCUGUCACGUUUAUCGUUAUAGUUUUACAUUCUUAGGUUAAACAAUAGCAAUAAUAAAAUAAUUUUACAUAAAUAAGAAGAAAAGAAUCCAAUUAGAUUUGCAAUUAAGAUUUCAUUAAAGGAAUUUGAUUACAAGGGUUUGGUAUGGUAGCAAAAUAAAAGUUGGAUUUUAAUGUAGAAGAUUAUAGGUUUAAAAAUUAUUUGACUUUAAAUGGAAAAUUAGAAAGUGAGUUGUAAAAUCCAAGUAUUAAGAAUAUAUUAAAGAAAUGGAUGAAUAAGAAUUUAGAAUAGUUAGAAAAAUGAAAAUAAAAAAAAGGCUAUAUAAAAGGAACCAACGUGAGAAAAGUAAUAGGAAGCUUUAAAAACACAAAAGUAAUUUUAGGUUUAAUUGGAUUAGUUACAUUAAUCCCACUUUUGGAUCAUCUUCUAAUCUGCCGUCGGUGACUUUUUUUUUAUAUAUAUAUAAAUGAAUUAACAGCUUUUUCUAUAAUUAUUUAUGUUUAAAUAUUAAAAAGAAAAAUAGAAAAAGGGGCUUUCGGUUUUAUUUGAAAAGGAUCCAAAGAAAAAGAGAGAAAAAGCAAAAUAUAAAAGUAGUGUGAAGGACUAAAAUAUUCCAUUUCUGAUUUUUUUUCGUCCCUAAAAUCCUUUUUCUUUUGGGUUAAUUUUGUUGUUACUUAAGGAUUGGAAACAAUUUUUAUCGGACUAUGCUCGUAAUGGGAUGAAAAUGGGAAAUUGACGAAACUAACACCAUUUUGGUUUUACAUUUAAAAAUUAACGCAGUUUUGAAAAACUCAACAUUUUAUUUUUCUUAGUCAAUCGACCUCGAGAUUCUUUACAAAAUUUAAUAAACUAUUUCCAUAGAAUUUCUCGGUCUCUCUCGGCCAAGAUUACCAUCAAGAUAGUGAGUGAUAUACCAAAUGACCAAAAUAUACCCUUGGAAUACUUUGUUUCUAAUUUUUGUUUUUAGUUUUUAAGUUUAUGUUUUUAGUUUUUUAUUGUACGUUCUUAGUUGCUAGUUUAUGUUUUUAGAUUUUUAGGUAGAAAUCUGAGGUGGAUGGGAAAUCUAAUGUAGUUAUUAUUGAGAUGUUGAGUUAAUCUAGGUUUAUGUUAUUGUUUAUCAUGAAAUCCUUCGAAGAAUCGCAGCUUUUUUCAUGAAUCUAGGUAAGUGCAGAUGAUGAAUCUCGGCUAAGAUUUAUGAUUUCAUCCUGGGCUUCUCCCGAGAUCAGAUGAGUUUCACAUGGAUUUUGUAGAAUUUUCUUGGGUCAAUUUUGCCUGAGAUGGGGACCAAGACUUACCACACAGAAUGCAUGCAAAAUCCUAUUCUCGUGGCAUUUCGGAGCAAUGUUGCCAAGUUCUAUUGCUUAUUCAUGAAAUCUCGACCGAGAAUGGCCUAAGAUUAAUAUUGUUAUUGCAAUACAUUUUCGUACAUAAACUUGAUGCUCAUACAUAAACUCGAUCCUCAUACGUAUAUCUCAGUCAAGCUUUUUAUAAGUUUACCCCAAGAUUACACAUGUGUUCAUUGUUUUCUUUGUAUAUUUGCAAGAUGUCUCAUGUGUUUACUUGUUUUGGUGGUGAAUGGAAGGAGACUGAGAGAAUAUGUUAGAGGACAGCUUAAAGGGUUGAAUGUUGACGUGCGUAUCAAGUAUGAGGAUUUUAUGAGGGAAUAUGUAGAAUAACUAGGACAAACUCCAAUGAGCAUGAUUUAGUCCUUAGGUGUAUACAUAAUGUCAAACCGUAUAUAUGGGCUUCUGUGAUUGGCAAUCAAGAAGACCUUGAGUUUUAUUUAGGGGGGAUGACAUCUCACAGGUUAGCCAUUUUGGUUUCUAAGGUUUCAAAAUCAUUCCCGAGGAGUUCUAUGACUCGAGUGUUCUAAUAUUCCAAUGAUCCACGAAGUGUGUAGUAUUUCAAUGGCGAGGGAAAGCAAUAAACCUGAUGCCCCUAAUCCCAACCUUAAAUGCUCACAUAUAUUGACUAAGGUCUGCGAGCUGAUUCUGUUCACUACGAAUAUGUGUCCCUUAGAAUUGGGAGACAAUGAAAAUGGCUUCGGUGGCAUUAACAAUGACUAGUUUGAUAUGUAUGAUAUAGACUUGAGAGUAGAACUCGGAGGUGAUGAUGAGAAUUUUGGUCUUCAUGGUGUUGGUAUGUCUUAAGCAGAUGUCCAAGUAGAUCAUGAAGAAGUACCACUUAAGGAAGGUGCGGUGGAAAGUGACGAUGAAGAAGUUCCUCCAUCAAUUGGCAAGCAAAUGCGAAAGCGUGUUAAAAAGUUGUUGGAACGCACCAUUUUUGUAUCUGUCGAAUCAUACCUAUAAUUUUUAUGUAAAAGCUAAAGAGGUGGCAAGUUUUGCAAUUAUUAAAAAACAAGUCGAUUCUUUGUUUUUUAAUAAGAAAUAUUUGGCAAAGAAACUUGUAGUGUUUGCCAUAAUGCAAAACUUUUAGUUUCGUGUGCAUAGAUCCAACAAGAAUUUUUAUGUCCUUAGAUGUUCCAACUCUGCCUAUUCAUGGAAACUAAGGACCACAAAACUGAAAGAUUUUGAUCUGUUUAAGGUCUCUAAGUAUGAGAGGACGCACACAUGCCAAAAAGUCCAGAGUAGACAAGACCAUAAGCAAGCUAAGAGUUGGGUUAUAGCCAAACCGAUCCAGUCGAAGUACGAAGACGUUAGUCGUGGUUAUAUGCCCAAAGAAAUAAUUCAGAAUUUCCCAAAAGAGUUUGACAUCGAUCUGUCAUACGAUAGGACUGAGGGCUCGAGAGGCCACAUUUUUUAUGGUAAUGGGGUCCUCCAGAGAAAUUUACUGUUUAUUGGAUUGGUAUGGAGAACAUUGAAGAUUGCCAAUUCGGAGACUCAAUAUAAUUUUGAGGUUGAUCCCAAUGGUCAUUUUUGAUAUGUAUAAAAGGUGCUUCGGGUAGCCAUAUAUGGUUUUUUGAAUUGCAUAAGGCUAGUUUUGGUGGUUGAUGUGGCUCAUUGCAAGGGAAAGUACAAGGGUAUUAUGCUCGUGGUAGUGUUUAUUGACGCAAAUAAGGAAGUGUAGCAUGUCACAUUUGGGUUGGGUAACAAAGAGAACGACAAAUCAUGGACCUGGUUCAUGACACACUGUUACGAACAACUAUCGGCGAUGUCAAUGGGCUAGUGUUCGUAUCUGAUCGACAUAAGAGCAUCAUCAAAUUCAUUGCACAAGUCUUCCCCGAUAAAUUCCACGCAUUGUGUAUGUGAGGCUCUGAUCGCAUGAUGCCCACACAAUAAAGACCCUGUGGCAAGUAUGCUGAGAGAAGAAAUUUCUAACAAUAGAAAAUAUAUUAUGCGAAAGGAGUAUGCGUGAGACAUUGACCCAAAGAAAGGAAUUCCGAUUAAAGAGGAUCCUCGAUGAAAAGCCAUUUCAGAUAGGAUUAUAGAACAUUCUGCCAAGGAUCAUUAAAAAGAGAAGGAGGCAACACGAAGAGAAAUGCUUGUCUAAGUCAUAUCAGAUUAGUGUAAGCAAUGCGAUAAGAGUAAGCAAAGAGGAAGAAUCCUGCGUUGAAUGUCAAAAGUUGGGCGUUUAAUAAUGCGAAAAGAAGUACCUAUGCCUACGAAAGUGUGGCGAGAAGUAGGUGUCCUGUAUUGACCUAACUAGACGAUCUAGAAAGUAUGUAUCUGAUGUUUUCGAGAAGAUAUGGAAGAAUCUAGUGAUUAAACAGUUUGACUUUUCAAGAAGAUAAGAUGUGCAUCUCAAGGGAAAGUCAAAUCAUCGCUAAUGCUCAGACCACGUGUCAAGAUGGGUUGGCUGCAUGACAUGGCAAAAUGGCGAGGAGACACGUGUAAAGCGUAGAAGUGACCAUACAAGAAGACUACUAUACAUAGGGCUAAAAAUUAAAGGAAGAAGAGAGUCUUGGUUGAUGAAAGAUAACAUUUCUGUUGAUAGGGACAAGAGGAAUUUCGGAGUACUAAGUGACAAGAUAAGAGAACCAUUAUGGGAAAGAGGAGUCCAGAAGCAUAGAAGGAAGGAAUUGAGGAAAAAUAUAUGUGUUGUUAAGCAUUAAGGUCAUGCGAAAGCUAGUUCUAGGGCUUUGUAACCAAGCUAAGGAGGAAAGACGAAGUGAUUUUGUAGUCUUGCAUGACGUGUUAGCUAUAAAAGUUUCUAUUACGCCUGAGGAUCCAAUUGGUAAGUGAUUCGCUCCUUAGCACAAAUGGCUCAGCUCAAAAGGUAGGGGAGUGCAAUAUCUAAAAUGGUGAGGCUUAGCACAGGGAGCCACAGAGCUGAGUCAAAAAAAGGGUAACCCCAAAUGGAACCACUAAGAGAGGUGGUUAGACAAUCGAGACAAAGGACUAAGGUGUGGCUUUACACCUCUAGGAGCCUGCCAUGAGAAGUAGUGUUUAGCGGAGUAGAGAGAAAAGGGUUAUUGGGAACUAUCUUAAGUUGAGAUGUUGAUGACUCGAGGGGAAGGGGUUGAAGAAAGCAGUUUCGGAUUUCUGAAGACUUCGACGUGAAGAGCUGCACCUUGGUGACAAAGAGAGAACAAGACAUAUUCCUACACGAUUAGGCGAACAAACAAGGCAUCAAGUUGAAAAAGUUGUGCCAGGUAAAGGGAGACCUAAAGUUUAUUUUUAAGACUCAUUGUAAGAAAAAGUCUAAGCUCUAUUUGUACUUUAUCGUAAAAUGUUAAGUUAAUAAAGAAAGAGAAGUUGUACUCAUUUUGUUGUAUUACUUUAUGAAUGUCGCAUGAGUAGUUUAAAGAAUUUGUUAAGCUAAGUAUUAAAGGCAACACAAUAAGACUAAGCUAAAGAAAGUUAAGUUUUAGUUUUCCUCUGUGUUGUGUUAAGUAAGCUUGAAAUUAAGCUAUGCGUUUAAGUUUGAUAAAGAAGAUGUUCCGUUAACUAGCCGUUCAACGUUUAUCACGCUGUGUGUUUGCAUUGAAGGUCUAGGCAGCAUGCCUCCACUUAGUCGCAAAAAGUGACUUUGGGGCAUGGUGUGAUAGUGUAUCCAUCAUUUGAGUUUGAACUCGACAAAGAAGUUCAAUAGUGAUAACAUGUGUGCAAAUUUCAUGCUAGCUGCAAAAGCAUGCUAGGAGCUUGUAUUUUAUGUAUUAUUAGAACUAGUUGUCACGUUUCUCGAGAGUGUAAGAAUAUCUGAUCAAAGUGGGUUUGUCGAGGUGGGCCCGUGUACAUUAUGGGGGAAUGUGAUAUGAUCAAAUGAUGACCAAUAUCGUGGAUCAACACGGUUUUGAAGGACACAGGGGCAUUGCCGAUAACCACUUUUCUUGACCACAUAAAAUCUAUGCACUAGGUGUGGUUCGUCGAACGUAGGGAGAUAGCGUUGAGUCGAGAAACUAUAUUAUCUUACCACAAUGAGUCCUUACUGAAGUUGGCUGAUCUGAGGUCCAGAAGGUACGUUGUGUGUCGAAUAGAUCAUAAUGAUUUGGAGAUUGUGGAUGGUCAUUUGUAAUCCUCAUGCCAAUUUAGCCGAUAAAACACGCAUGCGCGACGCGUUCAGUUACUACAAAAAAAUUUGUUCGCAUGCACUCGCCACUUGUAGGGUGAGGGAUAUCGAUCCGUACACAUUAUGCUUCCAUGCCUACUACGUCAAGUCCUAGUUGGCCAGUUAUUUAGAACAUGUCUUUUCGGUAUGUCAUGUCUUCGAAUGGAAAACUACAAAAGGUUUUGUUGAUAGUCAUUUUUACCACCAUGAAUAGUUGGUCGGUGGCAAAUGAUUUGCAUCCCGUCAAACAAUGAAAUCGAGAAGAAGAUUCACCAGUGUUUUUGAUGCAAAGUUGUAGGCCAUAAUAGGAAGAGAUGUAGAGCCAGAGUUGUUGAGCAAUAAUACAUUUUUAUUGUUGUAUUUUGUGCUUUUUGUAGUUUGUAAAUGAAGUUAACAUAGUUUUAUAUGUGUUUUGUUUUCAAACACGAUAAUGCAUAAAAAAUCUAAUUUUCUUUUUCAAUCCAUCUUUAUAUACACAAGCAUGCAGCAAACAUAUCAUUCAGUAUGCCUUCCAUUAAGAAAAUGGAGAAAACUAAAUUGGAGUCCAUACAUAUACAAUAAAGGAAUGAACUUACGAAAAUUGAGAAAAUUAGAUUGGGGUCUAUACAUAUACAAUAAGUGAAUGAACUUAAUAAAAUUAAGAAAAUGGAGAUUGGGGUCCAUACAUAUACCAUAAAGGAGAUGAGCAUAAGAAAGUUGACAAAAUUAGAUUGGGGUUCAUGCAUAUACAAUAAGGGAGUGAACUUAAUAAAAUUGAGGAAAUGGAGAUUGUGGUCCAUACAUAUACAACAAGGAUAUUAAAUUGGGACCUUAUAUUAAAUUGGGACCUUAUAUAAAACUCGGGGCAUCUCGAGAAAAGUAUGCCCCAGUUAUGCAUUCUGUGAAUUUAGUAUGUAAAACUCGGGGCAUCUCGAGCCAACUAUGCCCUGAGAUGAUAUGCAUUCUUUCAAUUCUUAGUAUUAAAACUCGGAUCAUCUUGAGACAUCGUGCCCUGAGAAAUGACUUCUGCGAAUUUAGUAUGUAAAACUCGGGGCAUCUUGACCCAAUUAUGCUCCGAGAUAUGCAUUAUAUUUUAUGAAAUCCUAAUUUAAAACUCAGGACAUCUCAGGACAACGAUGCCUUAAGCUAUAUAUUUUGAACUAAGCAAUAAAUAAUAGAUCUCGAUGGAUCUCAGGCUACUACUACACCGAGAUAUGCAUUCUGACAUUAUGUACAAGACAUUUUAAUAGGUAGUAAUUGCGAGGAUGAAUUUAAUACGGUCAUUGAUUAGAUGAAUGAAUUUUAAAAGGAUGAAUUUAAUAGAUUCAUUCAUUACAAUAAGGGCUUUAUUACAAGACAGAGUUCACAACAAGAAUGAAAGAAUUAUAAGGUUCAAUUGAUUACAAAAUAUUUAUAACAAUCAGAAGCACAUGUGAAAAAAAAAAUUAUUUGCCCAUAUAUAACUCAAGAAUGUAUUGUGGUCUAAACAACUUCUUGUCCUCUAAUCUAGACAACUAGUUGGACCAUCAACCAGAACACAUUCAACGGACAUGUGCAGUUGCUUGGGUACGGUGUAAGCUUAUUUUCUUUAUGUUUGACACUGCCUUUGCUAAGUGCGAACAACAUUUGAGGUUUUUGCCAAGAAAAAAAUCCUUAGAAUUGAUCUUCAUGACAAGAUGCAUCUGCAAGAAAAAAGAUAAAUGAAAAAGUCAAGAUUUUUUGAAGGAUUUCAUGAUAAGCAAUAACAUAAAUCCAAAUUAACUAAUCACAUCUCAACAGUAACUUCAUUAGAUUUUCCAUCUGCCUUAGAUUUCAACCUAAAAAUCUAAAAACAUAAACUAAACAACUAAGAACAUAAACUGAACAACUGUGAACAUAAAAUAAAAAAACUAAAAACAAAGUAACUCACCUUGUUUGAAUUUGAGGAAGCAAGAUUUUGGGAGGGUUCUCGCAUAGUUCUCGAUAGAAGCAUGAAAAGUUUUUAAGGUUUAGCGUGUUUUGUGAGAAUAUUAAAGGGUUGGUAUUCCAAGGGUAUUUCAACCAUUUUCUAUAUAACUAUUUUGGUGGUAAUCUUGAUCGAGAUUUUUUUUUUUUUAGUUUUCCAAAACCGUGCUAUUUUUUAAAUAUAAAACUAAAAUGGUGCUAGUUUUGUCAAAUUUUCGAUGAAAACUCUCCAUCAUGAAAAUAUUGAAAUUUUAAUUUCACAAAGAUUUUAAUAGAAAUAUCAAUGAAAUCGAUAACUUCAAUGGAUAUUUCUAAAAAAGAUAAAAAAAUAGACAAAAAUUCAAAAAAUAAAUUUCAAUUAGUAAAUAAAUAUGAUGAAUUUUCAAAUAUAGCAAAAUGAACUAAAAUAUUAUAAAAUAUAGCAUAAUUUCAUACCUAUCUAGUCUUUUAUAAUUUUAUUCGUGUCUAUAUAAAAUCUGAAGUUUUGCUAUAUUUUGAUAUUAUUUUCAACAGAUUUGUCAUUUACACUAAUUCUCCUAAAUAUUAUUUUACUAUUUUCAAAUAAGUAAACAUGUCUAUUAUUUAUAUUAUAUCUAUAUUAAUAGCAGUUUGGUAUUUAUUUUUUUGUGUUCCGUUGAUUUUUUUCAUGGUUGAAUGAAAAUAUUGAUUCACCCCUCAUAUUGAUAUCGAACUCAUUGAAACAUAAAAAUAUUGGAUAUAACAAUAAAAAAAUUUAAUAUUAUGUAACAACAUAAUUUUUUUAGUACAACAACUAUAAAGAUGAUAAUAGAAUUUUUUAUUUUUAGGAAAGAGUACAUAACAUCAUCAUUAAGUUUAAGCUUACUUUAAAGAGUUUUGACACCUUUGUAAAGUUUGAACAUUUUUCGUGUACUUUGUUCAAGGCCAUGGUGUUUUUGUAAUGUCUUGACCCAUGAUUCGAAAUUCGGAUCCCCGACGACAUUUUCGUGCAUCCGCUGUAAUCUGGCAACAUCAUCCUUACUUGUCUUGGCUUAUUAGAGUGAAAGUUCUCCCCAUAAACCAACACGAGUCCUUUCAACAUAAUUUUUCCUUACUCACAUGUAUCCUAGGAAAAUUCUUAAGAUAAGCAUGCUUAAUUUUAGAGAUCUUAGGAUUGAGCCAUUGAAAAUAAAGGUACACCUUGUUGGUACAUGUAAUAACUUUACUUCAUGUCCUCAAGAUCUCUCUCAUUCAGAUGUGAUACUGGUUUAUUUAUGACCCUUUCCUAAACUCAUGAUGUUACCAUUUUUAUAUUUAGAUUUAGACCACAGUGAAAUUUACUAUUUUUUUAGCAUUGUUAAUGAAUUUUAUAUAUCACUUAUCCAACUCAUUUCUUACUUGUUUAGGUUUAAUUUAGAAAUCAUUAUUUGUUAAAUUAUGUAAAAUACUCAAAAGUUUUAAAUUGGUUUUAAUUAGAUACCUAAAGUUUUUUUUUUCUUCAACAUUCAAAGGGUUAAUAAAAAAAAAUCCAUUACAUUAAAAAGGGUACUAAGAUUGUUGCUAACCCUUGUUUGGUCCAAACAGAUUUUGUAAAAACCAUUUAAAUCAAUGUUUACACAUUAACUAUGGUUAGCUGGUUAUCUUUAAGAGAAUACUAAUCACAUGUUUUCCAAAUUCCAUAUAUACAAUCAUGGUUUUGCUAAUUUCUAACUUAUUAUAACAAAUCAAAAUCUCUACGGUUAUUUUUUAAAUUUUUUUAAAAAAAUCAAAGUUUAUAAAAAUAAAAGGAUGCUUUUCAAAAUUCUAACACAAUAUAAUGAAACUUACUCUAAAAUUUAGGGAUAUAUGUUUGUUGGAAUAUACUACAUGUGACUUCUUUUUUAACGUUGCAUUUUUCAAUUUCAUGAGUUGCAUUCUUGGAUGUAUCUUUUCUUAAAAUACCACUGCUCACACAAGAUUUUCAAAGAAAUUUAAUUCGUUGAGUAUAAGUUGUGUUGAUGUUGUAUCUAUGUUGAUUUGAUGCGAUGUGAUUCGAUCUCUAGUAUUUUAUCAUCUGGUUCUCUAUUGGUUGGAUGCUUACGUUUGAUUUAAAGAAACAGAGCACAUGAUGUUCUUGAAGUUGGAGUCUUGGAAUAAAGCUUGUAUCUUCAAAAGAACUUCAAUCUUCGAGGGGGUCGACUUCAGGAGUUAGGGGAUUUUUUUAGCUCUUGAGAGAAUUUAAUCUAGACCUUCUAGAGUAAAAAAUUUUCAACAUCCACAAAUGAAGAGAACACCUCUGUUUAUAGAGUUAUCUGGUAGGCUUUAUGAACUUUGAUUGGGUUGGUCCAUGGACCAGGUUCAACCACAUGGAUUUGCGUCAUAUUUAGCAUUUGGGCUAAAUGAAACUUUUUUUUUUUUUUUUUUGCUCAAUUGAAGUUUUUCCUCCUCAGGUUGUAAGAGGUAAGUGAUUGUCUAGAGAGGUAAGUGAUCGUUUUAGAAAGGUAAGCGAUUAGGUAGACAGGUAAACAGUCAUGUUUGAAAGGGUAGGCGAUCUGAACUAAGCGAUUGGUCAAGGAUCUAAACGAUCGUUGAGGGUUGAAGUCUAUGAAGGUAUUUGGCAUUUAUUUGUUAAGCCUUUGUUUUAAGAAUCAUAGAUUAUUUUGUACUGUUAUAGAAAUAUUUUGGUUUAAAUAAAUAAGAGAUGUGUUGCACUACUUAAAAUGUCGUCGUUAUUGUUAAGUUUGUAUGAUCAUGGUUAAUGGUUCAAAAUUUUAAAAUCACAUUUCGUUUUGUACGACAAAUUUAAGUAUGUGCGCGAGACGAGGCGUGAUGUAGUGCAUCUAGGGAUUAGAUAUGCAUUUAAUCCUACUUUAAAAUGGCUCACAUACGAUGCACAUGUUUAUGAAAUUUAUAAUUUGUUAUUUUAAAAAAAAAAAUCUUCGAAGGCUUUAUGAAUGUUGAAAUUUCAUUUAUAUUUAGUAAUUGUAAACUAUGUCUAUUAAGUGUAUAGAAACAACAAAAAUCACACUAAAAAAUUAUAAGUGAUAGAUGCAAAUAUAGAAAAUGUAAUACCAACUACACUCGAAAAGUGGUUUUCUGUUGACCUAAAAUACACUUAACUUUCAUAAAUAGAUCUAUGUUGUGAAGUGAACAUAUAAAGGACCAACCAAGAUUUGUUCUAACAUCUCUCAACGAACACCUGACCUUAAUGAGUCACUUCUAUAGAUCACAUCCAUACAUGAAUAAAUAUAUUUGUUUUAUGUAUGACCACUUAUAGGCAAACAAUAAUCAACGAAUACCUUUAAACUGGAAGAGUUGUGUACGUCCUAAAGAUUGAAUGGUGCAUAUCAACAAACAUCUAAACUCAAAUAGUCAUAUUUUUUUUAUUCAUGGGUCACAUUCAUGAUAUAGGAAUGGAUACACCCUAAUCGAUGUGAAACUAUCUUUAUGCACCGAAUGAGUUAUGCCUCGUGAAUUGCACAAACCUCUAUUAUUCGAACAUCACUCAAUAAGCACUAAAAGAAGAGUUGUGGCAUUGGUAGAAGCGCAAAUUAGCCCAUUACGGCUUAAUUACCUCUUUUAAUUUAGUUUAAAUAUCAAUAUUGUAUACAACUUAACCAUGAAUUUAUUUUAAAAAAUAUAGUAAAAUAAACCAAAAUAUUUACAAACGUAGAAAAAUAUAAACACUAAUAGACUACUAUCAUCUUUCAUUGAUAGAUGUUAACAAUAUUAAUUAGUGCUAUCAUUUAUAGACUAUAAAAUUUUGCUAUAUAUAUAAAUAUCAUUAACGAUUUUGGUAUUUAAAACAACUUCUCUCCAACAAAUUUAGUUUACUAUAGUAAAGUUGACAAUCAAAGGGAAAAAAAAUUCUCUAAGAUUUUGAUGUUAAAUCAUCACAAUGUUGAUAGAGACGGCUUAGAAAAAUUGAGUGAGUUCUUUUUUCCUCUCUUUAUUUUGAUUGAUUGAUUCUGAUUCCAUAUUUUGAUUUCAAUGCUUCUAAUGAAAGGUGGCCAUAAAAACAGUAAAGAAAGGAUAAAAAGAGAGCAAAUAUUGUCAUAUUAUUUACGAUAUAAACUCAUUUUUAUAUCGAUAGAUUUGGAAUUUUGCUAUACUUUAUAAAUAUGUUGAUUCACUUUUUUAUAUUAAAAAAUUUCUCUUUAAAAUUAAUUAUUAAAGUAAAAGUAUUAUCAAAUGUCAAGAUGAUCGAGUCUAGUUAAAAUGACACACUCCGAUAUAAUAUGAUAAAUUAACCAUUUUUAAUUAUCAAAUUUAAAACUUAACGGGUAAGAUUAAGAAAAUUUUCACAUUUUAUAAGAUAAUUAUAUAGAAAUAAUUAAAACUGCCCCAGGGAGAAAACAAAGUUAAUUAAUUGAUAAUAUAGUUCAAAAUAUACCAUAUGACAAUGAUAUAUCUUUAUAAUUGAUAAUUGUUUCUAAUGUUGACUAAAUGUUAAAUCUAUCACAGUAAACUGUUUAACAUCGUGAGUUUUUACAUAUAAUUAACCGAUGACAACCAUAGAUGUAUGUUGUGUUAAGUAGUAAAUAACACGAGGGUUUCAACUAAUUAAAAUCAUACCAUUCAUUUAUUUAUUUAGUUAGAUUAAGGUGAAUUUUUGUAUUGAGAUGCUGAAAUUACAUUCCCUCUCACCAUUGUCAUAUUUUAGGGGACCAAAACAAAACACUAAAACAGUAUUUAUAAGAUAUAAAGCUACCAAAAAGAAUAUGCUUGAUUUGUGAAGUAGUUUUCAUUGCUCAACUUUUUCUUUCACUAAAAUUCCCAUAAUUCAUUCAAAUUUUUUGUUUGCAAAAUGGGUUUUCUUUUUUCUUCUUUUACAAUAAUAUUGAAAUUUUUGGGUCCACAGGUUUGGAUUAUUUCUCCAAGUUGUUUGGUUUUGUGGGUUUUGUUAAUUAGAAUAAAUAAAUACACAAUAUAUAUAUAUAUAUAUGUAUGUAUAUAUUUAAAAUAUAAUUUCAAAGAAAAUACAAAACAAAAGAAUAUUGGAAUGCUGAGAAGGAUGACACCAAAUUAUUAUUAUGAAUAUUUGGAUGCGAGAGUGUGUUAAGAGAGUGGAGAUUAACAAGGAUAUCAUAUUAAAUUAUUCAUAGAGUGUGCAAUCCACGUGACCACCACCAACUUUCCCAUUAUCUAAUUCAAACUAAAUCCAACUUUCUUUUUUAUCACUUUCCCCAAAUCUUAUACCACCUUUAUUUUAAUUCAUUCUUAUUCUUACCUAAAUUAUGAUACUAAUAUACUAUUACAAAUGUCAAAACGUAGUGUAACUUGCGAUUAUCAUUUAUGUCUUUACGUUUUUUUUUAUGACUAAAACGUAUUUGAUAAUAUGGACAAGUAUUAAAACAAAGUUACGUAGUUUGUAUUUAUCGUAUAUAUAGAAUUUUCUUUAAUCAAUCAAAAUAUAGGUACCAAGUUGAGGUUCAAAUGUAUGAUGUGUUAUCUCAAAACAGAAUUAUGUGAAAAGAAUGAAUGAAAUAAAGAUCGAAUUUAUUCUAUUCUAUCCGAUUUAAAAUUUUGGUUUUGACAUUGAACAAAUCUAACAUCGUAUUAGAAUAAUGGGUUCACGAGUCUAAAUUCUUAAUUAAAGUCUGGAUUUUUUUAUUCUACUUAUUGAUAUAUUUGAUUGAUUAAAUAUUGGGUAUCAUGAAUCAAAUAAGUAUAUAAGACUAAUGUUUUGAAGGGACUGUUAUGUAAAAUAUAUGGAAUUUUUUAAAACAAAAGAGUAGGAUUUUACAAAAUAUUUACAAUUUAUAACAAAUUAUAUCACUGAUGAUCAUUGAUAUGUUAUAGUGAUAAAAGACUAUCGAUGAUAGAAUCCAAAAUUUAUAAAUAUUUUAAUUUAUUUUGUUAUUUUUAAAAAUGUUUCAAUUUUAAUUCUGCUAUAACGAGAUAGCAAAACUUAUAAUAUAUCUGUAAAUAUGAGACUUGAUGUUAAUCCUAUUUUAAUUUGAUAAUAUUUGGAAUUGUACAAUUGGAUAUAUGCUUUAUUGGUGGCAAUAAAUAAAUAAGUUAGUCCAAAUUAAAUCUUAAUUAAGAUCGUUCCCUUUUAUCUUUGGAAUAGUUGCAAAUUUAGUAAUUAGAUUUAAAAUAGUAUAUAGCACCAUUUUAAAAAAUUUGUCCAAUUCUACUAAUGAUGUAAGUUUAUUAUCAAUAUACCAUGUUGCAAAUAUCGAUCUAUCACUGAUAUACCAUAUGAAGUCUAUCAGUGAUACAAGUUUAUCAGUGAUAGUUUUGUUAUAUUUGCAAUUUUUUUUAAACGUUGUUAUAUACUUAAUUAUUAUUCCUAAAAUGGUCAUCAAUUCCAGGUUGCGUUUUAUGUUUUGAGUUUGUAUCCAUAUUGGACUUUAAGUAAGGUUUCUCUUUCUCACACAUCCACAUGUUAUAAGCAGAAGAAUGUCUCCAAAACAUCCACAAAUAGAUUGGACUUUGAAACAUGUGUUCACCAACUAAAAGCCAUAUAUAUUUUUGGGCCAUUACUUUCAUUUUUGUUCACUACAUUACAUAACAUAAUGGGCUCAUGAAUAGAACACAUAUCUUUUCAUUUACUUUAUUAUUAUUAUUAUUACUUUUCUCUCUCAUUCACAAUAUCAUUUCUUAAAAAGAGUUUCCAAAUUAAACAUAUAGUCAUGUAUAUGAUUCAAAUAUUUGUGGACUUUGGACAAUGACAUAAACAUUUUCAUAUCUUCUUCCCAAUUCACUUUUUGUCUAUGGACUAAUUAAUUUUUUUUAGAUCAGAAUCUAAAAUUUUGAAAGUCUUAUAAAACACUUCAAACAAAUUUCUAUUUACAAUCAUUUUGCUUGAUUGUUUGUGUAAAAAGGGUGUUUAAAUGUAGAAUAUAACAAGUAAAAUAAUAUAUUUUGAGUUUUUCAUAUCUUAUUUAUAAUUUUUUUCAAUAUAACAUCUUCAAAAGAAUUAAAGAAUCAUUGCUACAAUUUUGGUCUUCUUUGAUAUGUAAAAGCACGUCAAAAAAUGUCUACCUUGAUGGUCUUUGUCCAUCAAAUGGAUAGGUAACAAGAAAGUUCGACCAUCAAGAAAACUAGAUCAAAACAUGUCAUAAAAAACUCUUUCUUGAUGAUCAUACAAUCAAGAAAUAAAAUUUUGAUGUUUUUUGUCCAUCAAGAAAACUGAAAAAUUCAUCAAAAAAAUUGUUUUCUUGAUAGCCAAAAUAUGUAAUAAAAGACCUAGUUUAUUAAUUUUAUUUUGUGAAGAAAAUAAUAGAUUUUCAUUUAUUUUCUCACGCCCACUUGGCAUCUUCAUGAGAUUGGUUUCAUCCUCAAUCAGGAUUGUACUAACAAUUUUAACAUUGAUAUCCAAAUUUAUAAAAACGUUGGACCUUUUAUCCACAAUAUAUACAGGUGUCAGUUGAACUAAGUUCAUAUGUUAUACAACUUCUACAAAUUUUUAAAACCUUAAAUUACAAACUUUCAAUUCAACUCGUUAAAUUUGAACACAAUAACUAAUUUAAUUUUGAUAAAGUCACUUAUUUCAAUCUAAUUAUAAUUACACAACAAUUAACUUUUUAAAAAAGUAAUAUUGUAUUAUUGAUGUAUAGACAAGUAAUAAUUGGAGAAAAAAAUAGUAAAGCUUUAAGAUUAUUAUUGAUGAUAAUAUCGUGUUUUCAAAGCUAUUAACGAUGAUCUGAAUUUCGUGCUUCGUAGAAAAUAGUUUUUUUUUUCUUGAUUGAUCUUGUCCAUAAUUUUUUUUUAUGUCUUUGUUCAUUAAGAAACCCUAGAUCCAUCAACAAAAUUCUAAACCCAUCAAGAAAUCCAAAACAAAUAUUUUUUUCGAUGAUGACUAUUGCAAAUCAAGAAAAUUCAUUCUUUGAUGGGCCUCGUCCAUCAAGAAAAACUUAUCUAAUUUGAUGGACAUUGUCAGUCAACUAAUAUAUAUCGAGAAAAUAAAAAAUUCACAUUUCUUCACCUUCGAAACAAACUGUAGACUCAACGUGAGUCAUCGUUUGAGGGGAUAUUAAGAAAAAAAAUCAAGAUCUCAUAUCUUCUCCUGUAAUUCAGAUCUUCGUUAUAAAUUAUCUUUCAUUAUACUUUAUCAUAUUUACGUGAUUGAAUUGUGUAUAAAUCUUUUCAUCUAUCAAUAAAAAGAAUGAAGCAAAAUUCAAAACAAUUCAUUACAGUUGUUUCAUGGAUAAGAAGUUGAAAUUUAAUUUGAAUAUUUCCUUGGGUUUCACUAAGCAAGUCAAAGUGACCAUUCCCCGUUUCUAUACAAUUAUGAAAAUGAUAAGUAAUCUUUUUGAGGUCUCAAAUACGUUCUGAAUACACCUUGUAAAUGGAAUAAAGAAAGAGGAGGAAAAACGUAGGAGAAAUAUUAUUGUUAUUUUCAAGUUCAAAACGGUCAACUAUAGUAAUAGGGACAAAAGCUAAGAGAACUAGAGGAGAAGAAAAUAUAGCAGGAGAAAGAACCCAACUGACUUUAUCUGGAAGUUGAUAAAACUAAUUAAUCCGAACUUAUUCAAUAAUAUCGAAACUAAAUGCAAUUCUAAAAUUUCAUAGGCCUAGAACUGAAUAGGGUUCUAACAUAAAUAAAAUUCCAAAUAAAGCAUAACUUAAAUACAAUAUAUAUUCCAAGAGAAGAAUAUAGCCAUGCCUGAAGAAGAUCUUACAUUAUAUCAUGUGUUCCUUAUAUUAAUCACAGGUAUACAUAUUCUAACUACUUAGCCAUUUUGGUGCUGUUUUAACUCACACUUCUUUGUGCUGGGAUAAUUCGUGAGAUGCUUGAUGGUUUCAAGGUUCUUUCUUCUCCAUGUGAAUACCAGACCAACGUCAUUUUGUUCUGAAAAUUAGUUGCAGUAAAAUUAAAAUUGUGAAGAGAUACAUAAUCUAGGACAUCUAAUGCCUGUGUAAGUGAACAACAGAUGUAUAAGUUUAAUUAGUUUUGUCUAUGCCCUCUCAACUCUUUUGUAUGUUGCAAACAUACGUGGAGCUUGCUACCCAAAUUAAAAUCUGGAAUACAUAUCUUCAACUAUUGAUGAAGCUACCAAACGAAAGUCUUUGGAGAAAUGAAGACAAAUUUGUGGAAUGUACAUGGAAAGUUAUUCACAAUUUUACUGUAUGAUGUAAUUUCUAAGAACAUUAAAAAUUUGUUCCAGUAAAAGAAAUCCAAAAAGUGAAAUGUUAGUAUGUGUGAUGCUAACCACCAGUAGGCAAUAUGUUCUUGAUUUUGAAAAGUUUAAUAAACCAUUUGUUCAUCAUUUAUUAUAGAACAAGCCAACAUCUUUUUAUCUUAUUUUUUACUUGUUUUUACUUUUUUUUGUUCUUUUGGAGCCAGUGAGCAAUUUUACAGCCAAAACAGAUGGUAGCAAGAAUAAAACUUAUUCCAAAUCCCAAAUCACCACUUCAUUAUUCUACUUUGCUUGAACUCAUUUUUAGUUCCAAAUUAAGAGAAAAUUAAUAUAAAAACUGGGAAGACAUUUCUCCACUUUGUCCUUAAAACAAGUUAGUUCACAUGUCCAUCUUAUUUUCUCUUUUACCAUCUUUUACAGAAUCUUUUAGUGUAGAUCGUGGGUAAUUAGUUUAGACACACAAUUAGCCUACACUGUACAACUUUAUAUCACCCAAACGAAGUACUCCUUAUAACUAAUAUUUGAUAUCAUUUUCUGUGUUUGACCUUAGUUUAUCCAGGAAACUUAUCGUUUCGCUUACACUUAGGCAAACAAGCGAAACGAUAGAAAAACUUGUACUGAACAAGGGUUCAGUGCUUAUACGAUCAAUAUAUAUAUAUAGUGAGCAUCAUGCAUGCAAUCCGAACCUCAACAACCAAGUCCAAGUUUUUGGCAGCGUUGUAAGUAUCUCUCCACCCACAAGCGAGUUUUUGGCGUCAUCACUAGAAAAUUAAUUUUUCAAAAAAUUAGGAAGAAGGAUUUACUUUAUUCUAGUGAAUCGUGCAUUCAGCUGAAGAUCGUGUGAAGAGGUUUGUAACACCAGAGCAAUCUGUGAUACAUGGACUAACCCCAGAAAUUGAGUGCAUCUUUCGAUAGUAAUAAGAACGAACUUUAUUGGAUGUGAUUAAAAUGCAAAUGAAGUUGUGUGUCUCAAACGCCUUGAGUCAAAAAAUAUUCUUUAAUGUAAAGAGUUUUUACUGAGGUGUGAAGGAAGUGUCCACGAGAUGAGUGAGCAAUUACAAGCAGAGACUUACUGCGAUGAGCGAUCGUGUAGCAGAGAGUUAUGCAACAAAGGAUCAAAGACAUUCAAGAGACUAUGCUUAGGAUGGCUAUACAAGGCAUGGUCGUUGCAAGGCUACAAUUAUCCUCACAUAAGACUUGCACGCAUGGAUGCUUUUGUAAAGUAUUACUUUCUCUAUCUUUAGUACAAAAAUGCAUCAUUAAUUUUGUGUAUACUACUGUUGUGGAUAGCUUUUUUUUACUUUUUAUAGUUCUGUUUAUUUACCUUAUAGUUAUAGUUUUAGAACGCGAGUUCUGUCGCGUAAAAGUUAGGCGAUAAGAAUAGGGUUCUGUGAGAUAAGGCUGCUUUGCGAGAUAGUUACGUAAUAGGACACAUUAGGCACUUUAACGUUCUCGCAAGACUUUCCGAGUAGAGGAAAAGUUCGUACAAUUAUUAGGGUUUUGGGAACAGCAAGCGCCAAAUUUAAAUUUCAAAUUAAUAUUUAUGUCCAUUCAAGAUUAGACAUUCCCUUGAGAUACUAACCUUAUCUUCUUGGGAAGCUAAACUCUUCCUCGCCUUCCUCUCCUCGCGACAAACUACAAACUUCAACUCCUUUUUCCUGACUUCACUUCAUGCUUCCACGGAAAAACAUAUGACUUCUCACAGCAGAACGCCUACUUGAUCGUCACAAAACACCGCAACUUUCACUCAUUUUUCCUUAAAACGCAACCUUCUUCAAAACGCCUCAUUUGUACACUUAGUCAAGAUAAUCCUGUUAUGAAGUUUUUCAAUAAAACUUCCUUUUCGGAUUUGGAUGUUAGGUUGUGUGUUUGUAACUAGAAUAGAGAGAUGGACGAUAAUGAGUUAAGAUUUUUUUAUAAUGAAGUGUUAGUUGAAGGGAGUAUUUGUGUGAGUAGUACAAAAUUAGGUCAAAUUGUAUGUGUUUGGUCAAAUUUAUUUGUCUUAAAAGAUGGAAAAGUUAGUUUUAUUUUUAAAAUUAUGAAUGAAGUAUAAAUGAAGUUUUGUUUUAAAAAUAUAUUGGAAAUGGUAAGAUGUCAAUUUCAAAUUCAUUGGUUUCAAAUGUCACGAGAGGAUCUGCCUCUAUCCAAAUCCAACCUUUUUCCUUUUUUCUUUCUUUUUAAUUAAAUACAUCUUUGUAUUAUAUUUAUAACUUCUGUCACUAUCACCAUCCACUAUAUAUAUAUAUAUAUAUAAAUUUGCAAAAAAGAAAGAAAAAUGUUUAACUCAACUUGUCUCAUACUGCUACAAGGCUAAUGGUAAGUGUAUUUGAUAUGUACUUCAAUACAACUCGUUUCAUUGUUUAUAUAAAACAAACCAUUAUAUAUAUCAUUGUUCAUAUGUACAUCUAUUUGGGUUGUGAGUCCAACUGCUAUAUAUCUCUAAAGGCAAUAAUCUACUAUAUACUUUGUUUUAAGGCUUUUUUUUAUGUACAAACUCCAUAAAUAUAUAUAAAAGUAAACAUAACUCAACUGAUAUAAAGUAUUGUUAAAAAUAACGCAUACACUCUAAGUCCACUAAGGUAUAUAGGAGAAACACUUUUUCUUGUCUCACAUUGGAGAUUUUAAGAGUGAGUAGAUGAUAUAUAUACAAAAUUACCACUUGCAACUUGUAAAAGUGUGCACGAGAUUUCCAUCUUUGUCUUGGAAUUACUUUAAAAUGCUAGCUCUUGUAUUGUAGCUUGCCUUUUGUUUUUGCCCGAGCAUCACUUGGUCGCAUGGCAUGCUCAGAUGCCCCUUGGUCGAGAUGUCUUAAAUUCCUCGCCUAAACUAUGCUUUUGCCACCCAAUUAUCUUGCAUCUCGCCUAGCACACCCAUUCAAACGCCUAGCAACAUAUCCAACGCCUAACAUCAAUACUUCUUCAAAAUUCCUUUCUCCAAUGUCACUUUGGCUACAAUGACGCUCAAAACCGGUAACAGCCAACCUUUACUAAAAAAAAUUCUAUCUUUCAUAUUAACUCAACACAACUUUAACUUCAACUUCUACACUAAAGCGCUAGAAGGAUUUAGGGUUUACAAUUGUUGUUUGGUUGGGGAUGAGCUUCGGGUAAUAUUCUCAAAGCUUUAUAAAAUUAGUUUUUAGACCUUGAGCAAAAACGACUUUUUAUCCUUAAACUUAUCAAGUCAUUAUUCUUGUUAUUAUCCAAAAAUAAAUAUAUUCUGAUUCAAUAACAUCAAUGAAACAUUUUGAGCCCACCUAUUAAAUUUUUGUCAACAUUUCUAUAUUGCAAUGAGCUUUAUGGGAACACUUACUCAUUUUCAUUAUAUAGUUAAUUUCAUUCCGAAUACUGUCAAAUUGCAUUAGAUGAUAAAACAGUUUAUAAAAAAAUAGCUCAUGACACCUUUUUUUUUUUACAUUGUAAAUUUGAUAAAUAUGACGGUAACCGAUCGUAAUUUGUCGUUUUUAUAAUUUUUAAAAUGUAAGUAAAAUAAGCUCUAUUAUCAUUCUUUUUUUUUGCUAUUUUUGCAAACUCCCCAUAUAUAAAACGAUCGGUAGUAAAAAACUUUUUCUCUCCAUUUUGUCUCUUUCAUUUUAGUAAUUCUAACGAUAACAUUAGUGAUGAUUUUGUCAAAUUCAAGACUUAUUAAACAAAUUACCACUAAAUACAUUAAUUAGAUAUUAAUUAUUUCAAAAAACUUUUAACUUCUCAGAUUUCAUUAUUUCUUUUACAAAAUGAUUUUCACUAAUUUUGUUAUCGUUACAAACUUAUCCACUAACUACAUUAAUUAGACAAUUCGCACUAAUAACAAAUAUAUAUAUAUAUAUAUAUAUAUAUAUAUAUAUAUAUAUAUAUAUAUAUAUAUUUUUUUUUAUUUUUUAUUUUUUUUAUUUUUUUUUUUUUUUUUUUUUGCAUCUAAGCUCUCUUCCCAUUCUACAAAUUUAAAAUUCUCUAUAUAAAGUUCAUUAUGUUAAUUGAGAAAUAUCAUUGUCUCAAGUCUGUGAUAACGGACAAUGAUAUAGAAAUAUAAUGAUAUAGAAAUAUGAAAAUGUUUGAGGUCACGUCAUUGGACCAUUAAGUCACAAAAACCAAAUUAGAUGAAUGAAGCACCAAAGUUUACUAGCUAGCAAAAUGAAUAGAAAUUUUCAGAUUGAAGUAUUGUUGAUUAAUGUACUUAUACACAAUGGUUAUUAGAGUAAUAUAUGGAAUAGCUUAUUUAAAAAAAUUUAUUCAAUAAACAGUGAGCAAAAUAUUUUUGUUAUUGACAAUGCCAAUAAAUUGCUAUUCGUGGCUUUGAUUUGAAAAUUGUUUUUGCAUUUGUUUCAUCACGUGAAGAUGAAUAGAUUAUUCUAGGAUUUAUUUCUAUUGUAUUUCAUAAUCAUGGGUUGUCUUUAAAAUAUAAUACAUCUUUAAAAUAGAUUUGAUAGAAGGAAUGAUCAAUAUUAAAUAUAAACAAUAAAAAUAAUAAAAUAUUUAUUUAAUCAUUUAAAUUGAUGUUUUGACAAGAUUGAAAUUGAAAUUAUUGUAAAGUUAGAAAUUUGACAUGUCCAUAGGAAACAAAAACUUUACUGAUAUAAAUAUUUUUUUACAGAAACUAUAAAAUUGAUAAGUAAUAUUUGUGAAAUGACGUAAUAAAAUUUAUAAUUGAACAAAAAUUAUGAAGGAUGUAAGUGUGAAAGAUCUGAAGAUCCUCCAAAGUGGGUUUGAAUUUGGUCUAUACGCUUUGAGUGAUUGUUGAAAACUUUUAUAUUACUCUCUCUCUUUUUCUCUUCUUUUUUUUUUCAACUGAAAUAACUUCCUCCAAAUUAUACUAUGAAACCAAAACGAUGCCCAACUCUUUCCCUAAAUAAUCAUUUUGACCCUUCAUUUCAGUAAAUUACAAAAUCACCCCGUUAUAAUCUCACUAUAAUAACUUCUUCUUCUUCUUCUUCUUCUUCUUCUCCUUCACCAUGUCUGAACCUUCAACUUACUCAAACCACUUUCCUUCUCCUCUCACUUCCCUUUCCAUGAUGGAUUUGAACUUUACUGCCCGGAAACCUCCGCAUACGUCCGCUAGGAUGGACAUAGAACACAUGCCUGAAGCUCCACACCGUAGUUAUCACCACCGCCGUUCCCACUCCGACACCUCCUUCCGUUUCGCUAAUUUCGACGAUCUUCUCCUCUUCGACUCUCCCGACAUCGAUUUAUCUUCUGCUCUUCCUUCUCCCUCUCCCUCCCCGUCCCCCACGCCGUCGGGGGCUCGUAUGGCCGUCGAUUCCUUUAAUUCCAAGUCCCCUGAAGACGCCUCUACCACAAAACCUAGGGCUGCAAACGGUAACUCCGCUUCCUUCUUCAAUUCUCACUAUCGGAGCUUAUCGAUGGAUUCAGACUUCUUCGAGGGCUUGGGGAUGGCCGGAGAUGGAAGUGACGGUGAAAUACUUGGGGGAGAGUGACGGCGGGGGAGAAGAAGAUUGCUCGUCAUAGGCAUAGCAAUUCAAUGGAUGGGUCUUUGACUUCCUCGUUUGAAGUUGAUUCUUCCAAGAAGGCUAUGGCACCUGAUAAACUCGCUGAGCUUGCUUUGAUGGACCCUAAAAGAGCUAAGAGGUUGUUGAUUCACUACUUCAUGUUCUUCCUUUCAAUUUUCUCAUGAAUUAAUGGGUUUCUGUUUCUUUCUGCUCCGAAUUUUCGUUGAACUUUGGAUGUUCCCUGCAAUUAAUCAAAUUAAAUGACAAAUGGAUUUGUGAUUCAUCUUCCAUUUUAGGAUUCUGGCGAAUAGACAAUCUGCUGCACGAUCCAAGGAGAGAAAAAUACGUUACACUAAUGAAUUAGAGAAGAAGGUGCAAAUGCUUCAAUCAGAAGCGACUUCCCUUUCUGCUCAGGUCACUGUGUUACAGGUAUGGCAUCUAUAUUUUUUGUAGCUUAUGAAGAAGGAUAAUGAACAGGUGGACUGAACUAUAGACAAAACAUGAAUCUUUUAUAUAUCUUGCUUUACAAGUCUCAUGGGUGGCCUGUAGCUAUCAUUUGGACUUGUUAUGGUGAUGGAAGAAAGAAUUGGUAACUUUUGACCUUUCAAAUUUGUUUGUUUUUUCUCCCUCACUUUCAAGACUUAUUGUACAGAUAAUGAGGGCUUUGUCAGUCUUGAUGACUAAAAAACAAUGGAGAAAAGUGUUUUUUGUUUUUGCUUUUGAGUUGAGUGAGGGUAUUUCAACUUUUUGGUUUGUGUUCUUAGAUGAGAGGAUAUGAACGACUUCUUGAUAUGUUUCAACCGGUUGAGCUAUGCUUAAUAAUCUACUUUGGUGCAGAGAGAUACCACUGGAUUGACUACUGAGAACAGAGAACUCAAGCUAAGAUUGCAAGCCAUGGAGCAGCAAGCCCAUCUGAGGGAUGGUACGUGUGGUUCUUCAUUCAUAGAAAAAUGCCGGCGUUUUUGGUUUCAUUUUUCAUGAGGGCUUCAUUUACACUACACAUGGAGAUGUUAACUAUUCAAAUGUUUGGUGGCUUUUACAGCUUUGAAUGAGACAUUGAGGGAGGAAGUACAGCGACUUAAGAUAGCCGCUGCCCAACUGCCUGUUGCAAAUGGCAACUCAUUCAACAUGGGAGGAGGGCUACCUCCUCAAUUCCCUCCUCUCCAAACAUCAUUUCUUCAAUUUGGCAACUCCCAGAAUCAUCAACAGCCACAGCUGCUUCACAUGUCUCAGCCUGAUGCUCGAGGAGGGUCUCCACCGUCCCAGCUUCCAGGAGCUUAACCACAUGCUUUAGAUAAUCUAUUACGUAGUGAGGAUUGGUAUUUUUAUUUGGGAAGCUAAGGAAUUGUAGCCUGUAUCUUCUACAUUUGGAUUUGUAUGAGUAUACUUGUAAAAAGGAAUAUACAUGUGUACAAAAAAAGCUGUAUUAUUUCUUUGAUAAUUGAGGAUUGUAUUGUAAUAACACUCGCAGCAAAUAAUAGGGAUCACUUCUUUGUGAACAACUUUGUCUCGCCUGUGGUGAAAAGUUUACCCCUUGCUUGAUCUCCUGUCAUAAACACUUGCUCAUCAUAUAACUAUCAAGUUCCGUUAAAGAAACCAGAUGGUUCUACAAUUUUUGGUUAUUUCUCGUGGCAAGAAAACAAAAAUGAACAAAUAAGGAUGAGAGAGAAAUUCAAGAACUCGAGAACAUAUUAUUGUUCAGUAUCACUUGAAUACACGCCUAUAGCCAUUCAUUCAUACUUGAAACACACAGCUAUUAUAACAGCUAUUAUAACCCAAAAUUCAAGUGAAUCCAGAGUUUCACUGCAAAACAAGCAAAUACAACAGAAUACAACUUCCAUAAAUCCGUAUCAACUCCUGUGCAACUUACAAGCACAGCUCUCAUUUCCCAACUCUGCUGCAACACAUGGAGGCUGAACGUUCUCACCAUCGUACCAAGUUGACCGUUUCUCGACCAAGUCGGAUAGGAAAUCAUCCAGCUUCUCUUGGCUAACGCUGGGCAUUACCACAACAUGGGCAAUAUUUCCUUCACAAGCUAGCUGCCACCUUCGAAUAAACUCUUCAUCUCGGGGUCGUUCAAACACAACUGUACUGCUGAGUUCAUUCAGCAUCGCACUAAUUCCCACAUCAAGAAGCCGGUCUUUCAAGUAGUGUGCAUUUCUGAGACACUUCUGAACUUCCUUUUGGAAACCUUUAUAGCCUUUUCUGUUAAGCGUGUACCAAAGGAAAAUAGGAGCAUGGCCAUUCCGACUUCCCAUGAUUGUGGCAUCUCUUGAGGCUAGAUACUCAACAUUGCUGGAGAGGGCAUUUAUAUGCUCCAACCUUGUAAGCUGAACACCACAAGGCAUAGGACAUCCAACAAACUUGUGGCCAGAAACACUAACACUUCCAAUGGGCUUCUUAAACGAGACCUUUGGUGCCUGCUCAAAAAACAAAACUAGUGAGCUGGGAUAGUAUACUGAAACUUACAAGCACAAAAUACAGAAGUUUUAUAAUUGCUUUCAUUUCAGGUGAGCCAGAAUGCGGAAGGGUAAACCCUAAGAAAACCAAAAGUAUCUUUUAAAGCAUUAAGAUGCAUGGAAGUAAUUCUGCCGUUCCCUAAUAAAAUGUCAUGCCAACUUCUCAUUUUACAGUUUACUUGAUUCAUGAGGCAAGUAUGUAAGGUCCUGAAAAUAUCCAACUGACAAGCCCGAACAAUUAAAAAUGACUAGAAGCCAGCAGCAGGGACAUGGAUCGAGUUCAUCAUUCAAUUAACAAACUACCUUGGAAAACAAAUAGUAAAAAAAGUUGAUACCUAAUGGAACGGAUGGUCCAAUAUGUUAAAUAUAGGAAGAAAUUACGCAUUAAAUAAUCAAUUGUUGCCCCAUUCUUGGGCUAAGCAAUUAUAUUUUCAUGCAUGGAUUUAUUUCAAUAUUCAAUCAAGAGAAUCUAGCAGCUGGAUUUUAUAGGCAUUCUUAAAUUAGCCUAUCCAAUCUCUAGGCCUUCCAUUUGAUUAACCUACAAUAGGUAAAAGAAGUCAACUAUCGACAAGAGAGUAUCUGUUGGCAGGAAAGAAUUGAAUGUAGGAUGAAGAGUAGCAGUUGGACAAGUGACCACUUGAUGCCUCUUAAUAGUUUACAGAAAAGACUGCUCCUUGUUCACCCUCUUCUUCAAACAUACGUAAAGUUUUUUUAUGAACGGGAGGCCAAAAGUCCCCAUCAAUUCUGCCACCAAAACUUUCCAGUUUCACCUUAACCUCGAGGUGCCUUCCCAGUAAAACGCGGCGUGUUCGAAUUCUGAUCGGUCACUAGUAAAGUUAGAUUAAGUUAAAAACCUCCAACGUAACCUCUUUUGGUUCUUGCUAAAUCCAUUGAAUCAGGAACCUCCAAGCCUUCUGCGCAGAGUCUGAGGGUAAUGAGUGAACCACCCAGACAGUAAUUUGUAUUAGGGGCAGCUCCCACUUAGGAAUCAAUUCGACUUACCACGGCAGGUCUAAGGUUCCUAUCAACAUAGUCACUUCAACUUUCAUCUUACCUUCAAGGUGGAAGGUCAGAAGUGGUAGCUAUUAAGUUAUUUCUUUUUCUUCUUUUCAUCUUAAGAGCUAAAUUUGGUAAAGCAUCUGAUGUGGCCUCUUUUAGUUGUUGCCAGAUCCAUUGAAUCAGAACCUCCUAUCAGGCCUCUGAUUACUAAUAUCUAUAAUAUAAGGAAAAAGUGAUGGGCGACUAAAUUAAAGGUAGGAUUGUUCAUUUUUGGGAUGUUUGGAGUAAGCUGUACAUUGGUAUUUGGGUCCAAGUGUUAGGCAGGCCCAAGUUCUUUUUCAUAUUUCAGGUGGUCAGGUUAAGGGAAGGAGGCAGGAAAUAAUUUCAAGGAAACUCGAGUCUCUGGGAGAGUGCUCUCUUGAAAUGCUUUUAUCUCUUAUCAGUUCGUUCUCUACACUUCGUGUUCACUUUUGCAAGGUGGUACCUUACAAAUCAGUAUCAGAGCAACAUCCUAUCAAGAGAAAAUCAAAUGGCACAAAAAAGUUUGAUGAACACCUAGAAUCAGAGGUUGAAACUCAGAGGUUUCUGGUUCUGGCUUUUGAGAAGUCAAUUGAAUCCAUGUCGCUUAAUAUGGGAGGAAUUUCUUCACAAGUUGAAGAUACUCAUAGAACACUUGUUGGAAAUAAUUAAUUUGUAUGAUCGUGACAAGCGUCAAGGAAGAAAAACUAGCCAAUUUGGGGCUUGCUGCUGCAGUAAGACAAAGGGAAAAUUCUUUGGCCUAAAUGGGUGCGAAGGUAAGAUAAAGGGCAAAUAUUCUAUGAAACUAGUGUUGUAAAGGAGAAAAUUCUCAAGAAUGUUAAGUUUUUGUCUAGCAGGUUCUCCAUAGAAGAAUUAACACCUUGGAUAGAGUUUUGAGGAGGGUGACCAACUUGACUGGGCCGUUGUGUUGCAUCAAAUGCAGGGGAGCGAGAGAAGAUCUUGGUCAUAUGCUGUGUUUGUGAUUUUGCUUACGCAAUGUAGAGUCUUUUUUUCCGAGUUUGGUAAAAGCUCGGCUAACAAGCAUAAAGCCUGCAAAGAGAUGAUAGAGGAGGUCCUCCAUUCUCCUUUCUCUGAGAAAGAAAGAUUUUUAUGGCAAACUGAGGUAUAUGUGGUAUGGGACUUUGGGCCUUGGGGGAGAAAGAGUAGAAUUUUUAAAGGGUAUAAAAAACCUUCGAAGUUUGGUCCCUGUAGGGGUCUGUGACUAGGUAUUUUAUAAACUAUCUGUUAGGUCUUAUUAUAUAGGAUUGGAGGACGCCUUUUAGGUUGUCUCCCUUGCUAUGGGCUUUCCCUUUUUGCAUAUAUGUCCGGGCAUUCUUUCGUUUUUCUCGAUGAAAGUUUGAUUUAGGUGUAAAGGUAAGAUAACAUUGUUCUGAUAGGAGUAAGGUUAUCAACCAAGAAUUAAGGUAAGGAAAGAAGCAGCCACCCUUACUGAAAGAGUUAAAAGGUAAGGAAAAACCAAAAGAAAAAAGCACAAAAAAAAAGGAAUUGGAACUUGGCUGAAAAACUCAGUCUAUCAAACCAGGACCCAAAUUGUAUGGCAAUAUCAAGUUCCUUCAAGUGAAAAACAACAAAGGUAGAAACACACCUCAGUGAAAAUUAUCAGUAGGCAAGAAAGUGACUUACACGUUUGACAAAAGGCAUCAUAAGUCCAAACAAUGCUCCAUCACAAUGAAUGUAGAACCGAUCUUUUGAAAACCCACAUUCGUUAAGUGUUUGUAUCACAAGAUCAAGAUCAUCAACAGCUCCCUUCACCGUGGUUCCUGCAACAAGAAUCCACUUAAUUCUCACAAAUAAAACGGACAUAUUCCCCUGUUUUUAGUCCAAAACAUAAAAAGAGAUAGAGAAAUUACCAAUAUUAACAUUGAGUAUAGCUGGUUUGUCUUUGUUAGCAAGCAGCUUAACUCUAAGGUCAGCACAAUCAAUCUCACCAGAUAUCAGAGUACCAACCUUCACACAGUCCAUUCUAUACAUUCUAGCAGCUUUGAACACGGAAUAAUGAGUUUCCCGAGAAGCGUACAGAAUCCCAUCCGGCAAAACUUCUCUCCUACAAGAACCAAUGCCUAAAAUUUCACUAAUGCUUUAAAAAAAAAAAAAAAAAAAAAAAAGAGCAUCCAUCAACACCAUACGAAACAGGAAGCGAACAACUCAAUGAAACUAACCCGACGAGAAUCCCAUGAAGAUUGCCUUCCGUACCACAAUUUGUAAUAUAUCCCCAGUACUCAUUCUUCUCAAUCUCCCAAAGGCGAGCAAACCAAUCUAAAACCCCAACCUCAAACUGCCUCGAAUGCACACCGUAAUUACUUUCAAUGAACGGAUCGCCAAGAUUGUUAAUUGAGAAAUGCUGUAACUGCGAUAGAGCACCGUAAUCGAAGUCCAAAUUAUAAGGAUACCCUAAAACAAAAAAAAACAGAGUAAAAUCCAAAUCCAAAUCAGAACAACGAAAAUUUUCAGUUUCUCAAACUAAAACCAGACAAGAGUUAACUAAAAACCUAAAUGAUAUUUAGUCCUCUCAAGAAGAUUCUUUCUAUAACGAGCCAAGACGCUAGCCAUGUAAGCUUCCUUAUCGCCGGUAGACUCGUCAUUGGCGUCAGGUUCGGUGAUGGAUAAGCAAGUGGUGUGAACAUUUCUACCAAGUACAAUCUCCCUCUUUCCUUUCUGAUUCGAAUCUACGUGUUGUUGUCCAUUGAGAUCCAAACCGUUGUUGGACACGGCCAAGGGUGGGAGAGGGUCGGAAAAGACAAGAUUGGUAUCAAAUUUUCCGAUCAAAACCUCAGCCCCACCGUUGUUUUCACCCAUCCCCAUCACGCUGCCAACCAUAUUCUCAGUAUCUUGUUCCUUCCAACAAAUCCUCUAUAUAUAUAUAUAUAUAUAUGUGUGUGUGUGUGUAUAUAUAUAUCAAUAUGUAUUCCUGAUCUGGAAAACCAAUCAAAAUUUAAAAUGAAAACAGAUUACAAGAAAUGGAAAGGUAAUGAAAAAGACAGAGAGAUGAAGAAGAAACCUGAAUGGUUAGGCUGAGUAUUCGCGCUAGAAUGGUGUGCUGUGCCCUUUGCCUAUAAAGAGAGAGAGAAUAAUUAUGAGUGGAAUCCUAACUCCAUGAGUGAUGGCUUUAUAAAGGCAAAAGUUUCCCACGCUGUUACUACCUAACAUUUACUCAUAAAUAUGUAUAUAGUUUAAUACAUGUAAGUAAGUUCAAAAUGUUAAUCUCCUGAAAAUAUUUACGUCUAAAAAAUGUAAAGAUAAAACGUCUAUACAAAUUAUAAAGGUAAGUUAAUUGCCUAUCUAUCACAUUUUAUUAUUUAGUUAAUUGCCUUUUACAAUGAAAUGGGAUCACUAUUCCUUCUUAUAUUAAUAUUGUACCUAUAAAACAUGAAACUAUCUAUACAAUCAUUAAAUUAUCAAUAGAAUAUUUAAUAUCAAAAUAUUUUUAUGGUCAACAAUAGUUAGUUUUUUUCUUUUUUUACUCUUUUGUUAUUUUCACAUCAUCCAACCAAAUUCCUAUAUUCCCAUUUUCUCUCUUGCUUUCUAAUUUGAUUUUCUCUUUUGUCCUUUUUUUUGUUUGUUUUCUUGUGAUUGUCCGCUUAAAAUAAAGUUAUAAUUACAAAUAUCUAAAUCAAAUCAUUAACAAAAUCUAAAAACAUUAUACUACUCCUUUGCUUAACCAUAUAACAAUAAUGAAUUUACAUCAUUAUAAUUUACUACCCUUUCAUCGAGUGAUAAAUCAAUAUUUGUAUUAUGAUCAAUCAUUUGACUUCUAUCAUUGAUAGAUUUUGACAAAUCUUGCUGUAUUUACGAUAUUUUAAAAAUAUUGUUAUAUACUUGAUUAUUUUAAAUUUAAUUACUAUAUUUUCAACUAUUUCAUAUUACAUAAUUAUUAAAAUAUAAAAAACACUUAUAAUAAUGAAUAAUUCACAAAACGUUCUAAAGUGGUUAAAAUAUCUAAAAUAAUAAUUGAAAAUAAAAUGUUAUAAAUUUAGGUUGUAAAGUAUAAAUAAAUGUUAAUUUAUGUUUUAAAGUUAAGGGAUUACAAACAAAUUUCGAAAUGACUUUAUUAAUUUAAAAGAAUGAUGUUUCUGAUUUGUAAAAGAACAAACGUAUGAAUAUAAUAUAGAAGUUAGACUUCUUAAAGCAAAACAUCUAUUCUUUUGAUUGAAGACAACGUAUAAAUGUAUAAUAGUCUUUUUCGACGUUUAAACUCAAACAAUUCUAGGGAUAAGUAUAACUCAACAACCCAACUCAAAUUAAUAUAUAUUAUUUAUUUAAUAAAACUUUUAAAAAAAGUUGCGAAACGUUCACGUGUGCUUUCCUCUCCUCCAUUUCUCUUCCUCACGGUGCCACAUCUUCUCUCUUCUUAGAUCUUCUCCUUUUUCAGUUUUUGGUUUUCCAUACAAAUACCAAUAAAAUUAAAAUUUAAACUUCAUGAGAGUUGUAAAGGAUUGCUACUAACUUGACUUUGCUUUUACAUGCACAAAUCAUAAUGAAUGAGGGUUAUUGUUGUUUACAUUGUUUUUUGCCUUGCUAUUUAGAAUUUAACCCAACUUAACUCAUACUUUACGGAUUGGAUUGAGAAUGUCUCACAACUCAAUCCAACCCGUUUAUAAAUAUACCCGUACAACGUAGGAAGAAAAUACAUAAAUGAAUAGAUGGGAGUGAGGUUUAUAAACUUAUAAUAUUGGAAAUGAAAUGGUUGUGAAAAUGAGGCUGUUAGGAAUGCAUUUGUUGGAUCCUGAGUUUAGUUAUGUUUAUAAGUUUAUAUCAUAAAAAUGAAUUGAUCCUUAGUUUAGUAAUGUGGAAAAACGGUUGGGUGAUUGAUUUGAAUUAGAAAAAGAAAAAAAAGAAAAAUGGCUGGCUGGCAUCUAACACAUUUGUUCAUCGCUGGGUCCCAGAAAAUAAGCAAUUGAAUAUUCUUAGAGAAAAUGAGAAAGAGAAGCGACAAGACCGUAUCACGUGCUUACGCUUUGGAAUCUCCUAUUUCCCCACCUCAUCUUUCCACUUUUACAUCUCUACCCCUUCUUCCUUUAUUACUUAAAAUAUCAACUCUCUCUUACCCUACUAAUCCUUUCCAACCAAAUAAACAAUACAAAAUUCAAAACAAAUAAUAAACAAUAUGUGGAUUGGAACUUCUUCUUUUAGUGGGAUAUAUGUUUUGUAGUCUUAAAUUUUGCUUUUCCUUUUAGCAUUAAAUUAUGUUUGAAAAUUAGAUAUAAUUAAUUUCAAAAUAGAAGGAGAAAGAUGGUAUUUAAAAUAUUUGGGUCUAUGGGGGAUAGACAUUGAUUGGAGGGGAUAGUGAGAGAGGAAAAAUAAAAAUAUCUUGAUAUUUCUUUAUAUUUUUUGGGGAAGUGUGGAGAUAAAGAAAAUUAAUUUUCUGGCCCCAUCCAAUCGCAAUAUCUUAACUUUUUUUAGCAAAACAAAUAUUCGUCUUGAUUCAUCCAAAUUAGAAUAAUGGUUAUAAAAUAGAUUCUUUUCUUGAUUUUGAGAUGGAGAUGAGCUCUUAUUUUAUUUUAUUUUAUUAGUUUUAAAUACAUAAAUAAAACCACUAUCGUAAUUAGUAUAGAGUUUUUGAUAUGGACAACUUCAUGUUUUUAGUGUGCGUUUAAACUUUUUAUUAUGAGAUUUUUUUAAAAAAUUUUAAAAUACGUAUAUGUGUGAAUAAGUCUUUAGGAAGAAUAUAGUUUUAAAAUAGAGGCAAUUGCAUAUGUAGCAAAAAUAAUUAUAAAAAUAUAGUCCAUAGUACCAUCUUUUUUAUUUUGCACAAAUGGCCAAAUUAAAGGCCUAGCCUAAAUUGAGAAUGGGUCUGAUACCAAAAUUACAAUUUUGCCCCUUACUUUAAAAAAUAGUGUGAUAUUGAAUCAGUGUAACAGCAUUAUUGUCCUCUCAUUAUUAUUAAUGAUCAAUUAUAUCCAUUAUUAUUUGAUUGUUAUUUGAUAUAGGUUAAUGAUACUAAUUUACCAUCUUAUUAUUGUUUAAUUUAGUAGGAUAAUAUUUACUAUUUACUGAUUUUUUUUAUACUUACUCAGUAGUUUAUCGAUAUUUUUAAUCUUUUAACAAUUAUUAAAUAGUUUCUGAUUAUAUAAUAUGAUUAUUUUUCUUUUUUCUUUUUUCUUUUUUGUGAAUGGUUAAUAAUUUUUUCUAUUAACAUUAUGAUUGUCAUAUAAUCCUAUAGCGUACAUUUUUUUUUUUUUGUUAAUUUCUAUUCAUAUGAUUAUCUUUUAAAUUCACAUAAAAAAAUAAAGAAAUGUUUAGUUCUUAACCUAUAUUAAAAAUGUACAUAUCCUUAUUUCUUAUUUCAUUGUUUGUGGUAAUUAUGUUUACCAACAAUGAAAAAAACACGUAAAAUGAAUAAAAAAUUGCAGAUUGAAGAAAGAAAUUAAACUGAAAAAUAACCCAUAGCAAUAUUGAAGAAAACCCUAAAAAAAAUUAAGCAAUAAAAAACAAAAUCAUACAAUAACACCAAAGAUCAAUGAAAUAAUACAAUGGCAUGGAGUCAUAAACAUCAAAAGGAGAAGAUGAUGUUGUACGUAGACUACAAAAGGAGAAGGAGAAGGAGAAGAAGAAGAAAAUCGUGCAAGAAAUCGCAAUGAAAGGAAACUGCAAAAUCGAAUGAAAAUUCAAAAAUUGUAGACGAAGAAUCUGAGCAAAAAACUAAAUAUAGAAACGAAAGAAAAAACAAAAUUUAUGAAAUUCCAAUAUGGAAACGUAAGAAGAAAGAAAGGAAAACGAUAGAAGAAAAAAAAAGGAAAAACGAUAGAAGAAGAAAGGUAGGUAUAAUUUUGGAAAUUUGGCAAUAUUUAACAAAAUCAAAUAUAUUAAUUUAAAAUAUUGUUGUAUGUGCAAUUAUUCAAAGUUAACGAAGAGUUAUUAUACAUUUGUUUUUCAUGGUAAUUUAUUUUUUCUCCAAUUUUCAAGUCAUCCAUUCUACACACUCCUUGAACUAAUAUUUUAACAAUUAAAGGACGAGAAUUUUAUGCAUGUUCAGGAGUGAUUUUAUAAUCACUAAACUUAUUUUUUAUUAUUCAAAAUCACUCUUAAAUCUAAAAAAUAUUAUCAAUAUUGAUUUAUUAACUUAUAUUAAAAACAUAUAUCAUUUAACAUAUCUAUAAUUUAUAAACAUCUCAUUAAAAUUUAGAAUUUUUUUUUGUAUGGAUGACUUCUUUAAAAGCGUCUUUUAUGAUUAAAUAACUCACCACUCACAAACGUAUGACAUAUAACUUUCUCUUUACGUGAAAGUGCAUUAUCACUUUUUUUAUAGCGUAUCAAAUAACCAUCUCUAUCAUAACCCUAACAUGAUGACAAUAUAUUUUUAUCACAGUUUGUUGACAUUUUCGCAUAAGUAUAUGGUGAGAUAUUUGUGGAAAAUGCAAUCUCUAGUAUAUCGCUUUGAAAUGAUUAUAUCUAACUCUAAUAAGAUGUGAUGAUCCCUAUGACAACCUUUUAUUUUUAUCGGUUUUGUUACGUUCAUAAAUAUAAUGUCAUCUUGAUCGUAUUAAGACUAUCAUAGGACGGUAUCUUUAACGUAAUAAGUGAUGAAAAUGUAGUAGUAUACUCUCACGUAAUCAAAAGAUUAUAUUUCAAAGAUUUGUAAAAGGUAAGUCUUUAACGAGAGAUUAUGGAAAGGUCACCUUAUAAAGGAAAAAAAUAAUUUUUUAAAAGUCAAAUUUAGUGCUUUUAUUUUAUAAAGGAUCUUUUUAAUCAACUUUAAAAGUUAUUCUACAAAUUAUGUACAUUAACUCUUUGACACCAUGACUACAUUUCUUUAAAUUUAUUGAGUCCAUUAAAAUUGCAAUGGAAAGAAAUGAGACAGCAAAGCAACCGCUCCCCGAAAAAUCAACCUAUUCAUCAUCUAAAAGAUUAUAAAAAAUUUCGAAUCAAUCUAUUGAUCAUCUAAAAAGAUUUGAGAAUCUUCAAAUCUAAUAGCGAGUUAGUCCUAAAAUACUAUACAACGACUUUAGCUUCCAACUCCUCAUUUGGUUGUAAGGAUCGAGUUGCAUCUCAAUUGAUAAUUAUAUAUUAUGAAUAUUAUUAGCGUCGUAAACAUACGGCGAACAAUAAUAAAAUAAAAAAGGAAAUAAACUCUGGUAUUGUAAUAUUUGAAACUAAAAUAGGGUUUAGAAGAUACACAUUAGGGCAUAUGUUGUAAAUGAAAUAGUUAACUAAAAGGACAUUUGAUUAGUUAUGAGAAACAAAGAAACGUCCCUUCGUCUACACCAAAGGCCUCUAUUUGGGUCAAUAAUGUCAUAUGCAUCGAUUUUGGAUAAUGGUUAUAUCCAAUCAAUCUCAAUGGAAAUAAUAUAUGGCCAUAUUUUUAGACAAAAAUAAUGGCCAAAUUACAUAUUUGCCCACUUAGUUAAUGCUGAAACCUACAAAAUUUUAAAUUAAAUUAUGGGAAAAUGAUUAAAAAAUGUUAAUAUCUCAGUUCUUAGCCACAUAUUCUUGAGAAGAAGAAUACAAAUUGUUUAAGCAAUUGUAGUUUUAGGAUCGUGUCAAGAUUGUUAUUUAUUUUGGGAAAUAUGUUUUUGCUUGUAUUGUUGUUGAGGAAGUGACAAAAGAAACUGGGUUUUGGUGGUUUGUUGAUUUUGUUUUGGCUUAAGAAAAAAUGGUGCAAACAUAGACAUUAUAUAAAGUUGGCUUUUGCACAUUUAAGUGGGGGAAUAUUUGAAAAUAAUUACAUAUGCAUUAUGCAACAUGUCGGUAUGGUUUAUUAGUGAUAAGACUUCUAUCAUUCAUAGACUCUUAUGGUUUAUUAGUGAUAGACCAAUGUUUGCUACAUAUAGUCUAUUAGUAAUAGAAUUUUAUUAUUAAUAGAUUAUGACAAAUUUUGUUAUAUUUGCAAUUUUUUAAAAAUAUUGUUAUACAUACUUAAUUAUUUUGAAUCUAAUGACUAUAUUUGCAACUAUUCCAAAUUAUUAUAAAUGAAAAAAUAGUAUUUACAAAAUAUAGUAAAAUUUCAUAUUCUAUUUGUUGAAAUUUAUGUCAUAAAACUCGUUGUUUGUAAUUUAAAAUCAUAUUCUUUUUCAAUAAAAUUGUUAUUAAGAAAUUAUUAGUAAAAUUAUUCUAUAAUCUUGAAUCCAAUAAACAAAGGUCCUGAGGCUAUUAUUGAGAAAACUUGAACUAUCUAUGGAGACAUAAAUGUGGAUCAAGUUCGAGUAUAUAACUUAAAUGAUAUAUAUAAUAUACGAAUAAAGAUGAAUACCUUAUUUCUGGGAUACUAUGGACGCGACCCACUUUGUAGUUAGUACAAACGAUGUGAUCAUGAAUCGUUCAUGUAGAGACAUGAAAGUGGGGGCAUUAUUCUAUGGAAAGAGUUUACAUAAGACUAAACCAUGAAAUAGUCACUUUUAUGUUUUAACAUCGUUUAUUGUUUAAAAUUGACUAUUUUAUUUAUUGGUGACCUAGGUGACCUAAUCUUAAUCUUGAAUAUGCAAAAGGCAUACGAUGUGAUAAACUUUGAAACAAUUUGACUUACAUUUUACUAUAAUGUUUAUUAUGAUAAAUGAUUAUGUGGCAACAAAGCAAUCUGAAUUUAUUUAUAGUGCUUGAUAAAAGAUCUCAUUCACUAGGCGUUUUCGUCUAACCUUUUAAAUAUUUUUUUUAUUCCCCUAGGUAGCAAAGGACAUUCGAUGUUGAACUUGCUAUCUCGAUCACCUACCGUGCUUCCUUAAUUGCAUCAUUUUAAUAGUGGCCGCUGUUAUCUCGCAUAACAUGUAGAAGUUAGGCGAGAAAAGCCAAAUCAUUGUCUUGAGUCUGUAUUCAUUUCUUUUGAAAGAUUUAUGUACUAAAAAUUAAAUGUACCCUUGUGGUUCGUUUAUCAAUGAAGUUUCUUGUUUUAUUCAAAUUCAAAUUGCGCGUUUAAAUCUUAUGGUUUAAGAAGUUAUUCUACUUAAUAGACGUUCAACGUGUUAUCUCGUGGAAAGAUACGCGUUAAGUGACUAGGUGGCAUGCUUCCACGCGGUUGCAUUGAGUGACCUUUAGAGCGGGAUAUGACAAGUGGUAUUCAAGCAUAAAUUCUUGGGAGCGUUUUCAAGUAGAGUCAUGCAUUUGGCGUCAUGUACUGAUAUGAGAGUCUAACAUAUUAAUAUGAUAUAGGAACCAUGACACCAUGAGGAAGGCCAAUAUGAGUUAGGCAAGUGGCAAUAGAUGUCCUAGCUACUGGGAGCGUCAAUAGAGCACAAGCGUUGAAUGAGAUGGCUAGUAACCCAUACAUUUCAGUGAGGAGGAUAACUGAGGAAGGCAUGUUUGAUCGUCUUCCUCAGAAAUUAAACUAAAUAUUUAGCAUCGAGAGGCUAAAGGCAUUAGGGGCAACAAGCUUUGUAAGAACCACUAAUUCAGGUGACGCGGAGAAGUGGUUAAGUUUGAUAGAAAAGUGCUUUCGAAUGAUGGACUGCCCCAAAGAGAGAAAAGUGAAAUUAGCAACGUUCUUGUCGUAAGAUGACACAGAAGACUGGUAGACUCUCCACACGACUAGGGCAGGAAGAGAAGUCCUCAUCACGUGGGAAUAAUUCAAAAAGACCUACAAGGAUAUGUUUUGCCCUCAUUCCUUCUGUGAUGCGAAAAGAAACGAGUUAAUUUGUUUGGUUCAAUGCGAUACCACCAUUGCAAAAUAUGAAAAAUGACUUAUUAAGUUGGUUAAGCAUGCUUUAGUCUUUGUUGUUGAUGAGGCAAACAAGUGCAAGUGGUUUGAAGAAGACUUGUGAACCAAAAUUAGAGCACCGAUCACGACCAGUAUGGAUUGGUCCAAACUUUUCUAAACUGGUUGAAGCUGCCAUAAGGGUUGAAAGUGAAGGAAUGGAAUUCACGUAGCGUAUGAACGCAGUGAAAAAAGAAUUCAAUAUGAAAAACAAAACAAAAUUCAAAUAAAACAAAAUUCAAAUAAAACAAAAUAAUGCCUAAACAUGCUUCUAAGGAUGAAAAGGAAAAAAACACUAACCUUUGUAAAAUCUUCCAAGAACUCCUUGAAUCUACCAAGAACACCACAAGUCUUCCUCCUUAUUCUUAAGGUAAAAAUCAAGUUGUGGGCUUCUGUGAUUUAGUUUGAAUAAUGAGAAAACUUUUUAAACGAUUUUUUUUCUUUUCGUAAUAUGCAGAGAGUUAAGAUUGUAUCUUAACCAUCUUUCUUAAGAGAGAUGGAGGGGGAAGUUAUCAAUAACUCCCUCCCUCUCCAUCACGUAUAAAAUAAAAUUAGUAUAAAUUUAAUUCAUAUUAUGCCUCAUAUAAUAUAAACUUUAUAAUGCCUCAUAUAAUAUAAACUUUAUAUUAUAUCAUAUAUAAUAUAACCUGGUUUAGCUCUCUCAUAUAGUUCUAAUAUGAAUUAAAUCCAUAUUAAUUUUAACCUAUAGUUUAUUUAUGAAUCUUAUUUAUAUUAUUAUUAUUAUUUGAAUCAUAUUCAAAUAUUAGCUUAUCUUAUAAAAACUUUAUAUUAUAAUAUAUCAAAUAAAUUGUAUCAUAUACAAUUUAUUUCCUUUAAUCAAUUUGAAAUUUUUUAAUUUAAAUCAAAAUAAAUUUGAUUCUCAUUUAUCUUUAUUGAGCUAACAAUGGGACCUUAUGGACUUACAUAUUGAAACUCCAAUUAUAUGAGAUUAAUUAAUUAAACUCUUUAAUUGAACUAUCAGUUGCACUCUUCUUAUUGAAGAUAUAUUUUUGUGUCCAUUACAUGUAACCAAUCCAGUGCAAUGACCCUUCACAAACUACUCGUAAGUACAGCUAGACCAAACAUUAUUGUUUUGCCCCUGUAGUUACAUCUAACUUCUUAAGUACCACUGAUUCUUCUAAUGAACAAUAAGUUAUAAUUUUACUAUAACUGAACUCCUCUCGGACCAAGAGAGAGUGUGGCGUCAUUGUUCAAGCCCUUAAGAGAGCAAUUUCUCUACUUACUAUAGAGAAUGAGUGAAUUCCUUCUUGUGUAGUUGUGUUUCUAGCUCCCCAAUUAGAGGAAUACCCAAAAUGGUAUGCAUAUUGAGUCGGCGACAUAGGCUACUCUCACCUAUACAAAUCAAAGGAUCGCAUUCAUUGGUAGAAAUUUACAACUUACUCAGGAUUUAGGACAAGUCACUUAUGGUCAUAUUGGUGCAAUUUAGUCUCAACUAGUAACGCUGUUAAUAAGGGAGACUGUUUAUUUCAUGGUUCGGUCUUAUACAAACUCUUUAUAUAGAAUACCCCGCUCUAAUGUCUCGACAUGAAUGAUUAAGAUCAAAUCAUUUGUAGCACUUUAUAACAAUUGUAACAACUACAAAGCAGACCAUAUUCGUAGUAUCACUAUGAUAAGGUAUCUGAUCUUAUCCAUCUACUACAAACCAUUUAGGUUACCUCUAGUGCUUAAAUACCAGUGCUUCUUUAAUGAACAACCUGUUUUUGGUCAAACCAAUAAACAUAAACUCCUCUCGUGCCAUAGAGAGGGUAGGGUCAUUUGUUCAAGUCUUAGAGACACCAUUUAAGGAAACGCUCAUCUACUUACUCUAAAGUAAGAAGGUAAUGAAUUCCAUCUUGUGUAAUUAUGUUCUUAGCUCCCCACUCGGUUUUAUCUCCAAAAUGAUAAGCAUAUUGAAUUGGUGAUCUGACCACUCUCAUCCAAUAACAUUUAUUGACAUUAUACUAAUAACAAUUUACUAAUAACGAUCAAUGAAUUAUAUUUACAAUCUACGAGUUUUAGGACAUAAAUCCUAACAGAGGGCACGCUCAGAGACAUUUGCUGAUGUUGGGUCCAAUGUACUUGGCGGAAGUGAGGGAUUUUAAUUGAAAGAUAGGUUCAAUAUGAAGUUCCCUACUAUGUUUUGCCAGGGACUGAACAUGUCGCCCGAAAACACGAUGGCUGCAAGACCUAGUCGAUCGAGCGACUGUGGGUCGGGUUCUAGGGAUCAAAGAAGAAGCGUGGAGGAGAAAUUGUGAAGCAUGUGGACGUCAUUCAUAGGACAAUGGACUGGGCGGAUGACUAGUUCAAGGCCAUUGAGUAUUGGCUGAAGAUAGCUAGACAAGAGGAAGACAUUUUACAGUGGAAAAUCAUUAAACAGUUGCAGUCUAUCACCCAGCUUAGUGUAGAGGACAAUGCACAAUGUAUGAUGGUAAUGACACAGAAGAUGGUCGUCACGAAAAUCUUUCUUGGACCUACUUGAUGAUAUGAAGCUCGCAUACUGCAACAUCAUUUUGUGUGAUAACCCGUGAUUGAUUGUCCACUUGAACCACUUGACAUGUUUUUAAAUCUUUUUUGCUUCUGCAUGAUGUCUGGUGUAAUUGACUUCAUUUUAUAACUCACAUUCUAGAAACUAUUUUGUUCUUUGUAAUUCGUUUCGUUUCAAUAAAAUUAUGCUUGAAGUUGUUGAUUUAAAUCAAUUGUUAAACAUACACAAUUUUUCGAGAAUGCAUUUACAAUAUCAAUUUUUUAAAAAAGGUAUAAUAUAUUCGUACAUAACGACCCAACAUUAAAAAAUGUUGAAAAUGAGCGUCGUCUAUGAAGAAAUUACUAGAAAUUGUUAUACGAAAACUAUGAAAAUUUGGUAACUUAAAUAUCUAACUUGUGUAUUGGAGUUAGAAUACAAACUUUAAAAAAAUUAAUAAUUUAUUGACACGAAACACUUGAGUAAAAAAUAUUGAAAAUGGAUAUCGUAUUUAAGAAAACUAAUGGAAUUUGUUUUCUGAGUAUAUGAUAAUUUGGUAAAUUAAAUAUACGAAUAUUUGUGUAUUGGAUUUAGCAUACAAAAUAAUAAUAAUAAUAAUAAUAAAUUCAUAAUUCUUAGCCCAAACAUGUGUUAUAAUAACCCAUUUAUAAUCAUUUCCUUAAACACAUGUUAUCAUAACCCCUCAUAAUCUAUUCCACUUAAUCUUUUCUUCAAACACAUGUUAUCAUAACCCCUCGUAAUCUAUUCCACAUAAUUCUUCCUCCAAACACAGGUUAUUAUAACAAAACCUUUUUCAUAACUCAAGAAUUAUCAUAAUCCUUUCCUCCAAUCGUUUCCUUCCCUUCCGUUCUCCCAAACAACGUAACUCAAGAGAUUCUAGUAUACACAAUUUAAUUUAUCAAUUUUCUUACGGUUGAGAAUGACUCACUACUUUAUUUAAGCCCACACCUCAAAGCAUAUUCAUGCUUGAGUGAGGUUUCCAUACCGCAUUGGAAGUUUAAGGGUUAAGAAGAGAUUAUAAAUAAGUGAACUCUCUAUAGGGUAACUAUGCUUGUCAGCCCCCUCCAAUCAUCCAACAUAAACAACUCAUAAUAAAAUUAUGUCAAUUAUGUCAAUUUUAUUUUGAAGAUAAUGGUUUUCACAAGACGACGAUCCAUAUUUGAUAUCCAAAGUCGGAGUUAAAACAUGUUUGAUUUUUAAGAAUAUUAAAUUUAAAACAAAAUUUCAUUACUAUUGGUAUGUUAGUUUAAGAAAAACUAAGUUCCUUUCAAUUUAAAACAAAAUUUCAUUACUCCUAUUCCUCACUCUUCCCUUUUUACUAUUUCCCACGUUUCAUCUCUCGCCUGUGUCACUAUUCUUCACUACCUCAUUUCGUUCUUCACUACCUCAUUUCGUUCUUUACUUUUCCAAACAUAAAUUAUAAUAAUCUGCACCCAAACACAGAUUAUAAUAACUCAUAAACUAUCAUAACUCACAUAUUAUAAUAACAAUAUGUUAUAAUAAUUUACUUCACGUUCCAAACGUCCUCUUACAGACUUGUAACAUGAACAAGGUUAUCAAUUGCCAGCCCCUAAUGAACACCAUCGACUUUAAGCGAUUCAAUAAACUAAGAAUUGAAACAACGCAAAGUGUAGACUUUGGAAAUGGCACACACUCAAUUUUGAAGUUCUGAUUUUAGGGCUCCAACAAAACCCCUUUCAAAAUCUAUCUCAAAAUCAUCAACACAUGUUCAAUCCCUUUUUUUUCUUAGUGAAAUUAUGAACAAUUUUAUCUUCACAUCAACAUUUUUUUUUGUUUUUACAAUCCAAGAGCACCCAAUGGUGUUUUCCCCUGUCCAGCUUCAAAGUAGAAGAUGAGCAUUGCUAACAUGGCGAUCCUAGCAUGCUUGAUUUCUGCCAACUUCAAUCUCUCCAAUUUCUCCGUGUCUGCAAUGUAAACCCCAUCUUUAAGAGUUCCUGCAAAUCCCAAUGGAUCGAAGAAUUUUCCUCCGGGAUACCCUUGUUCUCCGGUUGCGUUUGCGAAAUUCUCUGCCGUCCUCGACCAUGGUGUAGCCCAUUCCACCGAUUGAGAUUCUGGGUUGAAGAAAUCCACCCAUCGUUUGCUUUCAACCCAUCCCAUUAGCAGAAGCUGGGUUCCUAGAAGUGAUCCGAAGGAGAAUGGAGCAAUUGCGCCUGGAUCUGCUCCGGCUUCGAACCAUGGGAUUCCACUCCAGGCUUGUCCGACGAAGAUUCCGACCACUGCUGCCAUUGCCCACCGCCCGUGGAUCAGCUCUGCUUCUCUAUACCACUUCAAAAAUGCAGGGUCCUUCCCCAAACCCAAUGGGUCGAAGCCGUAGUCACCUGGAAGUCUACGAAUGGAACAAGUAAUUGCUUAUCAACUUACUAUGGUUGCUUAGCAAGUGUUCGUUUAAAUAUCUCUUCUAAAGUUUUCAACUAUGGUUGCUUAGAAAAUGUUUGAUUAAGUGACUGUUCUAGAUUGCUAAGAGUAACUGCUUUGAAAAUGUUCGAUGAAAUGCUAUGCCAGAUUCUAGAUGGUAAUUACCUAGAAACCGUUUGAUAAAAUGCCUUUCCCAUAUCUUUUCAAGAAUGCUGCUCUAAAAACGUUCGAUAAAAUGCCUAUACCAAAUUCUCCACAACAGUUGCUUAGAACAUGUUUGAUAACAAUUUUGUUCCCUAAUUUUCUACCCCUGUUUAAUUCCAGUCCAAAGUAACUUAAACUAGGACUAAAAUCCUAUCUUCCAACUGCAGGUUCAAAACAAUAACCUAUGUGCUAACUUAAAGAAAGUAAAAGAAACAUACGAGCCAUCAAGCCAUUCUGGGUCGACCAAGUUGCCACCACCUCUAACACCAGGGAGCCAAGACUUCUUAGGCUGAGCAGCAGCGACGAUGACAAGCUUGCUAGAGCUGACAACAUUGACACUACCUCUAGCUCCGGCCAGCAAGGUCCGAGUUCUGCUACUUCCACGGAGGAAGGGUGAGCCCAAUCCAGUAAGCACAGCACCAGAAGUUGCAGCCAUGGUUUUUGAGAUGGGAGAUUUCAGGUAUGUAAUGGAAUGUGUUAUAUGAUAUGAUGAAGAAGAGGGUGUGUGGGAGAUAUUGUGAAUUGAAUUGUGGGUUUAAAUGGAGCCAAGUAGGAAUCAUGAAGAUGAGAAUCUGGAAGGGAAAUCUAAUAGGAGGGUGUUGGAUAGAUUUCGGACCAAUGGGAAACAAGUUCUUCAUCCUCUUCUUUAAAGACCACUUGACUGCCAACCACGUGGACGAUCGCUCUCUUUGUUAGCCCUUUUUCAGCCUCAUGUUUCACUCCCAAUUUUCUACUAUGAAGCCAAAUCCACUUUGAAAAGUUAAUGCCCCAACGUCUUCUUUUGGGUUAAAGAAAUCUUUUUUCACUUGAGAUGCGGAGUUGAGUUUGGUAAAUUUGUAUAUUAGAUGCGAAGUUAUUUAGUCUAUAUUUUGGGUGUAGAACUAGUGAUUAAGUGAGGAUAUCUAGUGCAAGUUUUUGUAAACUAAAUAAGUCUAGUUUUUAAACAACUAUUUUUGUUUGCUGAAUUAAGAUGUCAAUUUUGAAAAUUUACAUAUCAUUUUAUAUUUUUUUGAAGGAACUGUUGUGCUUGGAGUGGCCAGAAUACUAUUGUUUCAUGUGAAGAAAAUUAAAAUAAAUAUUCACAUUAGCAAAUUAAAAAUCUCAAUAGAUAACCGUAAAAUCACGUAUCUGAUAGAGAUAAUAAGUGACAAGAUAUUUUCUUUUUUUUUUCCCUAAAAAUCAUGAUAUAUCACCGAUAUAUCUUUUCACAAUAAUGUUGUUCAUUGAUAAGAAAAUUAUGAAUGAUCUUUUAUCCUAAACGAGAUUAAUUAGAGGUUUAGAAUGUCAACGGGACAAGAAAAUUGAUGUGGAGCAAAGAAGGCACGACAUCGUAAGGUAGAAUAAUCCAAUUUCAUGCAAAAACCUCAACGCUCUAUGACUUUGUUGUGUAGUGCUGCGAUGCUAUAGAGUUUUUUGAAAGUAGCAUUACUACCCUAGUUGCCAACAAUUCUUACACAUUUUUGGCACUGAAUUUGAAUUUUAGGCAUUUUCUCUCGAACUCUUUUUAUUCUUUUAGACGAAUUGACUCGAGCCGACUUUCAUUCAUUUUUGUUGGAUGUUUUCAAGGAUGUAUCAUGCCUAAGAUACUAUUAUCUAUCUUGAGAUUCUAGGCUUAUCUUUUGAUUCACACACUUCUGAUGUUUUGAAUAUUUUGAUCUUGGGAACCUUAUGAUCUAGUGUGAAUUCUUUCUUUGGACUUAUUUCUUUGAUUGAGUGUGUUUGGAAAUGCUGGCGAUUUGCCAAGCAUGUUUAAUUAAUUGUUAUAGAUCUAAAUCUAAUACAUAAUUGUUAGUUUUAGAUUGCAAGAUAACAGAAGCUAAGUUAGAAUCAUUUAUUGAAUUGACAAUUUCAUUCUAAUAACAUUUAUGUAACUAGCUUAGGAUUGUAUUGAUAGAACUAAGUCAUGCACAGCGGAAAAAGAAUCGAAUUUCUACCCUAAUUGCCACAAUUAACAUGUAACCAUAAACUAAUCAAAUUAGGGUUUUAAGAAGUAUUACCUUUGAAGCUUUCAAAAGGUUUGAUGUCUUCUUACCAAAUCUACCCGAGACCACCACUAGUACUCAACUGCUAUCCUCUAGACAAAGAACCGGGUUGUGGGACCCAAUUUUGGUGUAGAAAGUAGUGGAGAUAAAAUGAGAUUGGAAGCUUUUUUUUUUCUUUUGUUGAGAUUAUGAAAAUGAUAAAAGAGGCAAAAGUCCUUCAACAUUUGAAAACAUCUCUAUUUAUAGCCUAAUUACAUGCAAAAUGCAUGCAAUUCAAUUGCCAAAUCUCAACACCUAAUAUUCCACUAACAAUUAGUGGAACUUAGUGGGCUAGGUGUCUAUAUCUCAUAUAGCCACAUAUCCCACUAAGAGUUAGUGGGAUUAUCCAACAAAAUGUUGGAUUUUCCCACUAACUUAGUCCAAGGGUAAAAUGGUCAUUAGAUAUUUCUAGUCAAAAGUCAAACUUUGACUUUUCUUAGUCAAAAGUCAAUAUUUUGACUUUUUACCAUUUUGUCCGUCUUGACUAAUUCCAACCUCCCGAGCAUGAAUCCGCAUUCAUUUUUCCAAAAUUCAAAUCACAUUUGAAUAUAAGGCCGGUCAAAGUUUGACUUUUCAAAGUCAAAAGUCAACAUUUUGACUUUUUACUAUUUUUGACCAAUUCCGAGCUUCUUAGUAUGAAUCCGCAUUCAUACUUAUAGUAUGUAAAACAUAAAGCUCUAUUUCUAAUUAGAAGACCGACGAUUAUAUCACUGUAUAUGUCGGUUUUCCUUUCUUCUCCCUAUUCGAACAAUUCGACUUAUUUCAUCACACUGUUCUAAGUUUAAUCCAUAUGAGCUAGCAGAGGAACCUAAUGGACCUAUAGAUCAUGGGCUCCAACGAUUCAAGAUUAACUAGCUAAACUCUUUUAAACCGAGUUAAUCAACAUUCGUUAACUAACGGGUCAUUCCACUAAAGUCCCGUAGUUGCACACCCCUCACUAUAGAUAUAUUUGUGUCCAUUUGAUAAAACCAUAAUCAGUAAGUUAAUCCUUCACAGGUUGCUCGUAACCUUGGCUGGGUCAAAAUACCGUUUUACCCCCAAGAUUACAUCUUGCUCCUUAAGUCCCACUAAUCCACUAUUGAACAAUUGGUUUAAGGUUCAACCUAUAAACUUAAUCCCUCUCGGGCCAAUGAGAGGGUGGGGCCCCUUGUUCAAGACUUGGAUUCAGUGCUUAAGAGAGCAACCUAUCUACUAACCCUAAAGCGGGUAGGAGUGAAUUCCAUCUUGUACCCUAUGUUCCCAGCUAUCCACCCGAUCUUACCCCUGAAAUGGGAGGCUUAUUGGGCCAACGCUGAUGAGCUGCCCUCACCUAUGCAGAUCUAAGGAUAAUCUCGUAUGAACAGGAGUUCAUAGUUAACUCAGGAUUAAGACUAAGUUACCUAGGUCAUCAAUAAUUGAGAUAGUCAGUUUUAAACAGUAAACGGUGUUAUAACGUAAAAAUGACUAAUUCAUGGUUCAGUCUUAUGUAAACAUUUUACAUAGGAUGCCCCCACUUUCAUGUCUCUACAUGAACGAUUAGGAUCACAUCGUUUGUACUACAAAGUGGACCGCAUCCAUAGUCUCUCAAAAUAAGGCGCCCAACCUUUAUUUCAUAUACUAUAGACUAUUUAGGCUAUAUACUCGAACUUGAUCCACGUUUAUGUUUACACAUAAAGUUCAAGUUUAUUCAAAAAAUAGCCUUGGAACUUUGAUUUAUUGGAUUUAAGAUUAUAAUAUUUAAUUUCUCAAUAACAACUUUAUUGAAUAGAAUAUGAUUUACAAACUACGAGUUUUAGGACAAAAAAUUCCAACAAACUCCCACUUGGACUAAAAUUCCUAGUGGUAUGAGAGAUGUGGUGUGAGAGAAUAUAUAUGAAACUAGGGCACAUGGCCAAUAAGUCUCCCACUUGUCCUAGUUUACAAACAUCGUACACCUAAACUGUGUAGGUGACCCUCAAACACUUUAGCCGUGAGGGCUUUUGUAAAAUGAUCAGCUUCCAUUGUGGAAUCAGCUAUACAAGUUUGCUUUAUGCUUCUCCAAACUACUGCUCCUCCAUUUAGAGUAAAUACUGAUUCUGAUGUAGACUUUCUAACAUCUUUAUUAGUUUGGAAAUCCGAAUCAGUGUAUCCAGUAAGGAUCAUAUCCUUUGUACGAUACAUGAGCAUGUAGAAUGUUUUUAACGGCUGUCCAGUGAUCACGUCCAUGAUUGGAUUGAUACCUACUGACCAUCCCUACUGAGUAGCAAAUGUCAGGUCUAGUACAUAACAUUGCAUACAUUAAACUUCCAACAGCGGAAGCAUAGGGAAUAUUUCUCAUAUCCUCAACUUCUUGAGGUGUCUUAGGACAUUGUUCCUUUGACAAAUGAAUUCCAUAUCUGUACGGCAGCAGACCCUUUUUGGAAUUCUGCAUUUUAUAUCUAGACAACAUUUUGUCUAUGUAAGAUGCUUGAGACAUGGCUAGUGUUUUGUUCUUACGGUUUCGAACAAUUUGGAUUCCGAGAACGUAUUGUGCAUCUCCCAGAUCUUUCAUUUGAAAUUGCAUAGCUAGCCAUUUCUUGAUAUCAGGAAGAUAUCCUAGUCAUUUCCAAUAAGUAGAAUAUCAUCUACAUAUAAGACUAAAAAAUGCUAUAAUGGAAUUGACGACCUUUUGUAAACACAAGGCUCGUCAACAUUUUGUUCAAAGCCAUAAGAUUUUGAUCGCAAUAUCAAAUCUUAUAUUCCAGGAUCUAGAAGCUUGUUUUAAUCCAUAAAUGGAUUUUUUAAGCUUACAAACCUUUUGUUCUUGAUCUUGUUUUAUAAACCCCUCUGGUUGAGACAUAUAGAUGCUCUCUUCAAGAUUACCGUUCAAAAAAGCUGUCUUGACAUCCAUCUGCCAAAUUUCAUAAUCAUAAAAAGUGGCGAUGGAUAAGAGUAUUCUAAUUGACUUUAACAUGGCAACGGGAGAGAAAGUUUCCUCUAGUCUACUCCCUCUCUCUAGGUAUAACCCUUUGCCACAAGUCGAGCCUUAAAAGUCUGUACUUUACCGGCAUGGUCUCGUUUUCUCUUGUAGAUCCAUUUACAACCAAUAGGUUUUACGUCAUUUGGUUGAUCUACUAGAGUCUAGAAAGAAUUAAAGUACAUAGACUCCAUUUCGAGGUCCAUGGCUUUGAUCCAUUGGUCACGAUCUACAUCUUUCAUUGCCUGUUUAUAGGUUAAUGGAUCCUCUAUGCCAUCGUCAGGUAUGACGACUUGAGUUUCAAUUAAACCCAAAUAGCGAUCAGGCUGAUGAACAACCCUCCCACUACGUCGAGGCUCUCUCAACUGUUGAGAAGGAUGUGAUUGACCAGAUUUCCUAGUCUUAUCAACUACUUUAGUGGAUGAACUAGGUUUUAUCUAUAGCACUUUUGGAAAUUUCUUUAAAUACUAGUUUACUACGAGGUUGAUGAUCCCUGAUGUGGUAUUUUAUUUUCUUGAGGAUCAUAAAACAAACCACCUCUUGAUUCUUUUGGAUAACCUAUAAAAAAGCAUAAUUUUGAACGAUGUUCCAAUUUCUUUGGAUUUUGUACCAACACAUGUGCUGGACAACCCCAAAUUUUAAAAUGACGUAAACUGCCUUUACGCCCUUUCCAUAGCUCAUAAGGUGUUUCUGAAACACUUUUAGAGGGAACAUUAUUCAAAAUAUAAGCAGCUGUUUCUAAAGCAUAUCCCAAAAAGAAUCUGACAUCUGAGAAAAACUCAUCAUAGAGCGAACCAUGUCUAACAAGGUCCAGUUUCUUCUUUCUGAUACACCGUUCUGUUGAGGUGUACUAGGUGCAGAGAGUUGUGACUGGAUUCCAUUUUCUAUUAAAUAGUCUCGGAAUCGUAAGUCCAUAUACUCUCCACCUCGAUCUGAUCGAAGUAUUUUUAUUGUUUUACCUAAUUCGUUUUCUACUUCAGCCUUAUAUUCUUUGAACUUUUCAAGACUAUUAGACUUAUGAUGUAUUAGGUAAAUAUGACCAUACCUUGAAUAAUCAUCAAUGAAGCUAAUGAAAUAUUCAUAUCCACCUCGAGUUUUGACAUUCAUUGGUCCACAAAGGUCCGAAUGUACGAGCUCUAAGGGUCCUUUGGCUCUUAGACCUUUUCCAGUAAAAGAUCUCUUGGUCAUUUUUCCUUCAAGACAAGAUUCACAAGGAGGUAAAGAGUUAUCUUCUAACGGACUUAGAAGCCCACUUUUAACCAAUCUCCCAAUCCUAUUGAGAUUUAUGUGACCAAGUCUUAAGUGCCAUAAAUAGGCAUUAGAAGAAACUUUUUGUCUUUUAUUCUGAGUUUCAGCUGUUCUGAAUAUUUCAGUAUUUAAGACAAAAUUUGCUCUAGUUGGUCUUAACUUAUAUAAGUUGUCUUCAAGUAUAGCAGAACAAACUAGAAUACCUUUAUAGAAAACGAACGCUUCAUUAAUUUCAAAAGAUAUUCUAUACAUUUGUUCCAAAAUACAAGAGAUAGAUAUUAAAUUUCUUUUCAUUUGAGGUACAUAUAAGACAUUCUUAAGUAUGACAUAUCUAUCUCUAAAAAACAACUUUAAAUCUCCCACUGCUGAAGCUGAGACCAUCUCUCCUGUUCCAACCUUGAGAGUGAUCUCGCCUUCUGAAAGCUUUUUCCAAGAACUAUUUUCCUGAAAUGAGAAGCAAAUAUGGUUAGUGGCUCCUGAAUCUAGUAUCCAGGUAGAAUUUUCAUAUUCCACUAAACAUGUUUCUACAACUAGUAAAUCAUAUUUACCUUGUGUUUCCUUCUCUGCCUUUUUUUCUGCAAGGUAUUUUGGGCAGUUUCUUAACCAGUGCCCGUUUUGGCCACAAUGGUAACACUUACCUUUUUCUGCACCUUUCUUACCCUUGUUCUGUUUGGGAGUCUUUCCCUUUCCCUUCUUUUUUAUUUGAGCAUUAGGUUUUGAGGGUCCAGCUUUGGUUUUAGAGGACGAUCCUCUUAUAAAUUUUCUUUUUGUGGUAGCAACAUUUGCUUCCACUUGUUUUCCUUUACCCAUAGUAAGGUUUUGGAAUCGCUGGAGUUCAUUCAGAAGGGUUGUCAAGUUAAAUUCUAUCUUGUUCAAAGACGCAUUCGUUUGGAAUGGAAUGAAGCUCUUCGGAAGAGACUCUAAGAUAAAACUAACUUGAUUAACCUCUUCGAUGGGACCACCAUUCACUUCAGCGAUGUUGAAGUGCAUCAUCAUGUCCAGAACAUGUUCUCUAACAGAGGUCCCUUCCUUCAUACGCUUAGUGUAAAUGUAUUUGACUGCCUCGUGUCUUAAGGACCAUUCUGGUUGCCCAAACAUUCCCCUUAAUGAAUCCAUAAUCUCUUUAGCCGUGGCUAAGGAUUCAUGUUUCUUUGCCAAUACAUCAGACAUGCUGGCAAGAAUGUAGACACGGGCUUUUUCAUUAGCUUUUAUCCAUCGAUCAUAUGCAUCCCGACUAGUUCGGUUAGCAUUAGAGGCAGGGUUUUGAGGACAUUCCUCAGUUAAGACAAAUCUUAAAUCGUCAACCACUAGUAUUGUGUUAAGAUUUGAUUUCCAAGCCGCAUAAUUAUCGCCAUUAAGUUUUUCGGAAGCUAAAAGUUGAACUAUUGAGCUAUUCAUGCUGAAAAACAAACAUAUUCUUUUUAGGAAAAAAACUAUAAUCAUAAAAAAUAUCCAAUCUAAUUUAGCAAUUACUAAUAAUGUACCCUUUCAUUAUUUGUAUUUUGCAACAAUAUUUCAAAGGUUUAGAACAACCUUCUCCGAAGGGUAGUUGAUUAUUCCUCCUUUGAACCAAGACAAUCUUGACUAGAUGCUAUCUCAAGAAUAACUCUUUAUUCUUUAUAGCACUUAGUUAUCGCUACUUUAGUCAAGAAUAUACUAACAACUUAGUAAUUCUUGUAAGUGUUACCCACCAUUUUCAGAUUUUAUAGAUUAGAAUCAUUUAUGAAAACUAAUCUAAGAAAUCCUAUCCAGUUUUGGAGUUCGCGGUGUUCCGAAUCCUAUAAUACAACCCUCCGAAGGGAACGUCGCUCCAGGGCAGACAAGCAGGCAUAUUAUAGAAAUCUCACGGUGCGACCUAAUGGAAGAGACCGUGGGAUGUGCUGCCACAAAUCCCUCACCCACUUACUAUGAACUACUUCCCCUAUUCACCUUGAUUUUGAUCCAUGCAAACACUCUCCGAAGGGAGGCCGCUCCUAUGCACGGCACAAAGCCCUGCAUGGACCUCACGGUGUGAACUCUUAGGGACACUAGAGCUAAAAUACAUUAUUUUUCUCUAGUUGAAGUGUUCUAAAAGAAAAAAAUAGGGUAAUCCAAACUUCAAGAUUUAUAUUUAGGCUAACUUAAACAAAUCUUAAGUCUAGAUAAAACAUCCAAGUAUAACCAUUAUACAGGAUUUUAACCUAUGAUGUCUAGGUGAAAAACCAUUUUUAUUACCUCACACCUCUCACGAAUGCUCAUAAAACUAGGUUAACUAGGCUCAAGAACUGAUUACGAUCUCCAGGUAGGAGGUGUUCCGUAAACCGUCAACUUAAGAACCUCCAACCUUAGUCAUCUUAUCUGACUUGUUGACAAGAUUGAACCAGGUGAGCCUUUUGUAACCAGUUUUACAAGAUAUCGACCUAUUUCUAUGAAAAAUGGAAGAUAUGUUUAACCUAAGUGAGCAUGCAUUUAAUCUUUGUUAUUGAUUUUAAAAGUCUAAUUUAUUUUAUAACACUUAUAAAAACUUUUAAACUUAAUCAAUCAUUUUAUCAAUAUAUAAUAAAAACAAUCAAUUAAUAUGGAUUUUAAUUUAUUUAACUUUAAUUAAAUCAUAUUUAAUUAAAUUAAAUCAAACAAUAAUUAAUUAAUUUGAUUAAAUCAUAUUUAAUCAAGAAUAACUUAAUUAAUUAAAUAAUUAAUUAAUCAUAUUAAUUAAUUUCCAUAUUAAUCAAUUAACAUGCAUACAAUACAAUAUAACCUUUAUAUCAUACAUUUUAAUGCAUGAACAUGUUAACCUAUGGUGGGAUUUUAAAUCUAUAUGACAUUCAAAAUGCACAUACAAAUUUAAAGUAAUUUAAUCAUACAUCACAUGCAUAAAUAAAAAAAAACACCCUAAAAUGGACUGAUUUUUGGCUCCUAAAUUAAGCUAAGUGCUAAAUUAUUACAUAAUUAAUUUGGUGUAGUACAGAACCACUCCCAAAAAUUUCGAACCGGCUAAAAAACCAACCGAAACCGCUUGAACCGGCCCAAAAACCAAAUUUAUUGGCUUGAACCGGCCCAGGCGCACACGGGUCGUGCGAAGGCAGGCGCGCGGGCGAAGGCGGGCGCGCGGGCGCAUGCGGGCGCGCGGACACAUGCGGGCGCGCGGGCGCAUGCGGGCGCGCGGGCGCAUGCAGGCGCGCGGGCGCAGGAGGGCGCGCGGUCGCAGGAGGGCGCGCGGGCGCGCGCGGCGCGUUGGGACGCAGGAGGGCGCGCGGGCGCAGGAGGGCGCGCGGGCAUGCGGGCGCGUGCGGGUCGCGAAGCGGGUCAAAACCGGGUUUUCGGGUCUGUGACCUUCUUUUCUUCAUUUUUUUCAAUUCUCUCACCCGGUUGAACCAAUUACAGCCUAGCUUCAACUCUAAUGACUUUUUUUAUUUUUUAAAAAAUUACAAACACUUUGCAACAAUAAAAAUAAGCCAUUAACAAGGCUAAUUACAAUAAUUAGAACAAAAACACUUAAUCUAGAGCCAAAAUCAUAAUAUAUCCAUUUUAGUUCAAACCAAAAUUUAUCUAAUAAAUAUGAACCCACCACAUGCAAUUGGGUAAAAAUGAAGCAUGCUCUGAUACCACAUGAUAGAACUAAGUCAUGCACAGCGGAAAAAGAAUCGAAUUUCUACCCUAAUUGCCACAAUUAACAUGUAACCAUAAACUAAUCAAAUUAGGGUUUUAAGAAGUAUUACCUUUGAAGCUUUCAAAAGGUUUGAUGUCUUCUUACCAAUUCUACCCGAGACCACCACUAGUACUCAACUGCUAUCCUCUAGACAAAGAACCGGGUUGUGGGACCCAAUUUUGGUGUAGAAAGUAAUGGAGAUAAAAUGAGAUUGGAAGCUUUUUUUUUUCUUUUGUUGAGAUUAUGAAAAUGAUAAAAGAGGCAAAAGUCCUUCAACAUUUGAAAACAUCUCUAUUUAUAGCCUAAUUACAUGCAAAAAUGCAUGCAAUUCAAUUGCCAAAUCUCAACACCUAAUAUUCCACUAACAAUUAGUGGAACUUAGUGGGCUAGGUGUCUAUAUCUCAUAUAGCCACAUAUCCCACUAAGAGUUAGUGGGAUUAUCCAACAAAAUGUUGGAUUUUCCCACUAACUUAGUCCAAGGGUAAAAUGGUCAUUAGAUUUUUCUAGUCAAAAGUCAAACUUUGACUUUUCUAAGUCAAAAGUCAAUAUUUUGACUUUUUACCAUUUUGUCCGUCUUGACUAAUUCCAACCUCCCGAGCAUGAAUCCGCAUUCAUUUUUCCAAAAUUCAAAUCACAUUUGAAUAUAAGGCCGGUCAAAGUUUGACUUUUCAAAGUCAAAAGUCAACAUUUUGACUUUUUACUAUUUUUGACCAAUUCCGAGCUUCUUAGUAUGAAUCCGCAUUCAUACUUAUAGUAUGUAAAACAUAAAGCUCUAUUUCUAAUUAGAAGACCGACGAUUAUAUCACUGUAUAUGUCGGUUUUCCUUUCUUCUCCCUAUUCGAACAAUUCGACUUAUUUCAUCACACUGUUCUAAGUUUAAUCCAUAUGAGCUAGCAGAGGAACCUAAUGGACCUAUAGAUCAUGGGCUCCAACGAUUCAAGAUUAACUAGCUAAACUCUUUUAAACCGAGUUAAUCAACAUUCGUUAACUAACGGGUCAUUCCACUAAAGUCCCGUAGUUGCACUCCCCUCACUAUAGAUAUAUUUGUGUCCAUUUGAUAAAACCAUAAUCAGUAAGUUAAUCCUUCACAGGUUGCUCGUAACCUUGGCUGGGUCAAAAUACCGUUUUACCCCCAAGAUUACAUCUUGCUCCUUAAGUCCCACUAAUCCACUAUUGAACAAUUGGUUUAAGGUUCAACCUAUAAACUUAAUCCCUCUCGGGCCAAUGAGAGGGUGGGGCCCCUUGUUCAAGACUUGGAUUCAGUGCUUAAGAGAGCAACCUAUCUACUAACCCUAAAGCGGGUAGGAGUGAAUUCCAUCUUGUACCCUAUGUUCCCAGCUAUCCACCCGAUCUUACCCCUGAAAUGGGAGGCUUAUUGGGCCAACGCUGAUGAGCUGCCCUCACCUAUGCAGAUCUAAGGAUAAUCUCGUAUGAACAGGAGUUCAUAGUUAACUCAGGAUUAAGACUAAGUUACCUAGGUCAUCAAUAAUUGAGAUAGUCAGUUUUAAACAGUAAACGGUGUUAUAACGUAAAAAUGACUAAUUCAUGGUUCAGUCUUAUGUAAACAUUUUACAUAGGAUGCCCCCACUUUCAUGUCUCUACAUGAACGAUUAGGAUCACAUCGUUUGUACUACAAAGUGGACCGCAUCCAUAGUCUUUCAAAAUAAGGCGCCCAACCUUUAUUUCAUAUACUAUAGACUAUUUAGGCUAUAUACUCGAACUUGAUCCACGUUUAUGUUUACACAUAAAGUUCAAGUUUAUUCAAAAAAAAUAGCCUUGGAACUUUGAUUUAUUGGAUUUAAGAUUAUAAUAUUUAAUUUCUCAAUAACAACUUUAUUGAAUAGAAUAUGAUUUACAAACUACGAGUUUUAGGACAAAAAAUUCCAACAUGUAUACCAUCCAAUAAUCAAUUGAACAAUUUUAAAUUGUUUGAUCGACUUCGCUUUAGAUCCAAAUCUUAAUGUCAAUUGAUUUGCAUAUUUAGGAUGUUUUUAAUCUAAACAUAAGGAUUGAUUUGAUUUAUAGAACAUCACACUAGUUUCUCAAGACGUGGUCAACUAAGAUUUUGUUCAUAUAUUGCAAGGAAUCUAAUAUGCACGAUAGAAUCUAAAGUAACCUACAUAAGUCUUGGCCUAGGUAUUUAUCUCAUUGAUAAAUUUAAUUCAACGAUCUUCCAAUUUGUAUUUUAUUGUCAUUGCUUUAAUUGUUUAAGUGAAAUUAGGUGUAAAACUCUGAUUCGAAAAAGAUGUCUCAUUAAGAAGAACCCUUGUUCGAAAGUUGUUUUGGGUAAGUGUGGAGAUAUACCACAAGGAAGAAUGCGAAGAGAAGAGUGUAAGCCAAAUGUCCUAUCACAUGAAGGUGAGUAAGGUGAUAAGAAUAGCAGACAAGAAAGGCAAUAUGUUGAGUGAGGCAUUGAAAGGAUACCACAAGAAGUAUCUGUACCUACGAGAUUGAGGCAAAGAAUUAAACGUCUUGUCAAACGACAUGACAACUCGCUAUGAAAAAAAAAACGACGGUAGCUUCUUCGGAAAGAGAACGGAGACAGUUAGACAAUUAAGAGUUUGACUUCCCAAUGAGAUAAGAUGUGUGUCUCAAAGGAAAAAUCAAAUCAUCGUUGACAAAUAGGCUACGUGUCGAAUUCAGAUUGGUAGCAUUAUUUUAUUCUAAAUUUUCUCUAAUUUUACUUUCCCUCCUAAACUUUUUCACUAAAAAAUUAGAAAAGAACCCUUUUCUUUGUUUCCCUCUCUCCAUCUCACUCCUUUCUCUUUUAUUUUCUACCUUCAUCUCCACGAAACCCAAUUCUACCUCUUAUCUUCGUCUCCACGAAACCCAUUUGAACGACCACACGGAAUAACAAGGAUAGAUUUUGCUAUUGUUGUUGUGAGGAUGAGAUGUGGGAGAGGUUGAAACCGAAAAUGGCAACACACACCAUGUUUGAUAUGUUUUUCUACUUCUUUUUCUCUAUUGGAAUUCAUAUCUAUCCAAAUUGAAGCCUUAAUCCUCUUUCUCCCUUUAUUGUUGUGUAAAUUCAGAUUUACGUGGAUGUAUUAUCAACUGUGGUGCCAGUUGCCAAUUGCUUUCUUAUUAUAACGUACCUUUUCUAUUUCUAGUUCUAUCUUCCAAGUUCUACCUAGUACCAAUUCCUAAGCCAUUUCUAUUAAUAUUCUUUAUUUUAGAUCAGAGAUGUUGUGUGCUGAAACUCAUCUCACUCCACACACCAACAAGGUGAGUGUAGGCUGCAACAACCUUUCAUUGACUUUCUUCAACCAAAUAAAAUGCCCACUAUUGACUUUCUUAUCUUUCUGGUGUGCUUCAAGUCACAUGCUGGAAGGAGGAUGCUUUCGUUGUCGGUAGCUAUUGAUCUAGAGGAGUUAUUACUGUUGCUGAUGGUGUCUCUGAGUAUGGUUUGAGAAUAUGAGAUUGAGAAAUAUUGGAGAGUAGUAUACCCAAUUAAUAUCUUGUUUAAUUAUGGCUGUUCUUGAAUUUUUUCUUGCUUAGUUGGACUGAAGAAAACAUGGAUCCUUCUUUGUUCUCUCGAUAGUUCUUGGCUAACGCUUCAGAUUUAGUGAAAAAUGAUGAUGAAGUUAUUGUUGGGAUUUAUGUCCUAAAACUCGUAAAUUGUAAAUAUAAUUCAUUGACCAUUAUUAAUAAAGUGUUAUUAUUGUAAUAAUUGUUAUUGAUUAAAUUAUUAGUUUUUGUCUUAAUAAUCCAAAUCCAAUAAACUAACAUCUUAAAUUAAACAGUCUUGAACAGUAUGUAGAGACAUACAGGGAUCGUAACACUAUUGAUACGACUCACUUUGUAUUUGAUACAAACGCAAUGAUCCAACGUGUUUGUGUAGUUGACAUGCGAGUGAGUGUAUCCUAUGCAAUGAGUUUGCAUAAGAUCGAACCGCGAAAUAGUAACCACUAUAUGUAACUCCGUUAAUUAGUUAGGUUUCUAUUUGACUAGGAUGACCUAAGUAACUUAGUCUUAAUUUUGAGUGUGUUAUGAACUCCUGUUUGCGAGGGAUUGUCCUUUGAAUUGUACGAGUGAGACUGACCAGAUCGCCGACUUAAUAAGCUUAUCAUUUUGGGGACAAGACCGAGCUGGGAGCUGAGAACAUAAUUACACACGAUGAAAUUCACUCAUUCCCUACUUUAGGGUAAGUAGAUAAGUAUUCCCUUAAAUUGUAUCUCCAGGUUUUGAACAGAGGGUCCUACCCUCUCUAUGGCACAAGAGAGGUUUUUGUUUAUUAGUAGGACCAUAAACAAGUUGUUCAUUGUAGGAGCACUGAUAUUUAAGGAUUAGAGGUAACCUAUGGGUAAAACGGUAAAUUGACCCAGUUGGUGUUACGAACACUCGUGAAGGACUAACUUACUGUUAUUGGUCUAUAUCCGUGAACACAUAAAUAUAUUUACAAUGAGAAGAGUUCAGCUGUGAGUCUUUAGUGGAGUGUACACACAGUUAACGAAUAUUGAUUAAUGAGGUUAAUGAGUUUAGCUAAUUAAUCUCAGAUCGUUGUAGCUUCUGAUCUAUAGGUCCAUUAGGUCCCCUUCCUAGUUCAUAAAAGGUAAUUAGAUUUAGUUAAAUUGGUUGUAAUUUGAAAUGUUCAAAUUUACUUAGGGAAUUAAUGAUGUAAAGUGAUACAUUAUAAUAUAAAGUUUGUGAAACUUUAUUAUAUAAAUUUAAUUUUGGAUAUGAUUCAAAAUUAAUUUAUGAGAGAUUAAAUAUUUGAAUAAGUUUAAAUAUUAAUUUAAUGUAAAUUGGAUUCAUAUCAAAAUUAAUGGUUACGAGAGAAACUUAUAUUUGAAUAUGAUUCGAAUUUAAUUUACCUUAAAUACACGAUAUUUAAUUUAGUUAUUAAUUAUUAUUAUUAUUAUAAUAAUAAUUAUUAUUAUUAUUAUUUGGUAGUGGUAGUGGUGGUGGUAGUAUAAUAAUAAUAAUAUAUGUUUGCAUUCUUUCUUCGACAUUUUACUUUGAAUUUAUUUUGACAAUACUACAAUGUUAUUUAGUAUUAGUUAAUUAGUUUGAUUUUUCUUUCUUCACGUUAUUAUUCUCUUUACAUUUUAUCCUUAAAAGAAAAACUCCAACGACGAAAUUUAGAAAUAUUUGGGAGUUCGUAAUUUCUAAAUUUUUUAGGUGAGGGGAUCGAUUCUUUGGGAGACCUUGAUCGAUCUCCAAUACUUAAAAAAAAAAAAAAACAAAAUCUUAUGUUAUUUGCUUAAUUUGUUGUGUGGCAUAUUUGAUUUUGUUUGUUUGUCAUUCCCUAUUUGACCUCUAUUUCAAAAUUUUCAAAGCUUUAAAAUAUUUUAACUUAAAUCACAAGUAAUUUUGAAGUCUUUUUUAAUUUAAAAAAAGUAAUUAUUUAGAAAUUUUUUGCUUUAGACUUAGAAUAUUGACAUGACAUUCCUCUCUAUAAGUUUGAAAUUCAAUUUUUCAUCCGCAAUUUAUGUCACAUAAUAAAUAAAAAUGAUUUAUAUCAAUUGAUUAUUUGGAUUAGUCCCGUAUCCUAGUAGAUAACUUAUUAGUAGUGAAUUAAAUGAACUCCAUAGAAUGGCUAGAGUUAGGGUUUGGUGUGGGAUGAAUUAAUUUUUUUAAAAGAAAAGAAAUUUGAAAAGAGGGCUUUGUCAUAGUGUAUUUAACCCAUCAUUUAUAAGGAUUUAUUGGUGUAAGUAAGUGUGGUGUUAUAUUGCUCUAUUUGGCCUUACACGAUAAUAAUAAACAAAAUAGUUGUUGUAUGAAUGUGGUGAUUUUUUGUUUCGUAAAGAAAAUGUAUGUUAGUUACAGUUGAGAUCAACUCAAUUUAAUUAAAUAAUUAUAUGAUUAAUGUAAUAUAGUUGCAAUAGUUGUUGUAAUAUUUAUAAUACUUGUAACAUUUUAUUUAUUAUUAUUUUAGUAGUCACACAAGUAAAAGUUAUUUACACUAAGGUGUUGCAAGUAAUUAAUUGAUUGAGACAAGAAGUAGAGUAUAGGCCAGUGAGAAUAUUUAUCUUCUUUCUUAUGUUACGUACUCUCAUAUCCCAAUAGUCCUACUCCCUUGGGUUCUAGCUUUCUCUGCCCAUUUCAGUCACCCAUAAAACUAAGAAUUGAACAAGAAGAAGCUAAGUUAAUUUAUACUUGUUUCUUGUUUCAAUUCUCACCUAAACUCACCCAACCAAGAUCGGUGAGCGACAGUAACAGAGAACAACAACGAAUUGGUAGUAAGGAUAGCUGCAAUCAAACAGGUUGCACAAUAAAGAGUGACGACUAAACAUUUGUUAGGGAAGAAGAUGAACCUUUUCUUUAUAUUUAUUUCUUCGAAGGCACAAAAUUUUAAACAUUUAUAACUAUUAUUAAUAACAACCAUAAUAAUAAUUUAUUUUUCUCUCACUAAAAGAUAUAAUAAACAAAGAAAUUUUUUCAAAAAUAGCAAACUUUACAAAAAAAUUUACAGCCUAGCAAAUUCUAUCACUAUAGUUAUUGAUAUAGUGUAAUGAUAGAAGAAUAUUAAUGAUAAAAUCUAAAAUUUUGUUAUUGUUUGUAAAUAUUUUAAUGUAUUUUACUAUUUUUAAAAAUGUUCCAUAAACAUUUAUGUUUAUUUAAACUCAUCUUCCCCUCCUAAUUAAAUCCAAAAUGUUUUCUAAUCCAAUCAAAUAAACUAUCUCUCCUCAUUAAUUAUCCUCUAUUCUUUUAAAGAGAAUUGUAAAAAAUAGCAAAUUUGACAAAAUAUUUACAACAUAUAACAAAAUUUAAUAUUUUAUCAAUAAUAGAUAUUGAUAGACAUCAAUCUGCUUCUAUUAGUAACAUUGAUAGACAAUGAUAAAAAUCUAUCGAUUUCUGUUAUUGAUAGAAUCCAAAAUUUUACUAUAACUUCUAAAUAUUUAUUUUUAUUUUGCUAUUUUUAAAAAUACUCAUUCUUUUGAUUAACUUUCCAUUUCGAAAUCUCAAAUCAACUUAAAAUUCUUUAAAAUUUUAAAUUAACGAAGAUCUUGUCCAAUAAAUUACUUAUUUUAAAAUUUUAUGAUUUCCAACCUAAUUAUUUUAACCCAAUAAUUCAAUUUUAGCUCCUAUAAUCAGAAUAAAUUGUAGCUAUUAGUGCUACAGAUGGUCUAAUGAGAGGAAUGAAAGUUGUUGACAUGAGAGCCUUUUUAAGUGUUCCAGUUGACGAAGCGUGUCCCGACCGAAUUUUGACUAAAUAAUUUAAGAUAAUUAAAAAAAAUUCUUAAAAUUUGGAAUAUUAAUUUCUUUCGCUCUAAGAAAUAUGAGUUUCAAUGACAAUGUCAUAAAUGGAAAAAAAAAACACAGUUUUGGCAGAAAAAUGUAGAAUGUUUCGGACUUGAAGAAUUUAUAUGAUAAUUUUUAAAGUUUAAUUUUUAUAAAUAUAAUAAACGAGCAAAAUAUCUAUCAUUGGUUUAACAAAAUGAAAAAGUCCAUUAAGUUGUCUAUUUUUUAAAAAUAUUUCACGUUUGUUUUUUCUUUUCAUCGUCUUUCUUCUUUUCUUCCUUUCUCCAAUUUUUUUCGUCUUUUUCUCUAGUUCUUUUUGUAAAUUUUUAAAACUUUUUUUGGGAUUGUUAUGCAAAAUUAUAAUGGGAAUUGAUAGCUAAUUUGGAAAUCAGGUUGGUUGGAAGUUUGAUGGACGGAAUCAAGUUCCAAGUGUGACUUAUUUUGAAGCUUUUGAUCAUCAUCUUGUUUGCCCCCUAACAUCAAAUACAGCCGCCCUAUGAUGACGAUACCUCUACCAACAAUGCUACACAAAUACAUAUUUACUAAUACAAAACUUUUUUUUAUAUAUCUAAUAAAUUUCUCCAACUUUUAAAAUUAUCUUUUUAAAAAAAGAUUGUUUCUAACAUAUUUGAUUAAGAAUUUAAAUCUUUAUUGAAAGGAGUCAAAGACUAUAAUAUGGAAUUUGAGAGAGAAAAAAGGAUAAGUUUCAAAACUAAAAGCAACAUAGACUAUAAUGAUAAGUAUUUCUUUUGUUCCUCUCUAUUAAUUAGUUGCCGUUAACUUUUAUUUAAUAUCGGGGUGUUGGUAAAAAAGCAUAGCAUUGAAGAUAUAAAAAAGAGGGAGAGGUGUGUGUCCAUAAAAGAAGAGUAGAAGUGAGUUAGGUUGGGUGAAUUAUGUUGAAUUAAACUCGUUUGGAGGCUGGGGCUUUUAAUUUGGAGAACUAUAAUUAACAACAAAUUAAAGAAGCAUUGAUCCAUCUUACACACAAUCAUACUCCCCAUAAAUUAAAUACACAAGAAUCACCAAUCUUUUCAUCUUCAUCUUCUUCUUCCAUGGUCUCCAAAUCCUCCUCUCUCACCACUCCCUUAUAAAUACACAAUCACCACUCUUUUCAUAUCAUCUUCUUCUUUCGUCUCCAACCCUUCUCAAUCUUAGAUAUGACUUCAUCAAUACUUUUCAUUGUUGCGUUUUUGUUCUUGAUGAAACCCUCAUGUUCCUCCCCCUAAUAGCAUUUUAAUUUUAGCCGGCCAAAGCAACAUGGGUGAUCCUGGUGGAGUUAAUUAUCCACUCUUCUGUGCCAACAUUUGUGUUUGGGAUAAACAUAUUCCUCCAGGAUCGAUACCCCAACCCUCCACUCUUCGAUUUGCUUUAAACUACACCUGGGAGCAAGGUCGGGAGCCCCUUCAUUGGGACAUUGACCCUACCAAGACCAACGGUGUCGGUCCAGGAAUGGCUUUUGCAGAUCAUCUCCUUGCAAAAGCUAGCGAAAAUGUUGGCACAGAAAAGUGGACAAUUAACUCUAGAAUGAUCGGAUAUAUUUUUGGCUCAAUCUGCUUAAAUUCCAAAUGGAGUUUCUUCAUUCUUCUUAGAAUGAUCAUAUAUAUUUAGGUUCUUUCUCUAGACUUUUGUUGUUUUAUUCCAUUUUUUUCAUCUUUAUUUACAUUGUUUUCUACAUCUUUAACUGGGUUAGCUAGAUUGUUCUCGUAUAAGUGAAUGGAUUAAAGGGACUGGUAGGUAUACAAGCUUGAUCCGACGGAUCAAUGCUUCUUUGGAGUCUGGUGGCCGCCUACAAGGGUUUGUAUGGUUUCAAGGAGAAUCUGAUGCUGCAUUAGAGGUAGAAUCACAAGUCUACCACCAAAAUUUGAUAAACUUUUUUAAGGAUCUUCGUGACGACCUGAACCAACCGACUUUGCCCAUCCUACUGGUUUGUGAUCUCUAUCUAUCUUUCAUUUUUUAUUUUAGUUACUUAAAAUUUUCACUUGUGGAUUUUUUUAAAUUUGUAGGUGAAGAUAGCUAACCACGAUCUCAACAUUAGCCCAUUUAUAAGUUAUGUAGAGGACGUAAGAAAGGCGGAAGAGGCAGUCGAUCAUGAGUUGCUUGACGUAACAACUGUGGAUGCUAAAAAAGCAGUCCAACAUGUUCUGAAUCUCGGCCAAGAACCUUAUAAUCACGAUGGACAUCUCAGUGUACACACUGAGGUAAAAAUAGGAAUAAUGCUGGCCAAGGCUUAUAUAAAAUUUAGUUUGAAGUAGUAGAUAAGCCUCAACAUUGUUGGAUCGAGCUCUUCACCUUGAACGAAAAUAUAACCCAUUAUGGUUUCUAGCUUGCUUCAAUUAACUCUGAGUUAUGUUUAUCCUAUUUCUUUGUAAUAUUUCUUCGUUGAUCAGUAUUAAUAAAUAUUAAUAUUCUCACUAGCCUCCACACUGUGCUUCUUUUUGUCUUUUGUCUCAAUCAAAUUAUUUCAUGUGUCUCCCAAAUGCCAACAACAAUAAAAGAUAGAAUGAAAUAUUCGCUGCAUUGUCAUUUGAACUCUCCACGCUGCACUAUUCCCUCCCCUUUUCAACUCCACGCCGCACAAUAAAGCUUCUUCUUGUUUGUUCUAUCUGAAGCUUCUGAACUUGUUGCACUUGUAGCUUCCAAACAUGCUGAAGAGAAUUUCAAGUCGUGAAUAAAAAUUCAUUUCUCUAUGAUAGAAUCAAAUAAAUAAAUUACAAAUGCAGCUAUCGUAACUUGAUCAUGCAAAUCAUUUAAUCAAAUUGAAUCCAUCUCAACCCUUAAUUAAGAUGCAUUCUCUUUUUUAAACCGUACUUGUGAAAGAUGUUAAUGUAAAUAAAGUAGGCUUAGUUAUUUUGGGUAAUGAUGUUAAUGUAAAUAAAGUAGGCUUAGUUUAUUUGGGUAAUUACCCUGGUAUAAAUACACUCCCUUUGGUCAAUAAAAAUAUUAAGAGAAUAUUCUUCAGAAUAUACUUUCACAUGGUAUCAGAGCUAGGGUUUUCAUCUUAGCCGCCGCCGCCGCCGCCGCCCACCCGUGAAAGUCUCCGUCUCCGUCAACCUCAUCGCGCCUCGCAGCCGUUCCGUCAUCGUCAUCCUCAUCGCGCCUCGCGUCUCGCAGACAGCUCCGAUCUGUCUCCAGCCCUUCCGCGCGCCUCGCAGACAGCUCCGAUCUGUCUCCAGCCAUUCCACCACAACAUCGGCGUCGCGCCGAUCAGUCGCAGCCUCGGCAUCGCAGGUGGCCGUUUCCGCUCCGAUUCGUCUCCAUCCGCGAGGCAGCCGUACGCGUCACCUUGCGGCCGCCACGUGAACCAGUAACCGUUCAGAUUUGCUGUCUGUUCGCGAUGGUUUCCAAACCGCACGCGACUUCUCUUCCAGCCGUGAGUGCAAGACGACGUCUACCGUCCGACGCCGCCCACCAGAUCUGACGAAUCCUUCAGUCGUUUGUCUUCAGAUCUGACGAAUCUUUCAGCCGUUUGUCUUCAAGUUUUUUUGUUUGUCUCCGUUCCCAGCCGUGCACCCCUGAAUCCAGUCGCCAAAUACAGUGAAACCCAGAUCUGACAAAUCCAGUCACGAAUCAGUCAAAACUCGGCCGAAAAUCCGCAUUGUUAACCCAAAUCAAAAUGGAGAGAGACCAUAUCUUUAGACCCAUUUCUACCAUACUUGAUGGUACAAAUUAUAUCACAUGGGCAAAUCAAAUGAAAAGUUUUCUUAUUGGAAGAAAACUAUGGCGCAUUGUAACUGGCGACAUCACCAAACCAACUGCAAAGGAAGGGGAUAACACAUUCAUUGAACGUCUCGAAGAUUGGGACAGUAAAAAUCAUCAAAUUAUCACCUGGCUUGAUAACACCUCUAUUCCCGCUAUACAUGCACAGUUUGAUACCUUUGAUGAUGCUAAAAUAUUAUGGGAUUUUUUGUCUACACGCUUCAAGUCUAUUGGUUUAGCCCAUUAUUACCAACUGCACAGUACACUUGUAAAUCUAAAUCAAGAUUCUGGUCAGUCUGUUAAUGAAUAUUUGGCAGUUCUUCAACCCAUUUGGACUCAACUUGACCAAGCGAACAUCAGCAAAGAUCAUCUUCGCCUUAUUAAAGUCCUUAUGGGAUUACGUCCAGAAUAUGAAUCUGUUAGAGCUGCUUUACUACACCGGAAUCCCUUACCCUCAUUAGAUGCAGCUAUUCAAGAAAUUCUGUUUGAAGAAAAGCGUCUUGGCAUCAACUCUACUAAACAAUCUAAUGUUGUCCUUGCUAGCACAUACACUCCCAACAGAGCCGCAAAUAUGUUUUGUAAGAAUUGUAAGCUCUCUGGUCACAAAUUUAGUAACUGUCCUAAAAUAGAGUGCAGGUACUGCCAUAAACAUGGCCACAUUCUGAAUAACUAAGCCUACUUUAUUUACAUUAAUAGUACUAAACCAAAAACCACUCCAAAAUUAAUUUCCAUUCCUACUUGGCUACUUCUAUGACUAGAGAUGUGAACAAAAACCUUGCUUUCCUUUUAUAUACAACAAUUAAUUAUUUAGUUCAUUAUUAUGUAAGGCUAAAGAGAGCAAAACCUCGAUACCAAAUUUACAAACACCAGUAAAUUCUUAUAAAUGAUAGUUUAAAUACAUUCCAACAAACCCCUUUUUUCGAAUUUCUUUUUUUUUAGAAUAAUUAAUUCUUCCCACGCCGAACCCUAACUCUACCUAUGCAAGUGAGGUUCCUCAAUUAACUACUAAUAAAUUAUUUAGGAAUGAUAUGAACUAUGAGAUACAAAUAAUCAAUUAUUCAGAUUAAAUAUUUUUUGUUUUACUAAAGUAUGACAAUCAAUUAUAGGUGGGAGAUUAAAAUUAAGACAUCUAAAGAUAGAAUUGGUGUCAAUUUAAUUGAUUCAAUUUAAUCAAGUUCACUUUAAUCAAUUAUAUAAAAAUUGUUGUAUUCAUUAUACUACUUUAAGUUUGUUGCUAUAUUUGAAAAUGAUUGUUAAAUAAAUCAUGAGAUACUUUAAGAUUUCUUUUUAAUUAUUUUCAUCUUUUAUUACAGUUUCGAAGAAGUGUUUAAACAAUGUGUUUCGUAACACAAAUGUUUCAUAAGUAUCAUGAUUCUACUAUAUGCUAAUUACGAAAUUGUUUUUCUUUCAAUAUAAUUGUUGAAUUAUGUAUUAUAUAUGUCAAAUCAUAAGUAUAAUGAUUCUACUCAUCUAUUGUCCACGCUGAAUGAGAUUGUGAGGGGUGCUGAAAGUAGCCUUAGUUCCUCAACUUUCUAUCUGGUUCUAUCUUGGUGAAUUUUGGUUGGAAGUGUGAUGGACGGAAUAUGACUUAUUUUGAAGCUUUUGAUCAUCAUCUUGUUUGCCCCAUAGCAGCAAAUACAACCCUAUGUUGACAAUAGCUCCACCAAAAAUGCUACACAAGUACAUAUUUACUAAUAAAAAACUUUUAUAUAUAUAUCUAAUAAUCUGAAAACUUAAAAAGAAUUCUUUUACAUCUUUUUCCCUUUUAUCUAAAAGUGAAUAUUUUAAAAUAUAUCAAUUUUAAAAAUCUAUUUUUCUUAAAAGAUUAAAAGCGAAUAUAUCAAAAUCUAUUAAUUUUUUUUGCUUCCAAUAUAAGUUUAUAUUGAAAUUGAGGAUGGAGUAGUUUGUGCUAUAUUUAAGUAUUAUUUUGUUUUGGACAAUAACAAUAGAAAUUGGGUCUUCAAACAUAUACCAUUGUUAUAACUUUUAAAAUUAUAUAAGUUUUAGGAUACAAUUUGUACAUUUAUAUAAGUUUGAGAAUACAAUUUUUACCAUUAAUAGUUUAAAAUAUAUUUGCAACUAUCCAAAUAUGGGGUGAUUAUAUUUGCCCUUUCUACUUUUCAAUACUUUCGACCUGGAAAUCUAUAGAUUGUAUUGAACAAUCUUGACAAUCUAUAGAAAAGGUUGCAACUCACAGCCAUACACCAUUGAAUUAAAACAACCUUAUGUCAUUCCCAACAAAACCUCACAAAAUACUAAAAAAAGAGCCCAAAAACAUGCUAUGUCUUUGCAUAUAAAAUUAAUAAGAGACCAAAGCAAAGAAGGUAAAUUAAGGCAAAGGGUGAAGCAAAUUAAACAAACAAACAUUUUCUAGCAGAGAAAAAAAAAAUGACGGAUUCAAUUCUUAGUCCAAAAGCCACAACUUCUCCCAACAACAUUUUCAUACUCGCCGGGCAGAGCAACAUGGCUGGUCGAGGAGGGGUUUCACUAGAUCCAACCACAGAUAAAAUGGUAUGGGAUGGAUAUAUACCGCUUGAAUGCGAAUCCAACGACUCAAUAUUUCGAUUGAAUGCUGAUAUGGUAUGGGAACAAGCCCAUGAACCACUCCAUUGGGACAUUGAUGUUGUAAAGACCAAUGGGAUUGGACCCGGCAUGGCCUUUGCCAAUGAGCUUUUGGCUAUAGGUGGGAAGAGGAUUGGUGCCAUUGGCCUUGUUCCAUGUGCCAUUGGAGGAUCCCAUUUGAAAGAAUGGGUUAAAGGGACUAAUAGGUAUGAUAAUUUGGUUGAAAGGAUUAGGGCUUCAGAAAAAAAUGGAGGGACAGUUCAAGGAAUUUUGUGGUAUCAAGGAGAGUCUGAUGCUGCUGUUGAAGAAGAAGCUAUGUGUUAUGAAAGAGAGCUCACUAAGUUCUUCAUCGACUUGCGUGCUGACACGAACCAUCCUGAACUACCCAUCAUCUUGGUUUGUUAUUGUUUUUCUUUAACUAAUAUUGAUUAAAUAUAGUCAUGAUUACACAUCAUUUGCUAUAUAGAUUUUAGGAAAAUAACAAUUCCAUUAUUUUAAGAAAACUAAAAUUGUUUUACAUGAUUUGAUAAAUUUUAAGAGUGCAACAACAUAGGUGGAUUACACAAGGGUGGAACCAUGUUGUACUUUUCUAUUUUUAAUGUUUAAAAACAAUAUCUUUAGAAAACAAAAUGCAAUUUUGAUAGAUGGAGAUUGAGUUUACAAUAACAUUCUUGUAAUGAGUUUUAAAAAUAUUACUUGAGGUUUGAACCGAUAAUUUGAUCAUUCAAUUUUUACUAGCUAAAGAAUUGAAAAGUUUUUAUAGCAUUAAAAAUUAUGCUAUGAAAAAUUGUCUUCCUAUAAGGUUGAGAUAUAUAUAUAUAAAAUAAAAAGUUAUUUUUAAUAAAAGAAUAAAAAAUGAAAGACAUGAGUCGAAAUUUAGCCAAACCAAAACUUAAGUGAUUACGAUAUUAAAUUUGAAAACUUCGAUUAUAAAAUGCUACUAAAUUUAAACUUGAUAUAUAUUUUUGCGAUAUCUUAUAUUGAUUUGAAUGCUAAAAAAAUUGGAUACAGGUGAAGCUAGUAACUCAUGAUUUUUUCUUAAGUCCAAAUAUAAGCUUCAAGGAAGAAGUAUGUAAUGCUUUGGAGGCAGUCACACACAGACUACCAAACGUAACAAUGGUGGACGGUCCCAUGGCAGUGGGCAACUUUGACGAUGGGCUGAAUGAAGAUAAAGGUCAUCUCAAUGUUAAAUCUGAAGUCAAAUUAGGCAAAAUGUUUGCUCAUUCCUUUUAUUCAAACUUUGCCCACAACUUCCUUUCCUAAUUAAUUAUGUACCAAUGAAAUGCUCACACUAAUUCAAUCAAUUCAUAAUGCUACUCUAAAACAAUAUCUCUUUUAAUCAUUGUAUUUGGUGGAGUGAAUUUAUUUCAUCCUUCCAACAGAAAUGAUGUGGAUGCGGAUGUAUAUCUGACUCGACUUAAAGGUGAAAGUUUGAUUUUUCAUUUAUGUAAUCAUAAAAAGUUAAUUUUAAUAUUAAAAUUUUAUAUUCUUAUAUUUGUAGCAUGCAGUGAAAUUUAAUCUAUACCAACAUAUACCAAUAUGAUAUAAAUGGAUAUAUGUUGUAGUUAAGUUAGCAAUUGGGGUUUUUUCAACAUUUUUAUGGCUUAGUGUAUAGUUUUGUUGGUUGAAACUGGUAUGUGCAAGUUUAUAUUGGUUAUCUAUAUUUUAGAAAAUUGAAAGUUUAGUGCAAUGCCUGGAUACACACCUAAAUUAAAUUUGUAAAGACCAAUUAAUAUUUCAAAGUUUGACCUAUAUUAUUUGAUACACAAUUAAAAUUUCUAGAACUUAUUUAGCACAUUUCAUUUUACUAAAUGAAUUUUAUAAUUCAAAAAAAAAAAAAAAAAUCAAAUGUGAAAAAUCACAAUAACUAGAGUAAUAUUUGGUUUUUAUAAUAAUUUUGGAAUAAAGUUAACAACGGGAGUUGAGUCAAUAAAAUAUUGAUAAAUGGGCAAGCAACAAUGCCUAGAGAUGAAAUAAGCUUGGAGAGAAUGAUUGACUUGAUCCAAGAUGAAGUUACCAUUGAUCCCACCCUCUACUAAAAUCUAGACCUAAUCUACCAUAUCAUGUAACUCAUUCAUGAUUCGACUCAACAAAAAUUUAGAAGAGAUCUUUAACUCGGCCCAAAGCCAAAUUAAUCCACUCCACUUCGAUGAGUCCACCAAAUCUUGUUCUCAUGUGAUUAUAAUCCAACAACAAAAAAAAAAAAAGGAUGGAUGUGUGAACAUCAAUAAAAUCUAACUGGAGAAAAUAUAGGUGAUCCAACCUUGUAAAAAUGCAAGUAAAAUGACUUAAGAGAUAAGUUGAGUCCACGGGAGAUCGAUAACAAAAUUUAUCUUUAGACUUUCUAAUUGAAACAUCAAAGUGUACGUGUAAGUUAGUUGGUUGUUUGUAUAUAUUGUUAUUCACAUAUCCACCUUAUGCAUGUAUGUUAGGUACAAUUAGCAUAAUCACAUGUGGAAAAAAACCAUAUUAUUUUGAAAAAGAAUCCAUCACAUGUUAAAAUGUGAUGAUGUGAUUAGAGGAGAGAAUUGAAAAAGUUGAGAGUGGAAAAACAAAUAAUAUUAAUUGUUAUUCUUAAAAGAAACAAUAUUAAUAUUUAUCUAAAAAGAAAAGAAACAGCAAUCAUUAUUACUUUCUAGGAUUACAGCUAAAAUGAAAGAGGGAGUUGGAAUUAAAAAAAUUGAUAUCGUAAUUAAAAGGAAAGGGAAGGGUAUUUACGUAAAUUGAAUAAACAUUCUCCUUUUCACACCUCAGGCCUUUCCGGACCCUAUCCAUUUCCAUUAUGGAAGCCUUUAAAUAUUAAAUUCCAAAAAUAGAAAUAUUUUAUUAAAAAAACUUCAUCUGAAAUUCGUUAAUUUGGUUUCGCCCUUAAAUUUCAAACCUUAAUGACCACAUUACCCUCUAUCUUCACCCCAAAUACCCAACCACUCCAUCUUCUUCCUCAAGAUUCUAUCAACAGUCAAAGAUCCUCUCUACUGAUCAAUAAAUAUUCCUAAUCUCAUUUCUCUACUUCCUUUCUCCUCCAAUUUUCCCUCUCUCGCUCUCUUUCCCAUGGCCUUCCCUCGUCUUCCUUGAUUCCAUGGCGGAUAUGGAUUUUGUUGAAGGCGUUGGUGAGAGUUCUUCGCCGCCUCGAAGCUUUGCUGCUGGAUUCUGUCCUGCCCACGAUGUUCGGAACGAUGUUUAUACUAGGUUGGUUGAGUGUGGACAUGAGGAGGCUGUUUCUAAUCCUCAAUUUCGCGAGAACUUGGAUGCUCACUUCAAUCGUUUGCCUCCGAGGUAGUUUAUUCUGCUUUUCUUUUAUUGUAAUUUGGAUUUUGGGCUUUUUCAUUCUUUUCUUUUUUUUUUUUUUGCUACUUUUCUAUUGUGCUUUUGUGUUUCAUUUUGAGCUGGUGUAAUCGAGUGAGGGUAUAUGCAUUUUGCAUCCUUGCUUUAUUUGAUUUUCGAUCUUUUUCCUGGGAUUUUGUAGUGGGUAGUGUUUGUCUAACUGUAUUAGGAAGCUGAUUUUGGUGGAUUACUUUUAUGGGGAAUUUUCCUUUCUAUUACUUGUCUGUCAUAAUCCUAUUGCUUCUGCUUAAUCUAUAUGUUGUUUUCUAAUGUUGGGAAAGUUCAUUUGGUAACGGGUUCCUUUUCAUUUUUCUGUUUUUGAAAUUUAGUUGGGUCUCUGUAUGUUUAAUCUUUUGUUUGUUUGUUUUUCUGUUUUUUUUUUUUUAAAUAGAAAAUACUUUUUGAGUAUUGGUCAUCACGUUUUGAGAACGAAGAACAUAUUCUUUUUUAUUUUCUAUUUUUUAGUUUUAAAAUUUAGGUCAAAUUUGAAAAUUGUGUUCAGAAAGGAAAUGACUUAAUUUCUUUUUUAAGAAAUCAUUGUUAGACAGCAUUUGUUAAUUUUGGAUUGACUAAACUUGUUGGGAGUAAGGUUGAACUUACCAGUUUAACAACUCACUGUUUAAAUACUACCUACUUAUAGCAAAUAUUCAAAUAAAAAAAGAAUACUACCAGCUUAGAAGGAACGAACAAUGGCGUAGUGAUAUGUUUGGAAGCAAGAGUUUAUGCAUGAUUUGAUUAAAGGCUGAUAAUUGAUAUGGCUAGUGGGAAACAAUAUUCUCAAAACAUGCUUCAACUGCUGGCUGUAGAAUAGAAUAUUAUUGAAAAUGAAUUACAAAUCUAUUGAUAUUCAAGUUAACAAAAUCUUCUUAUCUUACAUGAAUGCUAUGAAGUGGGAGAUGCUAAAAGUUGAACUGCAGAAUUUAGAAUUUAGAACUAUGUAAAAUGGGUUCAUAUCAACAUAACUUUAGUGCAAUGAUGUAUGAGUUUCUCCUCAUUCCGCCUCAUGGGGAGAAGGGCUACUUUUUAUGGUUAGCUGGCGUGUGUGUGAUCUUGUGGGUUUUGUGGGUGAGCAGAGUAGUAGGAUUUUUAGAGGGGUGGAUAAGGACCUAGUGAGUUUUGGUCCCUUGUCCGCUUUAAUGUUUCUUUGUGGAUUUUGGUUUUGAAUAUCUUUUGUAACUCUUCUAUAGGAGUUAUUUUGGAUAGUUGAAGUCCCUUCUUGGAGGGAUAGAUGCCUUUUUGUGGGUUGAGUUUCUUGUAUGCCCAGUGCAUUCUUUCAGUUUUUUCCAAUGGAAGUUAUUGUUUUUAUAAAAAAACGUUUAAUCUAUAUUUAUCUGAACCAACGAGUAUCAAUCAGGAUUCUUAUACAUAAUCUUCUCAAUAGUUCUCAAAUGGAGUUGCAUGCUUGAGUGGUUUUGUUUUCAUAAAUGGUGAGAUAGCGUUCUUCCUUCCUACCUAUUCAGUGGUCACGGAGAGACAUUUGAUUUUAAAUGGUGUCACUUCUUGACUUGAAAAGGAAGUACUUAGGCUUAUCCUAACACCUAGAUAGACAAACAUACGGAAGCUACUUAACUACUAGGCUUAGAAAAAAGCUCACUCUAUGAGCAAGGAACAACCUAAAGGAAUCUUUGUAAGGAUCACUGAACUCUUGCUUGGGCCAUGAAAGAACGUUAGGUAAAGAGGUGCUGCCAUCUGCUUGAUCGUCCUAUUCAUCCAACGGAUUUUGUUCUAUUGCUGUUAUUAAAAAAAAAUCUAUGAUAACUAAAGGUCAAAUACUUUUCAGAUUGAUGUUACAGCUUUUCUUUAGAAAGUGAUGCACGUCUGUGUAAAGUAUCUUAUCAAGUAUUUGAUUGGAGACAUAGGGAACAGAUUAAGGAAAAAUAAAAAGUUGAUGGUCAGCUUCUUUGCUAUCAUAUCCCUGGUUAAAUACCUGCAAACUUUUUUGUAGUACUUGUGGCUUAAAAGGAAUGAUAGAAUCACUGUACAUAAGUAUCAGGACUUGGUCGUAUUGUAGAAUUAAGUCAGUUUCAUUGUGUCAUCUCAGGUUUUUUUGGAUAAGAAAUCUACUAAUCUUUUUUUUUUCUGUCGAGAAAAAAAAAGGAAAUCUACUAACUUUAUCAAUGACCACUUGAAGUUCUUUUUUUUUCUUGUAGUUAUGUAGUUUUAAAUUUUAAUCAUGUAACUUGGGUUUGGUUGUUGCCUUUACCUUUACCUUUACCUUUACCUUUACCUCCUAUUUGGUGUAUCUAUUUUAGAUUGUGUUUUUAAUAGGAAAAUAAAAGAUGGAUUUCUUAAUGGUGGGUGAGUGUCUAAGUAGUAUAGCAUGUUAAACUCACAUAGCUAGACUAUAUCAUCAGCUAGGGAUGGUCUACUCAUUCUUCUUGAUUUAUUAACUUUUUGGUUCUUGAUAAUUAUUCUGUCAGUUACGGACUUGAUGUUAACAUGGAGAAGGUGGAAGAUGUUUUGUUACAUCAAAAGCUUCUUUCCCUAGCAAAGGAUCCAGAGAAGUGCCCUGUUUACCACAUUCGUUUUCUUGAGGUAUUUUUUGUAUUUCAUUUGUACAAUUUUUAGAGGUAACUAAUGGGCAAUGUUGCUUGGUUCUAAACAUUCUUAUAGUUUUUUGCUUAGAGUGUGAUUAUGCCAAACUUAUGGUGGAAAACAUAUAACCUGAGGCAAAAAUUAGAAAAAUGGCUUGCUGAAAGAGAGAGAUAUUAUCAGUUUCCUAUUGAUGACUAGUUAGAGAGGGGUGACAAUUUGGAAUUACUGUAUAUGAGGUCAUAACCAUCAGUGCUGAAGGUAGAACUUCCUAAUAUCAGAGGGAAAAAACUGAGGACGGCGCAUUGCUACAAACUGCAUCAAAUUGCCAUGGGUGGCACCUGGAGGGUAGGAAUGAUAUUCUGCUUGUUAAAUAUAGUCCUCCCCAGCCCCUGAAUCUUUUCGAAUGGCCGAUAAAAAAUGAAUUUAGAAUGUGUUUGUAUGGAUUUAUAGCAAUAUGGUUGCACAAAAGAAAGUCAGAUGGUAUACUAAAGCAAUCGAGACAAUAUAUUAUUUGACAAUAGUUUAUAUAAUUUCCUGUUAUUGAUUGUUAUAAGCAGCUUUAUUAAUUAGUGCUUGCAUUAAUGUACUUAAUAAUUUUUUCUCUUUCAAUGGCUUUUUGCCUUUGUUCUUUUUCCUCAUGUGGUAAAAUAGAUCUAACAAUAAUUUUUGCCCAAGGACAAUGAAAAUAAUUUUUUGGGAUCUUGAAAUCUUUGCAUUAGAAAAAUAGCAGCUGUUUGCAUCUUCUUGGGGUUCUCUUUCUCCUUUCAUCUUGAAGAUUUGGGUGUUCAAGAUUUUAGAUUUGAGUGGGAUCUUUGAGAGAGCAAUUAAGUUCUGCUUCGGCUUCAGCUUUCUGCUGCCGUAAUGUCUUUGAGUGGCUUUGUUGAGAUCGUUAUUUUUCUUUUUAUGUUCGUUUUUAGGUUGCCUUCAUAUUUAUGUUGUCUGAGUAUAGUCUUUGUUUUAGUUUUCGUCUUUAUUUUCCCUUAGUUUCUUUUGCUAUUAGUAUAAUACUCUUGUACUUUGAGGUUUAGUCUCAUUUAUUAUCUUUAACAAGGAGGCUUGUUUCUGUUAAAAAAAAAAGUAAUCUUUGUAUUAUGUUAUGCCAUUUGACUUGGGAGGAGCUAGAGAAUUUUUGAAAAUAGAAAUGAGGAUGUUGAGGAUAGUUGUGAUUUUAAUAGUUUGUGGUUUGAAAUAUUGAUAGGAAGUUUUUGUAUUUUGCUUCUUCAUAUGUCUCGUUGUAGUUAGAUACACAAUUGUUGUGCAACAUUUCGUAAUGAUUGCUUAUAACUCUGUAAGUCUAUGACUUCUCUCUUAUCAGAAGAUUAUUCAAUUGUAUUAAAUAGAGUUCUAUGUUGUUUGUAUAAACUUUGUUUUAGUGGCGGAGGUUUUAUUGCUCUACAUUUUUCUUGUUGAUUUUGUAGCACAUAAGUACUAAGUCAGAUGGCAAUGAUGAUCACGUUUUUCUUGAUAGUAUUCUUUUAAGUGGUUCAUCUAAUGAAGCAGCCGAUAGAAGGCUUCCAUUGUCACACAAAAGGUAAUUAUUGGGCCUAUUGCAUUUUCAUUAUUAGCCUAACCCCUUAGGUUUCUUUCUGCACAUAGUUGAUUUGUGGUAAUUGAUUUCUUAAUCAUUGGGUUGUAGAACUCGAGGAAAUAUAAUUGACUUUGAGGCUUGUUCCAAGCUUGAGGGCUUAAAUUUGGAUGUUAGAAAAAACUCGAAGCCCAUGGAUAGGAGGUACGAUUUGGAGAUUUUUUUCGAAAGCUAUGAUUAACACAUGUAUUUGCAUUGACUAUUUUUGUGGACGGGGAUGUAUUAUUUGGAAUUUUUUUUCGAAAGUUAUGAUUAACACGUGUAUUUGCAUAGACUAUUUUUGUGGCUUUACAAAUUAUUGUAGUUCCCGUCAGGGUUCAAAUUUUUGACAUGUUGGCUGGCUAUAACUAGGUACUAAGAUGUUUUCUAAAAGUACAAUGCAGGCCUGGUAAUAUUGGACAUGUUCUGAUACACGAAGUGAUAUUUUCAACGGUUGACAAGCCAAAGCUUCUUAGCCAGGUAGGCUGGAAUGGUUAUUUUUUUUUAUAUUUGAUAGUAUCUACAUGAAUGUCUUGGGAAGGCAAAAGUUGCCAAAACGUUCAUAGUCUAGCAUGCUCAUUGAAGUCUUGUUCUUAUGCUUCUAUCUAAUGGAACUUAUGUAUACAAAGGCCAGCAUUCUAUUGUAUGUUUAGCAUUCUCACUAGUUUAUGGUAAUCAACAAUUCUUAGAAGAUGGCUUUAAAGGAACAACAGAACGUUUAAUGAGGGCAGAAACUUUUGGAUUGUUUGAUAGUAUUUUUUUUUCUUUUUUUAUCAGUUUUAGUCGCUGCAUUAAUUUGAUGUAUUAUUCUCUCUUUUGAGCAAGUAGAGUCUAAUUGAUCUUUUGGCAAAUUGAAUACAUCAUUUUUAUUUCAGUAAGAAACCUUUUUAUUUAAAGAAUGAAAUACACCAGUUGAAGUCCUUUGUUCAACUGAAGGGGUUAGAUAAUGAAAUAUAUAUAUUGAAAAAGCAAUAUAAUAUAAGAAGGGGAAUACCAUUUGUAUAUAUGUAUAGACAGGAAGGGGAGUAGUUAUAAAAAUCCGUUGAUCCUAGGAAAAGAAGUAACAAAAAGAUAAUAGUGACCUAAAUUUCAUGGGACCCUUUCUUACUGUGCUGAAAGAUUUCUAUUCCUGUAUAAUUAAAAAUUCUCAUAAAAGUGCCCCUUACAGCAGUUAACCACAGACAAGGAGUUAUUCUAACAAACAUAGAAAACAUCAGUAAAUGCAUUGAAUUGAUCUUGAAAAUUAACUGUACACAAACUGAGAGCUAGAAGUUUGUAUCAGGGAUAAGACAGUUAAUGAACAACCUAUCGUGGGGCAAUUAAUACUCAUACUAGGUGUUGAGAAUAAUUGAUCAUCUUUCCUUUUCAUUUGCUCAUGUCAGUUGGUCAUUAUUAUGAAAGUAUCAGUAUGGGAGAAUUCACACUGGCUUUUUGUUUGUGUAGAUUAGAGAUAUUUCAUUGAUAAAAAAAUUCACACUGGCUUUUCUAACGACUUAUCAGUUUUUUUCCUAGCUUUCUGCUUUGCUUUCUGAUAUAGGACUUAACAUUCGAGAAGCACAUGUAUUUUCAACAACUGAUGGUUACUCCUUGGAUGUAUUUGUGGUGGAUGGAUGGCCUAUUGAGGUACUGUAUUGUGAUAUAUGCUAAAUAUAUAUUUUGCUGUUUCUACUGCUGUGCUGCCCUGUUUUUCAUAUUUUCUGUUCUUGUUAGAUUAGUUAUUAAUUUUUUUAGGUUUAGGGCCUACCAUUGAACUGGUAUUAUAUACAAUUAUCUUAUGAAAUGAUUGGAAGAUCUAAAAUAUCUUUGCCAUUUGGCUCAAAAUUUCCCUCUUCGUUUGCUUAUUGCAUGUUCCUAACUUCAUGUUAUGUCACUCUCUGUUCAUAACAAUAAAGGUAGUUUGAUGAACUGUAAAUUUACUCUGAAUUCUCUCUAUUAUUUAGUUGGCCUUUCAAGUUGCAUAUGUAUGCAGCAUCCACCCCAAAAGUAAUCCACAUUUGAAUGUUGGGAUUGGAGUGCUACUGCUUGCUCAACUGGUUCUCUUGUCUUCCAACCUGUCUAUUUUAAAUCAAGACAUAGAAACCUGUACGAGAUUUUUCGUUAUGACGUUUAGCAAAGAUUCUUCACAUUUUGCAUCUGUAUCUAAGGAUUUUAAAUGGAAAAUUGUAUCAGUUGGGUUACUUAUAAGAAAUUAUGUAUUAUCCCAGGUCAGCAACCUUCUAAUAUUAUAAGGAGGGAUCUGUAUUAUGUAUCUUUUGUAUCAGGAUUGUGUUAAGUCUAUAUGUUGCUGAUUUUGCAAUCUGGUGACCAGGAAACUGAUGGCUUGUACGAAGCUAUGGAAAAAGCAGUGGCUAGAUAUGAGGUAAAUUGCGUUUUUUUUGACACGAUUCUUUAUGAAAGAUAUUGAAUGAAAUGUCAUUACCUAAUUUAUAAUUCCCAGAUAAUUUUGCAGCAUUUACUAAUUGUUAUUAUUUUUGUUUUCUUUGUCAUAAACAAAUUUGAGUCCUUUGUUUUCAAUUGUCUAUGGUUGAAGACGUUUUAAAUUCUCAUGUUCACCCCCUUCUCCCUUUGCAAAGUGAUAGAAUAUGAAGGAAACAAUGCAACUUCUUUCAUGGAAUGCAGGGAUCGUGGUCUGGGUCUUCACAUUCUCAUCCAGUGGUCAAGAAGACAUUAGACGCCCAGGUAAAAUCAGCAGAUUGGGAAAUAGAUAGACGGUUACUGAAGAUAGGUGAAAGAAUUGCAUCAGGAUCUUGUGGUGAUUUGUAAGUUUCAACUGAAAGUACACUUUUCUUUGACCAUGUCUUGAACGGUAUAGCAUCUGGAUCUUAUUAGGAAGCUUACAGAUAUAGCAUCUGAACUUGUUACAUUAGCUUCUCGUUGAUAUAUUCUGAGUUGAAGUUUCAUAUUGUCCCCAACCGAGCAAUAAAAUCAAGUGACCUUUGCCAUUCAUAGCAAUGUCGUUCACAAUAUGAUAUGUUUGAUCGCUCGUUAUUUAUUUGUUCUCUGAAUACUACAGUCCCUUCUUUAAUAUUGCAACUAUGCAUGUUACCAUGUGAUUCAUUUUUCUUUCUCAUCCCCAGGUACCAUGGAUUUUAUCUUGGUCAAGAUGUAGCUGUCAAGAUAUUAAGGUCUGAAGAUCUAAAUGCUGAUUUAGAGGAUGAGUUCAAUCAAGAAGUGACUAUUCUCAGGUAAUUUUGAUAUGUGAUAAAAUUACUUCUUCAUAAAACAAUUAUAUUUGAGUUUGGGGUAUGAAAGCAGGGAACACUGUUUCCUAUCAUCGUUAAAAAAAAAAAAAGAAAAAAUAACCCAUAGGGAUUAGGGGGUGGAAAAUGUAAAAUAUUGAUAUUUAUCUUUCCAUUAUCAUACUGUAAGUUAAGGAAUCCACUGAUCAUUUUUCCGGAGGAUGCCGUGUACAGACGACAAUCAUUUUUAUUGUUUAUUUAUGGCUAAGUUUUUCUCACAAACUUCUACCUCUUGAUAGUUUAUUUAAUGUAAUCAUGCAGAACACCUGCACAGUUUCAGCUUGAAAAUGUACUUGCUAAGAAUUGCACAUUUUUAACUGUGAUCUUGCGGGUAGAUCAUAUGAAAUAUCUUUCUUUUUCUUUUGAUUCUAUAGGAGAUUGUGUUUGGAUACUUUACAUAUAGGGGACCUUCAAUUGAGAAGGAGUUCUGGAAAUUAGUCCAUGUUCAAUUCAUUAAUAAAAAAUGAACCUACACGCCUGAAAGUGAAAGUACAAAUAUUAUGCUUACCAAUUUCCUUGAUCCAAACAUCGUCAUAGAUUAAAAUACAUUCUUACCAAAAGGAUCUUCUGGCAAACAACGGUGUUUAGUAGCUGCAGAUUCGAAAUCUUCAAUUUCCUGGAACUGUUUCGAUACUUCACAUUUUCCCCACUCCAUCGAUAAUGAUUUUCUUUUAUUUCCACAUUUGUGAAGGAAUAAUUUCCAGAGUUUAUGUUUUAUAAUCAAUUUGUUAUAGGUGUAUCUACCGCCAUACAUCCUUUGUGAAGGGAUCUUAAUUAAUCUGAAAUGCAGGAAGGUCCAGCACAAAAAUAUAGUUCGUUUUGUAGGUGCUUGUACAAGCUCCCCACAUUUGUGUAUUGUAACAGGUACAUAAAUCUCUACUUUCAUCUUUAAUUUUGUCUCCUUUUCCUUCAUCAGUUCUUGGUUAGUUUCUUGUAGGAUCUUCUUCUGUAGUUUACAUAUAUAUCCUGAUAGAUGUUUGCUUGGUUCGAACAAGAGUUGUGUGCAGAAUAACACAAUUCCGCAUCAAUAAAAGAUUGACAGUCAAGUGAAGCUCUUUUAACUUUAUGUUCUAGUGUAAGGUUUUGAUGGAGGUCAACUUUGUUACCAGAAAUAGUUACGUUCCUGAGACUUAGUUGGCUGUUGUCUGACCUUUUCCGGACAUUAUUUUUCGUCAAUAGAUACAAAUACUAACUCUUCCUCAUGCAUGACGUAAUGUGAAUUUUCAUGACUUUUUUCUUAAAAGAAAAAAGAAAUUUGUUUUACCACAAAUUGUUGGUUUCGGAUAAGAUAAUAAGUCUUUUAAAAUUUGUUUUAGGAUGAAGAUAAGCCUGUAGAUAACAUGUUUCAGAGGGAUUGAAAGGGAUCUGGUUGAUGUUUGGUCCCUUGUGAAUUUUAAUUUAUAAUGUUUCUCUGGGUUUUGGUGUUGACUGACGAGCCCCUUUAUUCUAUAGUUCACAUUCAGUUAGAUUGGCGGCUGUUUCUUUAGGGUGCUCCCCUUUUGUGGGCUUUGUUGUUUUUGUAUGUCCUUAUAUUUUUCAUUUUUCUUUUCAAUAAAAGUUAGUUUUUUUUGUAUAAAAAAAUGUUUUUGUUGAUAAAUGAAACAUACAAAAGGGCAAAACCCAAAAAGCUAAACAAGUUAAAUAGAAGGUAUCUUGUAGGAAUGAUUAUGGUAAGGGUGGGUAGUUACGAAAAUAUAAAGAUAAAGACUGCGAUAAAGACAUGAAGGUAAUGAGUUUCUCUUUAGAUUUGAGUUAUUUAGUAUGGGCUAUUAUGUGGGAUAGCCAGAGUUCGUAGUGUUUCUAGAUAUAAAUAACAAGCGAAGGUGGUGAGGUUGAUAUAGGAUUUCCCCCCCUCUUUUCUGGUGAAAAUGUUACUGACCCGAUUUUUGGAAUACAAGAUAAAAUAAAAUAAAUUAAUCCCCCCCACACCAUAAAGUAAUUCAUAAUCAAUUGAAUUAGUUUCCCAAAACUAAUUAGAUUAAUUUAUAGGGAUCCACUUCCCAACUAAUUGAAUUACAGAAACAAAGAAAAUACUCAAUGACUAUGAUGAAAGAUCACUAAUCUGUUUAGCAAACUGAGUUUGGCGUAGAUCGAUCAAAAGUAGUGUGUGGAGUAGGAGUCACAAUUUUGGAGUAAUUUUUUAUUUUUAUUUUUUAAAUUUAAACCAAGUGACAUUGAAUUUUUUUUUUUUUAUUCAGGGCAAAGUUUGGGGGUAGUUUCUAGCAAUAAUGCAAACUUAUCGAAGCUUUAUUGCAUUUCUAUAUCUCCAUCUGCAUUUAUACCAGAAAUGCCUUAUUUGAUAUGCAUUUUGGAUUAGAAUUUGGUCAUUAAAUUCACUUUCUUCUGUAGUCCUGUUUUUUGGAUUUAUGUUCCAUCUAUAUUGUUCAAGUACAAAAUUUAAGUUUAGUUGUUUCUUGCAGAGUAUAUGCCAGGAGGGAGUCUUUAUGAUUACUUGCACAAGAAUCAUUGCGUGCUGAAGCUCUUGCAACUGCUGAAGUUUUCUAUUGAUGUUUGUGAAGGAAUGGAGUACUUACAUUUAAAUAACAUUAUUCAUAGGGACUUGAAGACAGCAAAUCUGCUAAUGGACACUCAACAGGUAAGAUUGGAACAUUAUAUUACUGGAAUCAGCUGGUGAAGUGUAGUAGUGUAGGUAUCUUAAACGAUUAUUUUUACAUCAAACUACUUUUAUAUGAAUUAGGUUUUGGAAGAUAACAGAAAAUAUAUUGGAAAGUUGUUUUGGGGUUGGAAGGAGUCAUUCCAUACCUUAGAUAAAGGGAAAAAGAAAUAAAAUUAACCAUACUGAAAUAGCUAUGCAAACGAGAUAUAACACUAAACUCUAAUGUGAUCAUUUAGCCCAUGGGAUGUACCAAUUCACUCUACUAUCAACAAUUAAUAGUCACUGUUGCCCUGUGCUGACUGAAGAAGUCAAUAUAUUAAUUUGGUGUGAUGUUGUUCUCUAUGAAAUAUAUGUGAAGCUGUCUUCAUAUCUACCUGUUUCUUUGGAGUGUGAACUGGCCAAGUUAUAUGAUGAAAAAAAUAUUGAGCAGUUAGUCCCUAGUAAAGUUCACAGUACAAAAGAGAUGAUAGGAUUUCUAGUCAGGUAUAGCUCUCGUGGUCAUGCUCCUGUUCUUUUGAAUUGGUGUUUUGUACCUAAUUAGAUACAUAACAUGUGUGAUGGACUUUUUUAGUAGUGGAUCCUCUGGCUGUUCUGAUAAUUUCUUUCACUAUUACAGUGGUUGAAUACACUUGUUACUUCAAAAUAGUCAAUGUUGGAUUUUUGAAGUAGGAUUUGUAUGUGUUUUCUGAGUUCAUUUAUUCUCUUGUUAAAAGAUGUUACUGUCAACAUCUAAAGGGAGCCGAAAUUAGGAAGUCUUUUUCUCCAACACUUCCACAUUAUGUUCUUCAUCAUAAAUUUUGUUCAGUGGUAAAUCCCACAAUUACUUCUUGUUGACUUAGCUAGUUUCAUCCGAGUGUUUCCUAUGCUUUCAUUUUAUGGACAAUCAAUGGAGACCAAGGAUACAAUCCACACGUCACUUAGCGAUGCGCUUUUAUGAGCUUGCACUAAAAAACAAUUUAAACCCAUUUAUGACUAAAAGACGUAUUCUUUUGCGUUUAAGGUUGUAAAGGUGGCAGAUUUUGGAGUUGCACGAUACCAGAGUCAAGGAGUAAUGACAGCAGAAACUGGAACAUACAGAUGGAUGGCUCCUGAGGUGAUGAAUCAGUCGGAGGAUGUUGGCGAUUUUCUGACGAAUUUAGAGAUUGUAUUCUAGAGUGUUGGCAGCAUUUUAACUGACUUCAAUCUUUUUGCGUUGAUUUUACUUUUCAUCUUCAGGUAAUAAAUCAUCUGCCAUAUGAUCAGAAAGCAGAUAUUUUCAGUUUUGCGAUUGUGUUGUGGGAACUAGUAACAGCAAAGGUAUAUCUCAAGUUGACUACAAUCUACUACAAUGCAACGUCUUUUUCUUUUUGUUUGCUUGCCUGUAUUUCAGAAAGCUAUUAUUGAGCAACCUUAUGUAUAAGAUGAGUACAUACCUUUAUCAUUGUUUUGUUGAUUGCUUAAUAGUAUAUGAUAACCAUUAACCACUACAUGUGGUUAUUCUUUUCACGCAAGCUUUUGGCAUUUCAGGUUCCUUAUGAUUCCAUGACACCAUUACAAGCUGCCCUUGGAGUAAGACAGGUUUGUGUGCUAGUUUUUGGUGCAUUACUAUUUAUGAUUAUUAUUAUGAUUGUUAUUUUAAAAAUUAAGAAACCAAAGCUUUCAUGGAAAGAAUUGAAAGAAUAUACAAGGGCAUAGGAAAAAAUCCAGCACAACAGGAGACUCCAAGAAAUUACCAAAAAAAAGGAACUCCCAUCCAACAAAACUAAAGUAAGGUCAUAGUUACAAAAGACAGACUAGUGCCCACAUUGUACCUUGCCUGCCAUCUCUCAAACCUUCAUCACAUGACCUCUCCACCUCUCCACAUUGAACCUCUUCUUUCCAUAAAAUAGCAAGGGGCUGUUUGGCAACCUCCGUUGAGUUGAAUUGGGUGGGCAAAAAAAUCUCACCCACCAUUUGGCCCAUUGCAAAAGAAAAAAAAAAACAAAAACGAUUGGUUUAUUGGCCCACUGUUUUAUUCUCUCAAUACACCUCUCAUUUCACGUGUUUUCUUUACUCUCCUCCAACUCUCUCAUUUACUCUGUUGUUUCUCUCACUGACUCACCCGUCUCUUCAUAUUACUCCUCUUUUGAUCUCUCUCAUCUUCUCUUUCUUUGUCCAUUUAGCUCGUCCUCCAUCUCCUCUUGUUUGCUUUCCUCAGAUUUCCCCCUUUUGCUCAUAUGAGUUAUUUUUGUCUUUUCAUGUUGAAUCCCUCUUUUAUCUACUUUGUCUAUUUUUCUAGAGUUGUGUCGAUGCUUUUUUUUUUUUUUAUCAGAUUUACUAGAUAAGUAGUUUUUGUAGAUUUGACUACUUUUCUUUUCCACAUUCUUUUUGUUUAGAUUUACAUUUUUGGAGUUUCUAUUCUAAGGUUUGGAUAUAUCUUCUAGCAUUUGGCUGUAUCUGUGCUGAUCACAAAGUUUUUUGUUUUCCCUCCUGAAAAUCUCAGUUGGAUCGAAAAAAUAAAAAGGAAAUUAAAAAAUUUGAAAAUUGGAAAAUGGAAUAUUUGUAGAGGGUUAAAAAUUGAGGGCUACAGAUUGGAGAAAAAUAUUUAUAUCAUGUAAUUGACUAUUCAAAUUUCAAAAAUUGAAUUCAAGAUUUGUGUUCACGAAUUUGUUAUGUUUUAAGAAUAGAAAAAAUGAAGCAUUUUUUAGUGCUAAAUUUUUUGAAAAGUAUAUGUAGAGUUAGGAGAUUAAAAAAAAAUACAAAAUCAAUUUUGUUUUCAAAAACUGUACUAAAUUUCUCACUCUGCUUUGCACCCAAAAUUUAAACUUUAUGAUUCAACUCAGCUCAAAAUACAGAUAAUCUAACUCUCCAGAUAAUCUAAUUUCUCAGAUAAUUUUUAUCAACUCAACUCUAUGUGCCAACAUCCUCUUAAGGUAAGCUAGGUUGCCACUAAAAUUUGUUCCUUCUACCUAUUGCCAUUUGAAGCCAAAGAUAAGCUAAAGUUGUAUGAGAAGAACAAUCUCUUUCUUCCAAUCUGUAGUAGCACCUAUGGACCAAUGAAAAAUGAUGGAACUUAUAAUGCUGCUAUAUGGAUCUUAGUUCGAUGAGAAAAAAAAGGAGGAAAGAUGGGGGCAAUUGGAAAAGAUUGCUGUUAAGUGUAAAAGCAACAUCAAUAUAAAUAAGAUGAAUCGAGUAUAUUAAGAAGAAUGCUCUGUUUAUUUUACUUUUCUUUAGGAUUCCAAAUUUGCGUGGUAUCUAGGAGGAGUCCAAAGCAUUGCUUUAAUUCCCCCUUUAAGGACUAAAAAACACAGUAUUCUCAAGAGUCAAGACUUAUGACUUCGUAAUCUGUUUUCAGGGACUACGUCCAGAUCUUCCCAAAAAUGUUCACCCUAAAUUGUUGGAUAUGAUGCAAAGAUGUUGGGAUGCAGAACCUGUAAAUCGGCCUCCAUUUACCGAGAUAAAAGUUGAACUCAAAAGUCUCCUAGAAGAAGUAGAGGUAUACCUCUUCCCCAUGUCUUUUGAACGGCAUGAAUUAUAUGCUAAAUGCAAACCUUCUAACUUCUAAAUCCCAUGUGUGCUUAGAUGUGUACAAAAUAUGAAGAAAAUUGUGCAGCAGUUAAUGGGAGCUAAUGUAGCUGUGUAGAAGGUGCAAUAUUCAAUUCGGCUUUACCCUGUAUUUUCCGUGAGGAUAUUUAUUUUGUUUUCCACUUUCGGUUCUUCAUAUAGUUACACAAAUAUUGUACAUCUGAGAGAGAAAAAGAAGUAUAGAGGCUGCUCAGUGCGAAAAGAGAGAAGAAAUAGCAUGUUCUCAUUACAAAAAUACUUGACCACGAGGGUGUUUUCAGAAAAUAUAGUAAAAUUAUCUGUUGUUAGCCUUUCGAGUUGUUCAAUGAGUCUCUUUCUUUCCUGUGUCUGUGUAUAUUACAUGCAUAGUUAUUUAGAGGUUGUUUAGGAGGUCUACUGUAUAUCUGACAGAGUGUUGGAAUGAGCAAGGAAUCAAGUGUGUAAAAUGAAAAUGAGACAGUGAAAUAUGAAAAACAGUCAAAAAGAGACUUUGGUUGAAAUUUGUGAUAACAAGAUGAGUUUGGUAUUACAAAUUUGGUGCCUCACCCAAUAAUGCUUAUUCUACCACUUCAUUUAGAGGCCAUUAUAGAAAAUUGGCAGCCUCAUAUAAUCAUUGCUGAAAAGCUUAUAACUAUUAUGAGGUUUACGGAUUCUUUCCGAUUUCUUUGUGCCUUUAUAUAUAAGGAGCUUUAAUUGUGUGUAUGUUUAAAGUAUUAUUAUACAUGCAGGAAUUUGAGUAAACUAUUGUUUAGUAGAAAAAGAAUAGCAGGGAAAGUAGUAUGAAUUUCAUAUGGUAGUUUACAAUUUGGCUGGCAUUCUUUGGUAUAAAGCAAAGGGGCCUAGGAAAAAGCUGGCUGGCUGGCUUGCAAAAGAAGCUUUGAGUUUUCAUGCUUUUAUACGAAGGUCAUAUUUAUUUUUUUAUUUACUAUUAAUUAUAAAAAAUUUAACUUUAAAAAUAAUGCAUACUUUGUUUCAAUUUUUACACUAUAUUUAUCACCAUUACUGCAAUUGGAUUUGACUUCCUAACCAAGCAUUCACUAACAUAUCAUCCUAAAAUUCCUCGUUUAGAUUGCAAAAAGGAAAGACAACCAUUUUUCACUUCAUCGAGAGUUAGUUUCUAUCAAUAUUAGAUUACUGAAAUAAAUAGUUGUAAAUAUAGUAAUUAAAUUUAAAAUAUUCGGAUAUGUAACAUAUAACGAUAUAGCAAAAUUUGUCGAUGAUAGAAACCUAGUAUUACCUAAGGAGAAGUAUUCUACAACUUAUAAUCUUAUUGAUGCACCGUCUUCAAUUAUAACAAAUCUACGGAAGCAAAUUGUUUAGCCUCUUGCUAAGUUUGAAACUUGGUUUACUAUCUCUUCUGAAUUCAGACUCCCCUUGAAUAAGUUUACUCCAGCUAGGCUUUAACGUUAGACUUCCACUAACAAUUAUACCACAUCUUCAAUAAUGUCGAACAUAACAUCAAACACCAAUUAUCACAGUGAAAAUACUGGUAGUUUUUUUUGUUCAAAAGGAAGCCCCACAAUACAGAACAAUUCCACAGAUAUAUGAAUAUUCAGCAAGCUUUACUAGGGUAGACCAAAAGCAAAUAAGGAUAAAAUCCCACAACAAAAGGAAAAUCCCAACCAUCCAAAAACGAAAAUACAAUUAAUAAAAGAAAAUUUUCAAGCCAACCAAGACAAGCUCGAUUUUAGUUGUAUUUCUAUAUUUUGGUGGCAGUUAAUGAAAGAUAAUCUAGAUCUUUAUUGAUUAUAUUUCUGUAACUAAAAGUCCUAGUAUGUUGCAGAACAAUAGUUAGAUGAUUAACAGUCAACAUUAGAAAAACUUAAAAAGACAUUUUGCAGUUUAAAUUAUUAUGAUUAAUACUUGAUGCUUUCUAAUCAAAAGUUUUCCAUCUUAAUUAGCCAAUCAAACUUUUGGUUAUUGUUGGAGCAAUAUCAAAAUGGAAAAACUUUGCAUGUAGAAAGGGAAAUGGGAAAGGUUUAAUUGAAAAUAUGAGAUUGGUUCUUUGAAAAUCUAAGGGGAAAGUAAACAAACUUCUCUUUGAUAAUAUAAAUGGUCCACUUGGUUCUGUUGCAGCCUUGUUGUGCAAGGUUUCCAGUUUCAACUUCUAAGAGAUUGCAAAUGAUUUUUAUGACAAUUGUGGUAAUUGUAGGAUUAUAUAUUUCAUUCAUUACUUCAUAAUUCAACCACUAAACUUUCCCUGAGGUUGCAAACUUUUGAAUCACACCAACUAUACUUACCAAAAGGUAUCGAUGCUUUUGUUAAUCUCAUAUUUGAAACUUACGAUAAUAGAAUCCAUAUUACAACAUUUUUUAAAUUAAAAGUAGUAGUUCUAUUAAUAUCAUUAAAUUUGAUGUAUUCUUAAUCUGCCAAACAAUUGGUUUCAUAAUAUGUUAAUGAACUUUAACAAUUUAUUUUAUCAAUAUUUUCAUGAUUUUUGGAUACAUCUAAGUUUGUGCUAUUAUUGGUGGUAUAAACUUUGAAAUUGUGAAUGAACUAGACUGACAUGUUUUCCAAAAAUCACUUUUUAUUUUUCAUGAUUUGGCGUAACUAAUAAUGCAAAUUGGCUUUAACCAAUUAAAGUUUAUUAUUUCCAUAUUUCCAACUCCACUUUUAAUUAGUACUUUGUUAACCUCAAAACAAAAUCACAAAAAUGAAUUUCUAAGAAAAAUAUGUAUUCCCACUUUCAUCACUUAAAAGUUGAUCAAUGGUCAAAUUUUAGCAAUCUUAGAGAAACAAUUUUGAAAAAAAUGACAUUUCCUUUCUAUUACUUUAUUUUUUCUCAAGAAAUCUUUUAAGUCAUCUAAUUUUGAGGGGAGAAAAAAACUCAGUUUACCAUCAAUGGCGAAUUAUUAUUAUUAUUCUUAUGAAUUUAGUUUUAGCAACAUGGCUAGAAUUGGCAUUCAUAGCACAAGAAGAUGUGAUAUAGAACUUAAAAAAUUAAGCUUCACUAGAUAUCAACAAAAAUAACAAUUUACUAUACCAAAAUCUCAAAUUAGUUAGUCACAAAAUAAAUCAAUCAUUCAUAUAUAAAUAAACACAAUUAACAUGCAUGAUCCCUAUACAAAAUAAUAAAUCGUUUUAUUAAUAGAUGUUUAAAGACAACGAAUUACCUAAAGAAAUCUCUAUCAUAUAAUAUGAUAGUCUUUCUUUUUUCACAAAAACUCUGCAUAGUUCUAAUUUUUAUCACCGAAUAGAUCACAUAUCAUCCGUGCUAGUUGUUUAUCCUUAUAAAUUCAUAACAUCACGUACAUCUUCUUAUCUAAUCGAAUACAAGACUUUACUUUGAUCUCAUUCUCUAACCUAUUAUUAUAAUCAUUUAUUUGUGUGUCAAUGAAAUCGUUAAAGGCCAAACAAAAACAUGAUUUUGUGGACCUAAUUAAAAUCAAAAGCAAAGCUAUGGAAACUUACAGAAAAGAUGCAUAAAAAAUUCGAAUAAAAAAUCUCCCCUAAACACCAUUUUGAGAAUACUUUGAUUGAAAAAAAAAGUAGAGAUGUUACAUCUCUAUUUCAUGCAAGAAGAGAAAGAAGAAAAAAAGGAACAAUUUUAGAAAACAUGGAAAACUAUCAAAGAUUAGCAUCUCAAUGUUGUGUUUUCUUUUGUUUUCUCUUUUACUCUACAAAGUAAACAAUAUUCAAAUGUAGUAAAACAAUAACAACUUUUUCAAUAGACAUACUGUGUUUCCAAAAUUUUGAAGAAUUAUAUAUACUCCAACGCGUCUUGCCAACUUUCUUAAUAUUAUCCAACUUGGAUUCUUCUUCUUGUUUCAUAGUAACAAUUUUCUCUUUUUUCUCUUUUCUAUUUAUUCCUAUAUAUAUAACCUCAAUUGAACAACGUCCUCUAGUACUGUUCACACAACCCUUGAUAGCAUAUAUAUGUAUGUGAACCUAACCCCACUUUUCAACUAUUGCUCACAAAUAUAUACACGAUUGUGACAACUUAACGUUUAGAUGAAUCAAUAUGUCCUCUCUCUUAAAAGAAUCUUCAUCAUCUCAUUCCAUUUCAUGUGUGCCUAAACAUAACCCCUUUGGGUAAAAAUAAUUCAGUGUUAAUUUUUUUUAAAAAAAAUAUCCCUUUUGUGUCUCCUAAUCUUCAUUUAUGUUAAGUUAGGAAGAUGGUGUAAGAUAAAAUGUACUAUGUUUAGAGAGUGAAAAACAAAAUGCAACCUACUUUUUUAUAAAAGAAAAAACCUAACUAAAACCCUUAACAUAAAAGAAAAUCAAUGAUUAACUAUAAUAGAUAGUAAAUGAUAGAGAAAGGUUAGAAGUUUAAACAAUGCACCAAACACUUUUGAAAUACAGUGAAUGAAAAAGAAUUUGAGCAACACAUCUUGAAAGACUUCAUAUUUUUUGGGAAUGCAUUUAUGAAAGAUUGACGAGGAAAGGAUGUUAAGUUUAGAAAAGUUGAGUAAGAUUAUAGAGAGUGUCAAAUUUGACUAUAUAUAAAAAGAUAGAAGAGAAAGAGUUUAUUAAAUACGACAAGAGAUGAUUUUGAUGAAAACGUGUGGGGUUGGGAGAGAGAGUAGAUUUUUACUACAAAUUCAAACUCAUUUUUUUAUGAAGAGAGAAUCCAAAAAGAUGGCUUUUUUAAAAUGAAGAAAAAAGAAGCAAAGUCUACACACAACUUGGUACUCUUACUAAUACUCAUAUGCUGGACAUUGUGUUCAUUUCUUCCAUUUUGCUAUAUCUAUAUCACAUCCCUACUCUUUCCUUUUUAUUAUUAUCGUAAUCUAAUUUCAAAACAAAGUAGAUUUAGAGGAACAUUACACUAAUGUUAACAUCGACCUCCAAAACAAUAAUGCAUUCUUUGAUAAAACCUUGAUACUAAGGUUAAGAUUAUUUUUCUAUAAAAGAUACUAUUUUGUCUUUAAAAUUUGGGUUUAGUUUUCAACUUGCUCCGUAGAUUUUAAAAUGAAAACUACUGUAAACGAUAAUACCGUUAAAAAUAUUUACAAAUAUAGCAACCUUUUAAAAUCUAUACACGGAUGGAAAUGUAUCAAUGUCUAUCGUGAUUUGAUAAACUGUGAUUUUUUUUGCUACAAUAGUAAAUAUAUUUUAAGCAUCUUGACCUUUAAAAUAAAAUUUUUAUUUAUUAUAUUUAAAAAUAUUCUACACCAAUAAAAUGUUAAAUUAUCUUUUAAUUUUUGUUUAGAGUUGAAAUUAAUUGAGAGGGUAUGGUAUGAUUAAGUUGGUGGCUUCUACGCGCAUUCACCUAACUUUAGAUUCAUCUUUACCCUUUUUGUAUAUCUUCAAUUACUUUGACAUUUUUGUUUUCUUAUUAUUCAAAAGUUUUUAGAAUAAUCCUUUUUUUAUUGGGUGUAAAAGGAAGAACACAACACAUCUUUCUGUCCAUCUUCUUUGUCCAUUAUUCUAAAAGAUUUGAUUCCAUUUUCCAUGAAUUCUCAUACUUUUUCCUUGCAUUAUUAAGCUUUCAAUUACAACAAUAACCAUCCAUUUAUUAUUAUUAUUAUUAUUAUUUUCAUUUAAGUCUAUUUGAUUCUAAAUUUUUAAAAAUAUUUUAUAUAUUCAAAGGUCGGAGAUUUAUUGAAAUGCUUUGAAUUCUCGCCGUAUGAACGAUCUAGCUUGCAACACCACCAAGUCUCACCUCAUUCUUAAAAGCAUAUUAACAUGACUAAAAUGUUUUCAUUCUCCCAUAUUAUAAGAUAUUUUUUCAUGUUCAAUCCAUUGAAAUACUAAGUUAUAACUAUAAGUCGCUAUGUCAAUGGACGGUCCUAUCAAAUAUACAUCCAAACAGAGUAAGACAAGAGAAGAAGAAGAAAAAAGGUUUACUCCUUACCAUGAUGGAUUUAUUUGUCCCAUGAUAGGUGAAGACUUGUUGAAGAUCAAACAAAAUUUGAAUUCAUUCUAAUUAACUUUGUUUUCUCAUAAUAUUUCCUUUUUUGUUUUGUUCCCAGUGGAGUCAGCAAAAGUACACAGGUGAAAAAUUCACACUUGCUAAUAUAAUCAUUUAAGGUGCAAAGUAGAUUCUUAUUGUCGAUAUGUGUUAUAAUAAUUUGUGUGUUACUACAAUCUAUGUGUAGAUGCAGAUCCUUAUAGAGUUUGAUUUAUAAUAGUAUACAUAUUUGAGGUGUUGAUUAUUUUAAUAUAUUUUAUAAUACUAUGUAUAUUGAUUGCAUAUUACUAUAGCCAGAAACAUAACGGUAUGUAAAUUAAAUGUAAGUUAUUUUAGAUCAUGUAUAAUUUUUGUAUGAUUUUUUUAUCAUACAAAUAAUUAUGUAUGUGAAAUAUUAUUUUUUCAAAAUAUAAUUAAAACUAUAGUUCUUUAUACCAAAUUAAUUGAAUUUUAAUUUAUGUUAAAAAAAAUUAUGUAUUGUUUUGCCAUUUAUGGAGAUACUUUAGUUAACUCAUAAUGGUAUAAUUAAAAUAUUAUAACAAAGAUGACAAACAAAAAAAAUAUUUCAAACUUAGUUUUCUUAUUUUCAUUUUUUUCUUUUUCUAGAUCAUUUUUAUUUAUCGUUUUCUAAUUAUUACUAAACAGGUUUGAUUCAUUCUCUUGAAAGUUUCAACUCAACAUAAAAUAUGUAGAGUUUGUUUUAAAAACAGAUGAUUAUACGUUUGACUGAAUUGUCAUGAAUAACUUCAAGUUAUACACUCAUGAUUUUUCUUUUUGUUAAAUUACAAAAGUACUUCCUUUAACUUUCUCAUUUGGAAGAAAAAUGAAUAUUUAUUUUCUUCUUAAAUUAACUUCAAUACCAUUGAAAUUCUCACUAGUUCUAGUCUUCUAGAUCACCACCAUAUUAUUUAAAAUCCCAAAUUUAUAUUUAGAAUUUUAAAAAAUUACUGUUUAAAGGUAUUUGGAAAACAUUUACAAAAGAUAUAUAUUAUAAAAAAAAUAGAAAUAUUUAAUUAAAUAAUAAUAUAAUAAAAUUUCAUUUUUGUUUACAUAUGGUAAUACAACUAGUGAAGAUGUAGAUACAUGUUGAAUAGAAAAAAUCUAAUUUUUUUUUAUAGAAAAAUCUCACUAACCUUAUGCAUUCAUUAACCACCCCAAUAAAUAAACUCAAAUUGAUCUCACAAAUAUCAUUAAUUGCACAUUAGAAUCAUUUUUUAGUAAAGAAAAAGCAAGACGACCAAUUUGAGAAAGUAAAAUAAAACAAGGGAAAAUGCAUGCCAGCUUAUUAAUGAGGACAUUAGCAACCUUAGUUUAAAUAAUCAAUUAAUUAAUUGCUUCAUGUUUUUGAGAUCUAACAAAAGCAUAGUUGUUGUAAGAUAUUACUAAAAUAUAAGAACAUUCCAAUGACAAAAAAAUAAAAAAAGAAAAGAAAGAAAGAAAAAAAUAGUGCAUGCUUUGAUGUAAUAAGCUUUUAAUCAAUCAAUUUUUUAUUCAUUUAUUUACUUUUGAGAAGAGACUUUGAAAUAAUGCCACAAAAUUGUCUCAUAAUUUUAUAUAAAGUUGACUUUGAAAUUAUAAGGUUGCUAGAAAAUUAAUUUGGAGGAAGAUUAAUAAUUACAUUAUUUUAUUCUUCUCACAUGGGGAAUGUUUCAUUCAUCUCUAACAAGUGUUUUUCUUUCAGAAAAAAUAAAUGCAAGUUCAAAAAUAUUUGUCAAUCUACAAAUUUUGUUUGCAGACAACUUUGUAUCAAAAAAAUUUAUACAAUUAUUUAUUUAGUAUCUCCAUGUAUUUGAUAGAAAUAGUAUGAAGUUUGAAGACUAAGUGAUUCUAUCGGUGUUUAAACUAAUAGGUGAGAACAACCAUAAAUUUAAUCACUCCCUUCAAAUUUUAUAAUAUAAAGAAUCUAACUCACUAGUGCACAUCAUCAAUUAUCAAAAAUUGGAUUCUCUUAUUGUUUCUUUCCUUUUUUUUUGUUACUAUUAUUUUUAUUUCCAUUCACAUCUUCAAUAGUCAAUUCUAUUUUAAUUGUCACAUGUCACUAAAAUACUUAUUGCCUAUCUCUACCAUAUUGGUGGAAAAAAUGUAAGAAAUCUUCUAACAUUUUAUAAAUACAUGACAUGUUUAAGAGGGUUUAACUAAUGCAUAAAUUUAUAAUAAAAAAUAGAUCAUAAAUAUCUAGUUAUUAUAGUGAAAUAAAACCCCUAGUGUAAGACAUCAAAUUAUUAUUAGGACUAAAUUUUAAUUAUAAUCUAUAAAUGUAGAUGUUGAAUAAAAUUUAAAAUUUAAUCUAAAAAAUUAGGAAUCAAUAAGAAUGAAUGCUUUCAUCUAAUGUUGAGCUAAAAACAAAGGUAAUAUAAAGUUUAAAAUGGUAAUUUAACUUGAAAAUUUAAAACUAUAAAAAGGAAUUAAUUACGGGGUUAUUUAUUUAAACUUUUUGAAUUUGGUAGAAAAUUAGGAAUUAGUAUAGUGACGUUUGGGUUUGCAAUAGAAUAAUGAUUAAUCAAUGAGUCCCAAACUUCAUUGCAAUUAUUGUGGGUGGGUCUCUUAUGAUUGGAUCGACCAUAUAUUAAAAUAGAAUUAGAAGUGUGUUUAAUUUAUGUCAUAAGAAGAAACAUUAUAUUAUUUUUCCUAACACAUUGACCCAUGCAAACUUUGAUAAAUAGGCCUCACCAGCCUUACACCUAUAUUUGUCGCUCUAUUCAACUUAAUUAGUAUACUUUUUGUUAAAAUUUUCUUUUCACACAUAUCAAUUAUUUAAACAUACUUUACCUCUUUAACAUCACGUUUUACCCAAUCUAUAAUCAAAAGUUGUAUUAUCAUCCUCAUUUUCUAUCCACGAAUCUAUCUAAAUAUUUUGCAUUACCUUUGUCGUUAUCGUUUAGAUCAUUCAAUAACGAUAAUAGCAAAUAUGACAUUUUCAUACUUCUUCCAUUGAUUUUAUUUUACAUAUAUUAUAAUAUUUUCAUGUAAUUAUCAACCAUAAUUGUAUUGAGCAUCCCUUCCUACACAAAAUCGUUAUUGAUUGUUCGUCAAAAUUGAGUAUUUUUUGGUUGGGAGCAUACCAUAUAUAAGACUUCCAUUUUAAUGAGAUUGAGAUAAUAUGAUCUCCAUGUGCUUAUAAAUUUCUUAUACUUUUCUUCUCACAAUUAAUCUCUACUUUAAAAAUAUAUAGAAAUACUAACAUUUAAUAAAAAAAACAUUUAAUUAUUUAAUCAUGAUGCAAUAUACAUAUAUAGUUGAACAUUAGUCAAGUUUUUAAUAAAGGUAAUUAUUAUUGGAUAUUUGAAUGUCUAUUGUCUCUAAUAGUUUGAAAUGUUUAACUUCAAAUAUUUACUAUACACACCCUUUGUUUCAACUAAAAGAAGUCUUAGAUUUUGAAAAGUGAUUAGGUUAAUAAUUAGGUUAAUAAUUAGGUUAAUUUUGAAUGGAGGUCUUAUCAAACGACUAAACAAAGAGAAGGAAUUGAAAGAUUUGAUAAUGAAAAGAGAGCAACACUUAACUACGAUCUACUCUCUCGUCACAAAAAAGAAAAAUUAUGUAGUUGAAUAAUUAAGUGGAACAUAGAAAAUAGAACUAACUGUUGUUAUAUUUGUGUAAUGAGAAAUUAAAAGUGAUGAAAAUGCAUUUAUUAAGCUAUUAAGUAUAGCACAACCUCUGCUUUGAGCAAAAAAGGAUGAGCUAAGAUUCAUUACAGAUAAAGACAGUACAUGAGAAGUAAAGCCGUUUUACAAAGCAAAUACAUGUGAUUUGAUUUAAAACCUGCAAUAAUAAUAUUGGAAAGCUGUAAUAUAAUAAUAUCAAUAGUAAUAUAUGAAAAAGAAACACCAAAUAUACUAUAGAGAUUGAUUCCUUUCAUUUC